RNAcentral lists this long non-coding RNA (94969 nucleotides) under Triticum aestivum (bread wheat). RNAcentral describes it as "long non-coding RNA (TAES_LNC019929)". Lineage: Eukaryota; Viridiplantae; Streptophyta; Magnoliopsida; Poales; Poaceae. The record is from RNAcentral.
CCCAGAUUCCAGCGGAUACUAGCGCAACUGGACCACUCCAGCCAGGUGCAGCAGGGAGCCAAGAUGAAUCACGCGAGUAAUCAACUGGCAGCAAUUUAUUUGCUAUAGUUACAAAAACCUAUAAACAUACAGAAUAAAAGUUCCAAAGACUCGGUGUGUUAGUCAUUUCAAUUACAAUAAGUGACACUACAAGUCCAUUGUGUCUUGUAGUUAAGCACCAAAACCUUUUUAUGUGUUACUGGUACUUGAGAAGGUUGUAUGUCUUCUCAUCUCUAUCAUUUACAUUUGAAACAUGGGAUAUUAUAUUGUGUUUGCACAGUCUCCUGUCCUAUAAAUAUGUUAAUUAUUUUAGUUGCGGGGAAAUUUGUUAUUUAUUGGUUGCGAUUGCUAAGUUUUAGACAUAUGUUUGAGCCAUGCGCUAUUUUUUGAAGUCUUAUCCAUAUACUUGAGAAGAUCAUGAACCAUGCCGCAAAAAAUGAUGGCGCACAAAUGGGCUUGAUUAAGAAAGGGGGGAAAUCCGUACAGUUCAUACUCUAGAAAUCUGUCGAGAUACAAUGAUGCAGACAAUCGGAAUACACUGGCAACCAUGCAAGGCCAAAGAAUAUAUCUCUUCCUUUGUCUAGGAAAAAAAUACUGAUCCAAGUGUGCAGUGCUCCAAGAUUUCUGAUGAUAGAAACUAGAUUUCAGUUAAGUUGUCAUAUGCCAAAUUUUGAAGGAAUAUGUAACCCGAAUUUUACAAAUGAUGUCUCGACUUGCAGUUCAGAUAUAUGGAGAAGUAGGGGUUUGCAAUCUUUGAACAAUGAAUUCUGUUAAUUAACAAGCACUGACAAGUUCGAACAAACACGAGAAUGAUAAAAAAAAUCACUGGAAUGACAGCUAUUCCAUUCCUAGCUGACAAAUACUACCAAAAAGAGUCUCUUGGACAUCCUUUGUCAAAGUCAAAAAACUGCUCGAUUUUGAGCAUCUCUCCAAAAACUUGACGCCCGAAGUACCACCGUUGCUCUGUUUAUCCAUAAUGAGGGAACAAAGACCUUAUUAAUGGUGGAGAAGGUGAUCAUGGAAAUAGUCAGUUAACACGACAUCUAUUUCAUAUCAGGUACUUAUAAUGGAAAUAACUGCUAGUCCGCAUUCAUGAUUCCAUGAUUCAACAAAAAAAAAAACUGAAAAUCAUAGCUAGAUGAAUUUACCACCUGCUGUGCAGAGCUCACUGUUCUGGUUCAAGAAAUCAGUGAUUCCAUGAUUCAUGGUUCCUGUAGGGCACAAUGCCACCGCCUCUAUCCUCAGCAGCUCAUUCAGUAUUGAAUCAAUCAUGAGUUGAAACCUGCCCGGGGGGAGGCGGGGUUAUCUCUUGUAACCAUAUGUGAAAGAUGCACUGUGCAGCGGUUGCUCAUCAGGUUGAAUCACAUUCUCCAGCAUUUUGCAUUGACAAGACAGCGAAGAGAAACAACUAGAUAUAGCUAGGAUCAGGGGCAAGUGAGUGGCUAGCUGGCAGAAAAGUUGAAGGUGAAGCCCACCAUACUGUUUGCAAGUUUUUGGAGAAGCUGAAUGUUAUUGGUGACUGGUAUUUCAGACAUCUUUGUGGAAUGAAAUAUGAUAAGCUGAUAAACUUUUCUCUCCAAAUAUGCUACUUGAUAACCACUAUUCAAAACUAUGGUUAUAUUUGCUCACUUUUGUUGGUCAACUGAUGUGCAAAAAAAUCCCGGUUCGACGCUAGGUUUUACUCUGUUCUUGUUAGUCCGGUCUGGUGCAAGAAGAAGGGUUCAGCAGUCAGCACUAGAGGGAUUAUCAUUACCCCCAUCCCAUUUGGAAAAGCACGGGAUCUAAGUGGCCUGAUCUCACUGUUGCUUGAAUGUGUGGAAACUGCUAGGGAGAGAAACUGGAACUAACUGGAACUGAAACUGAAUACAUCAACACCCGAAACUGAAGGUACAGAUUCAGUCAAGGGACAGUGCACGCCACUGCUAGCAGAGCAGGAAUGAAUGGCUGGGAUAGAUGGGCCUGACUUUCCUGCUUGCGUCGUUUAAUUACCAAGUUAAAUUCGACUGUUCCUGGAGCCACUCACUCUCACUCUUGUGUCCGGUCAAGAAACGGCAGGGUUUUUCUACCCCAUGUGUCACUGCUGCUCUUUGACUAAACCACCACUCCUCGUAGAACAGUCUACCCAAAUUAAUUCCAACUUAUAUAGCACGUCAAGGAGAAAUUCUACAGGGUAUCAGUCAGUUCUGAUGUGAUGUGACACCAUGACAUGUAAUAAAUUCAUAUUAUUUUCGAAAAGACAUGUAAUAAAUUAUGCCUGUGUGCAUCAUCUAUCGAUAUAAAAGUCUUUUUUUAUCAUGUAAUAAAAGGUACUCUCUCAUGCUAGAAAAAGUAAUGGCCACGACACCUCCAGAACCAAAGAAAAUGUGUGUUCGAGUGAGUUGGUUGGCAAAAAGGAACUUAAAUAUCUCAGACACAUUUCUAAAAAUCAGGAUCAACAUCCAACUAUCCGCUUGUCACUCCAUAUGCAACUUAUAAACUAAUUGAAGAUACGCCAAUGGGGCAGUGGCCUAUAUCGAAUUAAACCUUUUUUUACAAUGCCAUUUUUCUUGAGUCAUUUUGUGCAGUGCCAUUUUUCAAUACAUGAAGCUGGCAGUGACAUGUACCAAAUUAACCCUAUAAGUAUUUUCGCAAAAAUCAAACCUGCAAGUAAAUAAAAGAACGGAACAGAAGUACUCCCUCCGUUCCAAAUUACUUGUCGUGGUUUUAGGUCGUGGUUUUAAACUAAAACCACGACAAGUAAUUUGAAACGGAGGGAGUAACAAUUUCACACAACCCAAUUAAGUCAAACCCAAUUUCACACAGCUGACAAAGACCGACACAACACGAUUAAGUCAGUAACCUUCUAACCUUUCAUCCAGAGCACAUGCUCGGGUCUCCAGUCGAAAUUGAGCAACACCCCCAUGACUUAUAAAGUUAAGUUGUUGGUUUCUUGUCUAUCAUCCCGUGAGCUGAGCUGCAUUUUCUGUCUUUCGACUCAAACAGAAAUAAUAAUAUAGAAAUAAAUGACGAAGAGGAAAAAAAAUUAGAUUGAAUUUUGCAAUCCAUGUUCUGUUAUUUUGUGUGUGUGCGGAAUCCAUGUUCUAGCUCCAGUAGCAACAGAUAAAGGCCAUAAAAGAGGUGCAAGCAAACAACAUGGCAACUUAUCUAAUGCCCAGGUGCCUUACAAUUUUUUUAUGAUAUCCAUUUAGAACUUAGACAGUAUAGAAAUGAUUGUAAUUUUCAUAAAAUGCAUAACACAAGCUCGAACAAGUAUCAGAUUUCCACGAUUCAGUAUCAAAUCAACGAUAUGAGUUGUAGCCUGCCGGGGAGGAGCCGGGGUGAUCUUUACCAUACAAAAAGUUAUUACCUAUAUGUGAAAGAUGCACUGUGCAGCUGUUGCCCGUCCAGUAAGCCGGUUCCAUCAGCAGCAGAUCAAGGAGCAGCUAGAUAUGGCAACUGAGUGACUAGCUGACAUAAAAGUUGAAGGUGAAGCCUACCAUACGAGUUUUUGGAGAAGCUGAAUGUUAACGGUAGCGACUUGUAGUUCAGACAUAUUUAUGGAAUGAAAAAUGGUAAUCUGGUAGAACUUUGUCUCCAAAUAUGCUCCAUGUGGAUUCAGAAGUCAGUAGUCAGCACUAGAGGGGAUUAUUAAUUUAUUAUCACCGCAUCCCCAUUGGACAAAACAUGGAAUUUUAUUGGCCUGACCACAUAUAGUUGCUUCAAUGCGCGGAAGAUGCAGUGCCAGGAGCUCAAGGGACUGCGGCGGCUCCUGAGGGGAGUCGUGCUGGCAGCAGCAAGCAAGGAUGCCUGGGAAGGAGGAACCGCAGCGCUCGUCGAGGAGGCCAAGGGCAGCUCCAGCUGCUCGGAGUACAACAACACCUGAAACUGAAGGCACAGGUUCAGUGAACGGACGGUGCACGUCACUGCUAGCAAAGCAGCAAUGAAUGGCUGGGAUUGAUGGGCCUGACUUUGCUGCUCUCGUUGUUAAUUCAGUUUACUUAGAAAGUUGCUGCUAACUACAGUAUGAGUCCUUUUAAAAAAAACUACUGUAUGAGUGUAAAAAAAAAGUACUGCUAAGCGAAGUAAAAACAGAAGUAGGUCAUAUUGCUCUUCUCGAAGAAAAACGAGACUGCUUUCUCUCACUGGACGUAGAAAGUAGAGCAAAUUCGACUAUUCCUGGAGCCAAAGACCAAAAUCCCUUCUAGACUGCCUCACACUACUUUGCCAUAGUUAAUCUGGAAAUCUUCCAUCCAGAACACCUACCCGGGUGGCUGGGUCUCGAGUCCAACAUAGCUACUGUCACUCAUUGCUAAUUUAUCCCUCUUCCAUUGCGCCACUCGAGCUCUGAGUCGAGGUGGUUCGCGAUCAAUGGAUAUCCUCAUCUCUGCAAUCGUAGGCGACCUCAUCAGCAGGUCUGCAUCAUUCGUGAUCAGCAAAUACUUCCAGCAGCAGCCUGACAUCAACAAGAUUGUCCAAAGGCUACAGAGUGUUGUACUGAGAAUCGACAUCGUCGUCGAGGAGGCCGAGGCGCGGGACAUCACCAACCAGGGGAUGCUCCGUCAGCUCAAGAUGUUGAGGCAAGGGAUGUACAGAGGCCACUAUGUUCUCGAUGCCUUGAGAUUCCAAGCAGCCCUCGACGAGGAGAAGGUAAGCCACUCAUCAUCUGCGCUCUCUAAAUCCAGUGCAGCCAAACGGCUCCGUUUCUCUCGGACCGGCAGUGGCAGCAGCAACAGAGAAGCAUUGUUGUUUGGCACAAACAGCAACAUGCGAGAAGAGCUGCAACAGAUGGUUGAUACCCUUGAAGACACCGUGGCUGGUAUGAAGGAGUUUCUUUUCUUCUUGGAAUUGUAUCCUCGGAUACUUCGCCAACCUUACGGCACAUAUUUGCUCUUGGACAACUGCAUGUUUGGUCGCCAAACUGAACAGGAAUGGGUCCUGAAUUUCUUGCUCUGUCCCAGUGUUACACCAGACUUGGCUGUACUUCCGAUCAUCGGUCCAAGAAGGGUAGGGAAGAGCACCCUUGUUGAGUAUGUCUGUAGGGAUGAGAGUGUGCGUGGUCACUUCUCGAUGAUCUUGUUCUUUGCAGAAGGUAGUCUCAAGGAUGAAGGACUUGUUGACCUGAAAGGAAACAAUAUUAGUGGUCUAGUCAGACAUCAAAAUUCUGCUUCUCAAAACAGGUUGCUGAUUAUUGUUGAACUAGCUGAGGAUAUUAAUGAGGGAACAUGGAGAAGGUUGAAAUCUUCCGCAAGCAGCAUGGCACCAGGUGGGAGCAAAAUUGUAAUCACCAGUCGAUCAAAUAGAAUUGUGAGUCUGGGAACAACAGAAGCACUUCGACUGGACUAUCUCCCGCAAGAAGCUUAUUGGCAUUUUUUCAAGUCGCUUGCAUUCGGAAGCACAAACCCAGAUGAGCAGCCAAAUAUGGCAAAGAUGGCCAUGGAGAUGGCUUUGGAGCAGAGGCAGAGUUUCACAGGCGCGCGUAUCAUUGCUGGGAUACUGCAAGAUAACUGUAAUCCUCGAUUUUGGCGCACAACUCUUGAACGUACGAGAGCAUCUAUACAGAUAAAUCUCCUUAUGCUUGAACAGCACCCAAUGCUUCUUUUGCGGGAAGAUGAACCGGUGUACAGUCGAAGAACAGACAAGAGCCGAAAACAUUUCUUGAUUUGCAACUAUCAUCAGUCAGAUUCCACUGAGGAUGUCCCUAAGAUCAGUGUGCAGGACAUUAUUUUAGGAUGUGAUGAUACAUUACCCUGUGAAGAAUUUGAGGCUCUUGCAUGGAGGUCUCUCAUACCUCCCUACUACAACUACACAAUAAGCUUUAAGACACAAGAACCACAUCUUACAGUGGGAGGGAAGAAGCGUGCGCAUCAGGAGGAAGAACGUUUAAUUUGAGUAAUGUGUUGUCUGUGGCUCACAUCAUGUAUGCUACAGCCUUGUCUUGCGGAUUAGGAAAUAUUAUUAUAUUGCAUUUACUCUUUGGGAGUCCUGCCAAGUUAUGUCUCUUAGCAGGGACUAGGCAUGGAGUCGUUGUAUCCUAGUAAUACAAGUGUUUGCAUGUCUGUGUUUGGGUAAGUAACUUUCAGAGUCAAGGCAAUGUAUGCAUUCACAGUUAAAAGUAAAGUCCAAGACAAGUUGUAUUUAUAAAGUUGAGUACUGAAGUCCAUAUCCUAUUGAUCUCGAUACUAUGUGUGCUAUGUAAACCUAAGCCUUGUAAUAAUCCUUGAACGUGGAGAAAAGAUACGAGCAAAAGUGCCCCAAACUUGCUACUAUGUGUGAGUUUGAUCCUUGGGCGAAAGCAAACAAGAUUCAAUUCCUUGUCACAAGUAUUUUCCAUGACAAAUUAUUUUCUUGUUUGGUUCAAAGAUCAGAAAGAUUAGCUGGAACUGGAGUAGGACAUUACCUGGAGUGCAGGGCGGUGAGGAGAUGACAAUAUAAAGAUAAAAAAAAAAUAAGUUGUUGGUUUCUUGUCUAUCAUCCCAUGAACUGUGCUGCAUUCUCUACCUUUUGACUCGGAGAAAAAUAAAUCAAUGGGGAGAAGGGAAAAACUAGAUUGAGUUUUGCAACCCGUGUUCUAGUUCGAGUAGCAACAGACAAAGGCCAUAAAUGGGGUAUAAGCAAACUACAUACCAACUUCUCUAAUGCUCAAUGAAACUUAUAGACAGUCUAAAAAUAUUAAAAAUCUCCAAGUCGCAGUUACCUGUGGACCUCCUCAGAGGAUUCUGCAAUGCUAAUAUUGUAUCCUUAUAAUUCCAAAUUGGCUAUAUCCCCUGGACGAACUGUACAAACAGUUGCAAUUCUCUUUGCACCUAACUAAUCACCAAGAAGUUUGUGAGAAAUGUGUGGCCAUGUAGAAACUGGUCGCGAACUGUGAUCUUAUCAGAAAUUACUAGAACAACAUAACGAAUUAUGUGUGGAUAUAAUGAGUGUGCAUUGAUCAGAAGUUAAGAACUGGUGGAGAAGGCGCGCGAGUUUGUCAGAAACUUUUAGAACAAUUGUAAAUGCUGCUGGUACACUUCAAGUUUUGCCUGAAUAUAUUGAACACACCAGUGAACAACAUACAGAGCUACCAGCAGAAUGCAACUGUCAGUGAAAGAACCCAAUGGCUGUUCCUGAAAGAACGGGAAGAACUGGACCCCAUGCUGUUUGAAUGUGUCGUGGGAGGCGGGGGGAGCUGCCGUACCUGGAGCAAAGGGGCGGCGAGGUGUCCCCAGGCUUGGCAAACCCGGCGCGUCGCCUCGUCAACGCCGUCUUCUUCCCAGUGCACCACUGCACCAAUGACUAACACGGCGCCUUGCACCCGCGGCUCCACGGCGACUACCUCGACACCAGCCAUCCCCGACUUGACAUCGACCACGGCCUGACCACACUGUUGCUUGAAUGGGGAGAACAAAGCUGCAGUACCUGGAACUCAGGGGACGACAGCAAGGCCAGUGGCCAGCCGGUGGCUCCUGGGGGAGGCCAUGCUGGCAGCAGUAAGCGCGGAGGUCUGCAAAGGAUGAGCUCCAACUACUCUGAAUACAUCGAGACCUGAAACUGAAGGUAGAGAUUCAGUUAACGGAUGGUGCGCGUCACUGCUAGCAAAGCAAGAAUGAAUGGCUUCUCUCGUUGUUAAUUCAGUUUAAUAACCAAGUUACUGCUAAGUGUGGUAUGAGUGACACAAAAAUACCGCUAGCCGUGGUAAAAAAAAAAAGAACUGGUAUCGGCAAUAUUUCGGUCACAUCUCUCUUCUGAAGAAACACGGGUGCUUUCCGACAUUGUACAUAGAAAGCAAAAAAAAUUCAAUUAUUGCUGGAUCCAAACACCAAAAAGCCUUCUAGACUGCCUUGCCAUUCACUUUUCACUCUUUUGUCAAAAUUCAACCCUCCAUUCAGCGAAAAGCACUCCUUGUCUCACUGGUAGUUUUUGACUAGGCCACGGUUUUUUACAAACCACCACUCCUUGUAGAACAGUCUACUGAAAUUAAGUCCAAGUUAUAACUAUAUUCAAAGGAGAAAUUCGACAAGUCAGACUCAAUUCCACAAGGCAGGCAAAGACCCACUCAGAAAUUGGUAAGGCACCACCACAUCACAUCAUAUAUGUAUUGCAUGCUGAUCCAUCCAGCGCUAGCCCCACUGCCUCACUUCUAAUAUCUCAUACAGAACACGCCCAUUACUUGACGCCCACAUAGAUAUUCCUCAUUGAUAAUAUUCCAUCCAGUACUCAUUGCUAAUUUUAUCCCUCGUCCAUUGCACCGCUCAAGCUCUGAGACGAGGAGGUUCGCAAUCAAUGGAUAUCCUCGUCUCUGCAAUACUAGGUGACCUCGUCAGUAGGUCAGCGUCAUUUGUGAUCAGCAAAUACUUCCAGCAGCAGCCUGGCAUCGGCAAGAUUCUCCAGAGGCUACAGAGUGUCCUACUGAGAAUCGACAUCAUCGUCGAGGAGGCCGAGGCGCGGCACAUCACCAACCAGGGGAUGCUCCGUCAGCUCAAGAUGUUGCGGCAAGGAAUGUACAGAGGCCACUACGUUCUCGAUGCCUUACUGGCAUUUUUUCAAGUCGCUUGCAUUCGGAAGCACAAACCCUGAUGAACAGCCAAAACUGGCAACAAUGGCCAUGGAGAUUGCUUUGGAACAGAGACAGGAUUUCACAAGCGCACAUAUCGUUGCUGGGAUACUGCGAGCUAACAUCAAUGCUCGAUUUUGGCGCACAAUUCUUGAAUGUGUAAGAGCAUAUAAACGGACAAAUCUCCUUUUGUUUGACCAGCACCCAUACUUUCGUUUGCGGGUAGAUGAACCGGUGUACUAUUGGACCUUGGAGAAGAGCCGCAGAUAUUUCUUGAUUUGCAACUAUCAUCAGUCAGAUUCCACCGAGAGUGUUCCAAAGAUCAGUGUGCAGGACAUUCUCCUAGGACGUGGUGGUACACUACCCUAUGGAGAAUUUGAGGCUCUUUCAUGGAGGUCUAGCAUACCGCCCUACUACAACUACAUGGUAAGCUGUAAGAUGCAAGCACCACGACUUACAGUGGGAAGGAAGAGGCGCGUGCAUCAAGAGGAACAACAUUUUAUUUGAAAGUCUGCCACACACGUCAUGUAUGUUACUGCCUUUUCCUGCAAAUUGGGAAAUGUUAUUACACUGACUUUAGAAGUCUUGUCAAGUUUAAACACAUAUGUCUGUUAGUGUGCAGGCUCUAGGCAUGGAGUCGCUGUAUCCUAGUAGUACAAGUGUUUGCAUGUCGAGUAUGUUAUGCUUGUGUUCAGGUAAGUACAUUCAGAGUCGAGGCGAUGUUUGCAUGUCUGAUAAAAUAGAGUCCAAACAUGUUGCAUUUAUAAAUUUGAGUAUCUGAGUCUGUAUGUAUCCUAUUGACCUGUGAGGGUACUAAAUAAAUCUAAGCCUUAAAAUAGCCCUUGAUCAUGAUGAGAAAAGUGCCCUAAAUUUGCUCUGUUUCUCAAGUGUGCGUGUGUUUGAUCCUUGGCGAAAGAAAAUAAGUUUCAAUCCCUCUGACAGAUUAUUUUCUUGCUGGGUCGAGGUUGGCCCACCAUACUGUCUGCAAGUUUUUGGAGAAGCUGAAUGUCAUUGGUGACUGUGGUAGUUCAGACAUCUUUGUGAAAUGAAAUAUGAUAAUCUGAUAAACUUUCUCUCUCCAAAUAUGCUACUUGAUCAACACUAUGCACUGGAGUAUUCAGAACUAAACCUGGAACAAAAACUGAAACUACUAGGAACCAAACUGAAACUGAGUUCAGUUAGGUUUGGAACAGCUAACAAGCUCCGGCUACUCUGAAUACAUCAACACCUGAAACUGAAGGUACAGAUUCAGUCAAUCGGACGGUGCGGGUCACUGUGCUAGCUAGCAAAGCAGAAAUGAAUGGCUGGGAUCGAUGGGCCAAAACCCAACCCUCUAGGCCGGUCAAGAAACGGCAGGGUUUUUCUACCCCGUCCGUGUGUCACUGCUGCUCUUUGACUAAACCACGACUCCUCGUAGAACAGUCCACACAAAUUAAUAUAGCACGUCAAAGAGAGAUUCUUCAAAGGAAAAAGGGGGUACCAGUUAGUUCUGAUGUGACACCAUGACAUGUGAUAAAUUAAUAUUAUUUUUGAAAAGACAUGUAAUAAAUUAUGCUUGUGUGCAUCAUCUAUCGAUGUAUAACUCUAUUUUCUUUUUUUCCAUGUAAUAAAAAGGUACUCUUUCAUGCUAGAAAAAGUAAUGGCCACAACACCUCCAAAACCAAAGAAAAAUGUGCACUCGAGUGAGUUGGUUGGCAAAAAGAAACUUAAAUAUCUCAGACACAUUUCUAAAAGCCAGGAUCAACAUCCAACUAUCCUCUUAUCCAAACCACUCCACAUGCAACUUAUAAACUAAUUUAAAAUAUGCCAAUGGGGCAGUGGCCUAUAUCGAAUUAACCCUUUUCUUACAAUGGCAGUUUUCUUGAUUCACUUUUUGCAGUGGCAUUUUUCAAUGCACGAAGUUGGCAGUGACAUGUACCAAAUAAACCCUAUAAGUAUUUCCACAAAAAAAUUAACCCUACAAGUAAAUAAAAGAAAAGGAAGUAGCAAUUCCAACACAACACGUUAAGUAAAACCCAAUUUCACACGGCAGGCAAAGACUCACACUACCUUGACAUAGUCAGCCACCUUCUAACCUUUCAUCCAGAACACAUGCCCGGGUCUCUAGUCGAAAUUGAGCAACACCCCCAUGACUAGUACCACUCACUGCUAAUUUUAUCCCUUGUCCAUUGCAGCACUCGAGCUCAGAGUCGAGGAGGUUCGGCAGUACCCAAUCAAUGGAUAUCCUCAUCUCUGCAAUCGUAGGCGACCUUGUCGGCAGGUCGAUGUCCUUUUUGAUCAGCAAAUACUUCCAGCAGCAACCUGACAUCAACAAGAUUGUCCAGAGGCUACAGAGUGUUGUAUUGAGAAUCGACAUUGUUGUCGAGGAGGCCCAGGGGAGGGACAUCACCAAUCAGGGUAUGCUCUGUCAGCUCAAGAUGUUGAGGCAAGAAAUGUACAGAGGACACUAUGUUCUUGAUGCCUUGAGAUUCCGAGCCGCCCUUGACGAGGAGGAGGUGAGCCACUCAUCGGCUGCGCUUUGGAAAUCCAGUCCAGCCAAACGGCUUUGUUUCUCUCGCACCGGCAGCAGCAGAGGCAACAGAGAAGCACUGCUAAUUGGCACAAAUAGGAACAUACGAGAAGAGCUGCAACAGAUGGUUGAUACCCUUGAAGACACCAUGGACGGUAUGAAGGCGAUUCUUUUCUUCUUGGAGUUAUAUCCUCGGAUGAUCCGCCAACCUUGCGGCACAUACUUGUUCUUGGACAAUUGCAUGUUUGGUCGCCAAACGGAGCGGCAGUGGAUCCUGAAUUUCUUGCUUAGUCCUGGUGCUACAUCAGAUUUGGCUGUACUUCCGAUCGUUGGCCCAAUAAGAGUAGGGAAGAGCACUCUUGUUGAGAAUGUCUGUAGGGAUGGGAGUGUGCGUGAUCGCUUCUCGAUGAUCCUCUUCUUUCCAGAAAGCAGUCUCAAGGAUGAAGGGGUGGUCGACCUGAGAGAUAACAAUAUUAAAUUCAGACAUCAGAAUUGUGCUUCUCAAAAUAGGUUGCUGAUUAUUAUUGAAACAGACAAGGAUAUUAACGAGGAAACAUCGAGAAGGCUGAAAUCUUCCGCAACCUGCAUGACACCUUGCGGUGAGAGCAAAAUCAUAAUCACUAGUCGGUCAGAUAGAAUUGUGAAUCUGGGAACAACGGAAGCACUUCGACUGGAUUAUCUCUCUCAAGAAGCUUAUUGGCAUUUUUUCAAGUCAAUUGCAUUCGGGAGCAUAAACCCCGGGGAGCAUCCAAAACUGGCAACUAUGGCUAUGGAGAUUGCUUUGGAACAGACACAGUGUUUCACAAGCGCGCGUAUCGUUGCUGAGUUACUGCAACAUAACUUCAAUGCUCGAUUCUGGCGCACAGUUCUUGAAUGUGUAAGAGAAAGUAAACAGAUAAAUCACAUUAUGUUUGGCCAGCACCUACCUUCUUUUGCGGGAAGAUGCACCGGUGUAUUGUUGGAGAUUAGUGAAGAUACACAGAUAUUUCUUGUUUUGCAACCAUCAGCAGUCAUAUUCCGAUGAGAAUGUCCCCAAGAUCAAUCUGCGGGACAUCAUCUUAGGAUGUGGUGGUAAACUGCCCUGUGGAGAAUUUGAGGCUCUUGCAUGGAGGUCUCGCUUACUGCCCUACUACAACUACAUGGUAAGCUGUAAGAUGCAAGCACCACAACUUACAGUAGGAAGGAAGAAGCGUGUGCAUCAAGAGGAAGAACAUUUUGUUUGAGUAGCACACUUCUGUGACUCAUAUCAUGUAUGCUACCGUGUUGUCCUGUGAGUUAGGAAAUAUUAUUACUCUGCCUUAAUUAGGAGUCUUGGCAAGUUAGGUAACAUAUAUGUCUAUUAACGUGUAGGCAUGGAGGGCUUCUAUCCUCCUAGCAUAAGUUUGCAAGUCGAGUACAUCAUGCUGUUGUUUGGGCAAGUACUUUCAGAUUCAAAACAGUGUUUGCAUCGCCGGUUAAAUCAGAGUCCUAGACAAAAUGUAUUUAUAAAGUUGGAUGAUUGAGUCUGUCUCCUAGUGAUCUGGAUACUAUGGGUAAUCUAUAAACCUAAGCCUUGCUAUCACACAUAUAUUGAUCUUUGGACAUGAAGAAAAGAAUAGGGAAAAGUGCACCAAAUCUGCUCUGUUUGAUCCUUGGGCAAAAGCCAACAUGCUUCAAUUCCUCUGUCACAUUUAUUUUUUGUGGCAGAUUCUUUUCUUGCUGGAUUUCAUUAAGUAGACUGGACCGGUGUAUUGUUGGAGAUUGGUGAAGAGACACAGAUCCUGAGCUGAACCCUUGCUCUUGCUCUUGCACUGGACUGGACCUGACAAGCACAGGAUCUAAACUGGCCUGGCCAUAUUGUUGCUUGAAUGGGGGAAAGCUGCAGUACCUGGAGCUCAGCGGACGGCGGAGGGAAUACGGGGUUCAUAAUGAAGCCUGGGAAGGAAGGGACGGUGAGUUUGUAGGCUGGCCGUAGAAGCGCUCGCCGGCGGCCCUAAGGAGGCCAGGUGGUGCAGCUCCAGCCACUCCAAAUAUAUCGACACCUGAAACUGAAGGUGCAGAUUCAGUUAACGGCCGGUGCGCGUCACUGCCAGGAAAGAAUGAACGGCUGGGAUUGACGGUCCUCUGAGUUUGCUGCUGUUGUUGUUAACUCAGUCUAGUUACCAAAAGUUACUGCUAACUGCAGUAUGAGUGUUCUGGCAAAAAAAAAAAACUGCUAACUGCAGUAAGAGCAGAACUGGUAUCUGCCGAUAUUUCUCACUGAACAGUAGAAACCAAAGCAAAUUCAACUAUUCCUAGAGCCAAAGGCCAAAAUCCCUUCUAGACUGCUUUGCCAUUCAUUUCUCACUCUUAUGUCAAAAUUCAACCCACCCGGUCAGCAAACGGCAUGGUUUUUCUCUUCCGCGCCUCAUUUAUGGUUUUUCACUCCACCACCACUCCUUGUAGAACAGUCUGCCCAAAUCAAGCCCAACUUGUAUAACACGUCAAGGAGAAAUUCCUACAAGGAAAAUGGGCACCAGUUAGUUCUGAUGUGACAUCUUGACCUGUAAUAAAUUAUGCUUGUGUGCAUCAUCUAUCGUCUGGAUGCAGAUGCCCAGAGGUAUAAAAUAAGAUAAAAGUAAAGGAAGGAAACAAAGUAGUGUUGUUUUGGCAUAGAUUUGCAACGAGUCAAGUCAGACUCAAUUGCGCAGCCUAAGACUCGCUCAAAAAUUAGCAGGGCGCCACCACCAUCAUAUAUAUAGCAGCUGAUCAUCUUAUUGCAUUAGAUUGGUGCUCCAUUAUUUAUUUCAAAAUAUACAUAUAACAUUUAAAACUUUAAAAGCUUACCAAGCCUUAACAAGUCUUGAGUCGAAAUUGAGCAACCCCCCAUGGAUUGACGCCCAAGUAGCUAGUAUCACUCACUGCUAAUUUUAUCCCUCUUCCAUUGCUCCACUUGAGCUCUGAGUCAAGGUGGUUCGCAAUCAAUGGAUAUCCUCGUCUCUGCAAUCGUGGGUGACCUCAUCAGCAGGUCUGCAUCGUUCGUGAUUAGCAGAUACUUCCAGCAGCAACCUGACAUCAAUAAGAUUCUACAGAGGCUAUGGAGUGUCCUACUGAGAAUCGGUAUCUUCGUCGAGGAGGCCGAGGCACGGCACAUCACCAACCAGGGGAUGCUCCGUCAGCUCAAGAUGUUGAGGCAAGGAAUGUACAGAGGCCACUAUGUUCUCGAUGCCUUGCGAUUCCAAGCCGCCCGCGGCGAGGAGGAGAUGAGCCACUCGUCAUCUGCACUGUCCAAAUCCAGUCCAACCAAAUGCCUUCGUUUCUCUCGCACCCGCAGUGGCAGCAGCAGCAGCAACAGAGAAGCACUGUUGUUUGGCACAAACAACAACAUACAAGACGAGCUGCAACGGAUGGUUGAUACCCUUGAAGACACCGUGGCUGGUAUGAAGGAGUUUCUUUUCUUCAUGGAGCUGUAUCCUCGGAUCCUCCGCCAACCUUAUGGUAUGUAUUUGCUAUUGGACAACUGCAUGUUUGGUCGCCAAAUGGAACGGGAACAGGUUCUGAAUUUCUUGCUUAGUCCUGGUGCUACAUCAGACUUGGCUGUACUUCCGAUUGUUGGUCCAAUAAGAGUAGGGAAGAGCACCCUUGUUGAACAUGUCUGUAGGGAUGAGAGUGUGCGCAGUCACUUCUCGAUGAUCCUGUUCUUUCCACAAGGUAGUCUCAGGGAUGAAGGGGUGGUUGACCUGAAAAGAAACAAUAUUAAUGGUCUAGUAAGAUAUCGAAACUCUGCUUCUCAGACCAGGUUGCUGAUUAUUGUUGAAAUAGCUGAGGAUAUUAAUGAAGGAACAUGGAGAAGGCUGAAAUCCUCCACAACCGGCAUGACACCGUGCGGUGGGAGCAAAAUUAUAAUAACCAGUCGAUCAGAUAGAAUUGUGAAUCUGGGAACAACGGAAGCACUUCGACUGGACUUUCUCCCUCCAGAAGCUUACUGGCAUUUUUUCAAGUCACUUGUAUUCAGAAGCACAAACCCUGAUGAGCAGCCAAAACUAGCAACAAUGGCCAUGGAGAUCGCUUUGGAACUGCGACAGGGUUUCACAAGCGCGCAUAUCGCUUCUGGGAUAUUGCGACAUAACUUUAAUGCUCGAUUCUGGUGCACAGUUCUUGAAUGUGUAAGAGAAAGUAGACAGACAAAUCUCAAUAUGUUUGGCCAGCACCCAAACCUUCGUUUACGGGAAGAUGCACCGGUGUAUUGUUGGAGAUUGGUGAAGAGCUGCAGAUAUUUCUUGAUUCACAACUAUCAUCAGUCAGAUUCCAGUGAGAAUGUCCCUAAGAUCAAUCUGAGGGACAUCGUCUUAGGAUCUGGUGGUAAACUACCCUGUGGAGAAUUUGAGGCUCUUGCAUGGAAGUCGCGCAUACCGCCCUACUACAACUACAGGGUAAGCUGUAAGAUGCAAGCACCACAACUUACAGUAGGAAGGAAGAAGCGUGUGCGUCAAGAGGAAGAACAUUUUGUUUGAAUAGCACACUGUCUGUGACUCAUAUCAUGUAUACUACCAUGUUGUCCUGUGAAUUAGGAAAUAUUAUUACUCAGGAGUCUUGCCAAGUUAGUUAACAUAUAUGUCUAUUAACAUGUAGGCAUGCCGGACUUCUAUCCUCGUAGCAUAAGUCUGUACUUUCAGAUUCAAUACAGUGUUAGCAUUCCGGUUAAAUCAGAGUCCAAGACAAAAUGUAUUUAUAAAGUUGAGUGCUUGAGUCUGUAUCCUAGUGAUCAGGAUACUAUGUAUAACCUAUAAACUUAAGCCUUGCUAUCACACAUGUAUUGAUCUUUGGGCAUGAAGAAAAGAGUAAGGAAAAGUGCAUCAAAUUUGCUCUGUUUCCCAUGUACGCGUGUGUUUGAUCCUUGGGCAAAAGGCCAAUAUGUUUCAAUUCCUCUGUCACAUUUAUUUUUUUGUGACAGAUUCCUUUCUUGCUGGAUUUAAAGAUCAGAAAGAUAAGCUGGAUCAGGAGUAGUGGCAUUACCUGGAGGCCAGGUGAUGCAGCUCCCGCUAAUCUGAAGGGACAAUUCCAUUUCUCUCCCUAACUUGAGCCACCACCUGGCGUUUGCCCCUAAUUUUCAGUUAUGCUCAAAAAUAAACCUCUUCCGUCAAGUCACCUUACAGAAAUGCCCUUCUGUGUCGUUACCGUCCGGUCAAAGGGCUUUGACCGUCUGGCGAAUAGUAACGUGGUGAACAGUAAAUUCGAAAAAAAAUUAAAAAAAUCUAAAAUUUUGUGGGAUCGAAGAUACUCAAGGGAUCAAGGUGCUUGCAAAUUUUCGCGUAGUUUGGACAUUCCAGCAGCUCGUGUCAAAGGAAAAACUUUAAAAUGUACGCUGUGAACAGUAAAUUCAAAAAACAUAGCUAGAAAAUUCAAAAAAAUAUGAAAUUUUUUGGCAUCAAAGAGGCUGGGGUGCGUGCAAAUUUUUGUUGUGUUUCGACACUGUAGGAGCUCGUGGAGAAAAAAACAAAAUCUGGCGAAAAAAACUUUGAAAAAAAUGCACUGUUUUGUUUUUUUUUUUUGCUAGAGCACCUCGCAUGUCAUUUGAUCACAAAAAUUUGCAAGCACCUUGCGCACCCAAGCCUCUUUGAUGCCAAACAAAUUCAUAUUUUUUAAAAUUUUCUUGCUAUUGUUUUUGAAUUUACUGUUCAUAGCGUAUAGAUUUAUAUUUUUUUCCUUUGCCACGAGUUCCUGGAAUGUCCAAAUAGCAGGAAAAUUUGCAUGCACCUUGCGCCCUUGAGUAUCUUCGAUCCCACAAAAUUUCAGAUUUUUUUGAUAUUUUUUUCGAAUUUACUGUUCACCAUGUUACUAUUCACCAGAUGGUCAAAGCCCUUUGACCGGACGGCAAUGGCAUUUCUAUAAGGUGAAUUGACGGAAGAGGGGUAUUUUUUAGCAUACCUGAAAAUUAGGGGCAAAUGCCAGGUGGUGGCUCAAGUUAGGGGGAGAAAUGGAAUUGUCCCUAAUCUGAAUAUAUCAACACCUGAAACUGAAGGUGCAGGUGCAGAUUCAGUUAACGGAAAGAAAGAAUGGAUGGGGUUAACGGACCUCUGAGUUUGCUGCUGUUGUCGUUAACUCGGUUUAGUUACCAAGUUACUGCUAACUACAGUAUAAGUGUCCUGGCAAAAAAAAAUAUACUACUAUCAGCGGUAAAAGGAGAACUGGUAUCUGACGAUAUUUCUCUCACUGAACAGUAGAAACCAAAGCAAAUUCAACUAUUCCUGGAGCCAAAGGCCAAAAUCCCUUGUAGACUGUCUUGCCACCCAUUUCUGAGUCUUUUAUCAAAAUUCAACCCUCCGGUCAAUAAACGGUAUGGUUUUUCUCAUGUCUCAUUUAUGGUUUUUGACUAAACCAGCACUCUUUGUAGAACAGUCUACCCAAAUUAAGUCCAACUUGUAUAACCUGUCAAGAAGAAAUUUCUACAAGGAAAAAGGGCACCAGUUAGUUAGUUCUGAUGUGACAUCUUGACUUGUACUCCCUCCGUUCCUAAAUAUUUGUCUUUUUAGAGAUUUUAAAUGGACUAUCACAUACGGAUGUAUAUAGACAUAUUUUAGAGUGUAGAUUUACUCAUUUUGCUCCAUAUGUAGUCAUUUGUUGAAAUAUCUAGAAAGACAAAUAUUUAGGAAAGGAGGGAGUAAUAAAUUAUGCUUGUGUGCAUCAUCUAUCAUCUAGAUGCAGAUGCCCCAGAGGUAUAAAAUAAGAUAAAUGUAAAGGAAGGAAACAAAAGCAGUGUUGUUUUGGCAUAGUUUUGCAACGAGUCAAGUCAGACUCAAUUCACAUGGCAGCCCAAGACUCGCUCAAAAAUUUACCAGGGCACCACCACAGCAUAUAAUAUCCAGCAGUAGCCUCAGUGACUCACACUACUUUGCCAUGGUUAACCUUGAAAUCUUCCAUCCACAACACCUACCCUGGUGGCUCGGUCUUGAGUCAAAAUUGAGCAACACCCCCAUGGCUUGACGCCCAAGUAGCUAGUGUCACUCACUGCUAAUUUUAUCCCUCUUCCAUUGCACCACUUGAGCUCUGAGUCAAGGUGGUUUGCAAUCAAUGGAUAUCCUCGUCUCUGCAAUCGUAGGUGACUUCAUCAGCAGGUCUGCAUCGUUCAUGAUCAGCAAAUACUUCCAGCAGCAGCCUGACCUCAACAAGAUUCAACAGAGGCUACAGAGAGUCCUACUGAGAAUCGACAUCAUCGCCGAGGAGGCCGAAGCGCGGGACAUCACCAACCAGGGGAUGCUCCGUCAGCUCAAGAUGUUGAGGCAAGGAAUGUACAGAGGCCGCUAUGUUCUUGAUGCCUUGAGAUUCCAAGCGGCCCUCGACGAGGAGGUAAGCCACUCAUCAUCUGCGCUCUGUAAAUAUAGUCCAGCCAAACGGCUCUGUUUCUCUCGCGCCGGCAGUGGCAGCAGCAACAGAGAAGCGCUGUUGUUUGGCACAAACAGCAACAUGAGGGAAGAGCUGCAACGGAUGGUUGAUACCCUUGAAGAGACCGUUUCUGGCAUGAAGGAGUUUAUUUUCUUCUUGGAGUCAUAUCCCCGGAUACACCGCCAACCUUAUGGCACAUAUUUGGUAUUGGACAAUUGCAUGUUUGGUCGGCAAACGGAACGGGAGCGGGUCCUGAAUUUCUUGCUUUGUCCCAGUGCUACUUCAGACUUGGCUGUACUUCCGAUCAUUGGUCCAAGAAGAGUAGGGAAGAGCACCCUUGUUGAGUACAUCUGUAGGGAUGAGAGUGUGCGUGAUGGCUUCUCCAUGAUCAUGUUCUUUCCAGAAGGCAGUCUCAAGGAUGAAGGAGUGGUCGACCUGAAAGGGAACAUUAUGAAUAGUCUAGUCAGACAUGAGAAUUUUGCUUCUCAAAACAGGUUGCUGAUUAUUGUUGAAAUAGCCGAGGGCAUUAGCGAGGAAACACUGAGAAGCCUGAAAUCUUCCGCAACCUUCAUCACACCUUGCGGUGGCUGCAAAAUCAUAAUCACCAGUCGCUCGGAUAGAGUAGUGAAUCUGGGAACAACAGAAGCACUUCGACUGGACUAUCUCUCUCAGGAAGCUUAUUGGCAUUUUUUCAAGUCGCUUGCAUUCGGAAGCAGAAGCCCUGAUGAACAGCCAAAACUGGCAUCGAUGGCCAUGGAGAUCGCUUUGGAACACAAACAGUGUUUCGCAAGCGCGCAUAUCAUUGCUGGGAUGCUGCGAGAUAACUUCAAUGCUCAAUUCUGGAGCACAAUUCUUGAUUGUGUGAGAGCAUUUAAACAGACACAUCUCCUUAUGUUUGGCCAGCACCCAUACCUUCGUAUGCGGGAAGAUGCACCGGUGUAUGGUUGGAGAUUGGCGAGCAGCAGCAAAUAUUUCUUGGUUUGCAACACUUGUCAGUUAGGUUCCAGUGAGGAAGUCCCGAAGAUCAGUGUGCAGGACAUCAUCUUAGGACAUGGUGGUACACUACCACGUGGGCAAUUUGAGGCCCUUGGAUGGAGGUCUCGCAUACCUCCCUACUACAACUACAUGGUAAGCUGUAAGAUGCAAGAACCACAAAUUACUGUGGGAAGGAAGAAGCGCGCGCAUCAGGAGGAAGAACAUUUGAUUUGAAUAACCAUGUUGUCUGUGGCUCACAUCAUAGGAAGUAUUAUUACGCUGCAUCUAGGAGUCCUGCCAAAUUAGUUAAUAACUUAAUAUAUUUCUUGUAGCGUUUGGAUGCUUGUGUUUGGGUCAAGGCAAUGUUCGCAUUGCCGGUUGAAUUAGAAUCCAAGACAAGUCGUAUUUAUAAAGUUGAGCACUUAUUAGUCUCUACGUAUCAUGUGGGUACUCCAUAAAACUAAGCCUUGUGAUAAUCCUUGGACUUGAAGAAAAGGGUAGAGAAAAAAUUGCCCCAAAUUUGCUCUGUUUCUGAUGUGUGAGUGAGGUUGAUUCUUGGGCGAAAGCCAACAAGUUUCAACUCCUCUGUCACACGCAUUUUCUGCGACAGAGUCUUUUCUUGCUGGGUGAAAAGAUCAGAAAGUUAAUCUGGAAUGGGAUGGGAGUAUUAGCGCUACCUGCAGCUCAGGGCGGUGGGAAGGUAAUGAUAAAGAUAAAACUAAGUUGUUGGUUUCUUGUAUAUCAUCCAAUGAACCGAGCUGCAUUUUGUAUCUUUUGACUCGGACAAAACAAUAUUUUGGGUAACAAAAUAUCACGAGAAAGAACAUUUGUAGACACCAGGCAUGUAGUAGUAGUACAUUGUGCUUUCAGAGUCAAGUUUAGAGUCAAAAACAAGUUGAAUUUUUAAAGUUGUCUAAAUAUUGGGCAAGUACUUCAAAUUUAUCUGAAUAUUGAACACAGGACUGAAAGAAUCCCCAUGGAUUGUUACUGAAAGAACUCCCAAUGGUUCAGCAAUGAGAACUGCAGGGAAUACUCAGAUUGGCUAUUGGAGAAGCAGUGUGGGGGUGUUGGUGGGCGGGGGCGGGAGCUGCAGUACCUGGAGCAAAGGGGCGGCGAUGUCGGCGGCCAGUCAGCGGCGGGAAUGCCGGGUCCGCCGAAGUGGGUUAUGCUGGCAUCGAGGAGGGCCGGCCGUGCAAACGCACAAGUGCUAGCUGAGGAGGUCAUGCGCCAUGGGUUGGAGGGCGUGCGAGCCGGCCGCGGGCCGCCGGCGCCGCGCGGGAUUUGUCGCCGGCGGUGAGCAAUAAAAUGAGUAGGUACCAGCCUGCCAGAGUCAGCAGGAAGUUGGACCUUUUCCCCUUCCUUUGGGCUGGGCUUUAGGUGGACCUUGACCUGAUCAUACCCCGGGCCGGGCUAAACAAUGCACGUCUGAUUCUAAAAAAAAAUGUACGUCUGAGAAUAUCAAGUUGAGCCAGGACCGGCCCAGCCCAAAUGUUAUUUCCUAAGGGAAAAUUUUGUUUUUGCCCCUCUAGAUUUUGCCAAGUUUUCUUAUGCCACUCUAUUUUGACAUUUCACUUUUGCCACUCUUAGUUUUUGACAAUUAUCACAAUUGUCAUUCCCGUGACAAAAUUUUCCCUUAAAAUAAAUCUAUUUAUCAUACGCAAUAUUCACCAGGGCUUGACAUGCCGCGAAUCCUCUUGAAAGAGAGGGGUGCCCUCGGGAACGCGGACACAGGUGGUGCAUGGCGAAUAAACUUCCAUUUAUGACCUAGUUUGGGCUUUUUCAUGCUUUGGACGCGAAAGGUUGAGGUGUCAUCAAGGUUGAUAUAAAAAAAACAUAUCAUAUAACCCAUGGAGGAUGACAUCAAGUGGUGAUCAUCAUCAAGGUUGCGGUGUGCAAAUUCAAGUGUAGCAUCACGAAGAGAUCGGACUUGAAGCUUGCCAUCCAUUCUCAUGAUAAUGGACAUGUGAAGAUGUGCCUAAGAGAGGCUCACCCAUACUGGAGUAUGUGGGAGCAAUCUAGUAGUCUUCAUCGAGUGUACGCUAUCAAUAAAGGUGGUCCAACUUGAGGAAGUCAAGAUCGUCAUCAUCUAGCUCAAGUGAACUAUGCGCAAGGGAAAGGUUUGCCCUUGAUAGGUUUUCUAUUUUACCGGUCUCAUGGUGCUAGUUGGGAGACCGGGUUAUAGGUUAGUUUCCUGUACUAUCAAGGGGGGCUCUCAAGUGAAUAGUUUGAUUGUAUCGUUCAUAGAGAGCUCAAACCAUUGCAUCCUUGGCAUCAUCUUUCUUGGUUCUUGUUUGGCUUUUCUCUAUGUGAGUUUUGGAGCUUGUGGUCAUCUUCAUGACAAGUUCAAGUUCAUCCAAAACGGAUUUCCUAUAUGCAUCAUCUAUUGUAUUUUCAAUGUUGGAGUUUUUGUCGGUUCUUCACUGGUGGAGGUUUCACACCUCUAUAUCAUUGGCAUAUUUCAAUCCAUGAUUUGACAGCUCUUACCGUUAGCUUUCUAUCAAGCUUGAGUUCAUCAAAAUCAGAGUUCACUUGCAGAAGUAUGAUAGUUUUGAUCUUACUUGUUUCAUCUGUUGUGCAUUGGUCUUUUGGCAGAGACCAAGCAGUAGUACCACUGGUGCCCACGGUAGUACAACUUCGGAUGUACUUCUGUUGGCUUGUACCGCGCUACUUCCGCUUGGCUGGAGUCUUCAGUUGCCCCUCGACUACUCGCGGUAGUACCGCUUGUCUUAUGGCGGUAAUACCGCUUAAGCGGUACUUAUGCUGGGUAGUACCGCGGCUACUUCCGCUUGAGUUGAGUCUUCUAUAUGCUCUCUGCCAAUUUAUGGUAGUAUUGCUAGCACUAUAUUGUAGUACCUCUUCGUGCGGUACUUCCGCUCUCGUGAUGUGUUGGCUAUGCUGAUUCUAACGAAACUACCAUUCUAGUACUUCAGUACUCGUUGGGUUGUGUUGACCGGGCUAAGCGGUAGUACUGCUUCCCCGAGCAGUAGUCCCGUUGGUGCACGACCUAUGUGCAUAAUGGUUGGAUUUGAGCCCCCUCUAUAAAAGGGGGUCUUCUUCCCCAUUGCCCCAGCGUUUAUUUGUAGGCUUCCUCCUCCAUUAUCGACCUCCGAAAGCUUUGUUUUCUCUAUAAUCCUCCCAUGAAUCUUGCAUCUUUUUGAGGGAAAGGAUAGAGAGGAUCUAGAUCUACAUUUUCGCCAAUCCAUAUCUCCUCUAAGUGAGGGGAACCUUGUGGAUCUGGAUCUUGGAGUUCUUUUGUGUUUUCCUUGUUUUUCCUCUCAUAUUCCUCCAUAGCUUCAUUGCAUUGGUGGGAUUUGAGAGUGCGGGACUUGAGCACUUCGUGUGUUCUUGCCAUUGUAUUAGUUGCAUCGGUACGUACGAGUUCUCCACGGUGAUACGUGGAAGUGAAAGUUUAGAAGCUUAUUACUCUUGGGUGUUUCGGCACCCUAGAGCUUGUGCCUCUUGGGUGCUUGGGCACCCUAGAUGGUUGGUUGUAUUGCGGAGCUCAAUCAUUGUGGUGUAAAGCUGCAGGCAAGCUUCAGGGUCUCCAAUUAAGUUGUGAAGAUUGCCCCAAGAAAAUUUAUCGUGAAUGAUGAGAGGAGUCCACUCAUCGUGAGAAUAACCCACCUAGCAUGGAAGAUACUGAGGGCCCCCAAUCGCCACAUGAGCGAUUUGGGGCUCUUGCAUGGAGGUCUCGCAUACCACCCUACUACAACUACACGAUAAGCUGUAAGAUGCAAGCACCACAACUUACAGUAGGAAGCAAGAAGCGGGUGCAUCAGGAGGAAAAACAUUUCAUUUGAGUAGCACAAUGUAUGUGACUCACCAUGUAUGGUACUGCCUUUGAAGGAAAUAUGCCCUAGAGGCAAUAAUAAAGUUAUUAUUUAUUUCCUUAUAUCAUGAUAAAUGUUUAUUAUUCAUGCUAGAAUUGUAUUAACCGGAAACAUAAUACAUGUGUGUGAAUACAUAGACAAAGAGAGUGUCACUAGUAUGCCUCUAAUUGACUAGCUCGUUAAUCGAAGAUGGUUAUGUUUCCUAACCAUGAACAAACGAGUUGUUAUUUGAUUAACGGGAUCACAUCAUUAGAAGAAUGAUGUGAUUGACAUGACCCAUUCCAUUAGCUUAGCACCCGAUCGUUUAGUAUGUUGCUAUUGCUUUCUUCAUGACUUAUACAUGUUCCUAUGACUAUGAGAUUAUGCAACUCCCAUUUACCGGAGGAACACUUUGUGUGCUACCAAACGUCACAACGUAACUGGGUGAUUAUAAAGGAGCUCUACAGGUGUCUCCAAAGGUGAAUGUUGGGUUGGCGUAUUUCGAGAUUAGGAUUUGUCACUCCGAUUGUCGGAGAGGUAUCUCUGGGCCCUCUCGGUAAUGCACAUCACAUAAGCCUUGCAAGCAUUACAACUAAUGAGUUAGUUGCAAGAUGAUGUAUUACAAAACGAGUAAAGAGACUUGCCAGUAACGAGAUUGAACUAGGUAUUGAGAUACCGACGAUCGAAUCUCGGGCAAGUAACAUACCAAUGACAAAGGGAACAACGUAUGUUGUUAUGCGGUCUGACCGAUAAAGAUCUUCGUAGAAUAUGUAGGAGCCAAUAUGAGCAUCCAGGUUCCGCUAUUGGUUAUUGACCGAAGACGUGUCUCGGUCAUGUCUACAUUGUUCUCGAACCCGUAGGGUCCGCACGCUUAAGGUUUCGAUGACAGUUAUAUGAUGAGUUUAUGCAUUUUGAUGUACCGAAGUUUGUUCGGAGUCCCGGAUGUGAUCACGGACAUGACGAGGAGUCUUGAAAUGGUCGAGACAUAAAGAUUGAUAUAGUGGAAGCCUAUAUUUGGAUAUCGGAAGUGUUCCGGGUGAAAUCGGGAUUUACCAGAGUACCAGGAGGUUACCAGAACCCCCCGGGAGGUAUAUUGGCCUUAGUGGGCUUUAGUGGAAGAGAGGAGAGGUGGCCAGGGCUGGGCCGCGUGCCCCUCCCCCCUAGUCCGAAUAGGACAAGGAGAGGGGGGCGGUGCCCCCCUUCCUUCUCUCUCUCCUCUUUCCCCCUUCCCGAAUCCGAUUCCAACUAGGAAAGGGGGGGAAUCCUACUCCCGAUGGGAAUAGGACUCCUCCUGGCGCGCCCUCCUCCUGGCCGGCCGCACCUCCCCUUGCUCCUUUAUAUACGGGGGCAGGGGGGACCCCUAGAGACACAAGUUGAUCCACGUGAUCAUAUUCUUAGCCGUGUGCGGUGCCCCCUUCCACCAUAAUCCUCGAUAAUAUUGUAGCGGUGCUUAGGCGAAGCCCUGCAACGGUAGAACAUCAAGAUCGUCACCACGCCGUCGUGCUGACGGAACUCUUCCCCGACACUUUGCUAGAUCGAAGUCCGGGGAUCGUCAUCGAGCUGAACGUGUGCUAGAACUCAGAGGUGCCGUAGUUUCGGUGCUUGAUCGGUCGAGCCGUGAAGACGUACGACUACAUCAACCGCGUUGUGCUAACGCUUCCGCUGUCGGUCUACAAGGGUACGUAGAUCACACUCUCCCCUCUCGUUGCUAUGCAUUACCAUGAUCUUGCGUGUGCGUAGGAAUUUUUUUGAAAUUACUACGUUCCCAACAGUGGCAUCCGAGCCUAGGUUUUAUGUGUUGAUGUUAUAUGCACGAGCAGAACACAAGUGAGUUGUGGGCGAUAUAAGUCAUAUUGCUUACGAGCAUGUCAUACUUUGGUUCAACGGUAUUGUUGGACGAAGCGGCCCGGACCGACAUUACGCGUAAGCUUACGCGAGACCGGUUCUCCCGACGUGCUUUGCACAAAGGUGGCUAGCGGGUGACAGUUUCUCCAACUUUAGUUGAACCAAGUGUGGCUACGCCCGGUCCUUGCGAAGGUUAAAACAACACCAACUUGACAAACUAUCGUUGUGGUUUUGAUGCGUAGGUAAGAUUGGUUCUUGCUUAAGCCCGUAGCAGCCACGUAAAACUUGCAACAACAAAGUAGAGGACGUCUAACUUGUUUUUGCAGGGCAUGUUGUGAUGUGAUAUGGUCAAGACAUGAUGCUAAAUUUUACUGUAUGAGAUGAUCAUGUUUUGUAACCAAGUUAUCGGCAACUGGCAGGAGCCAUAUGGUUGUCGCUUUAUUGUAUGCAAUGCAAUUGCGUUGUAAUGCUUUACUUUUCACUAAGCGGCAGCGAUAGUCAUGGAAGCAUAAGAUUGGCGAGACGACAACGAUGCUACGAUGGUGAUCAAGGUGUUGCGCCGGUGACGAUGGUGAUCACGACGGUGCUUCGAAGAUGGAGAUCACAAGCACAAGAUGAUGAUGGCCAUAUCAUAUCACUUAUAUUGAUUGCAUGUCAUGUUUAUCUUUUAUGCAUCUUAACUUGCUUUGAUUGACGGUAGCAUUUUAAGAUGAUCUCUCACUAAUUAUCAAGAAGUGUUCUCCCUGAGUAUGCACCAUUGCGAAAGUUCUUCGUGCUGAGACACCACAUGAUGAUCGGGUGUGAUAGGCUCUACGUUCAAAUACAACGGGUGCAAAACAAUUGCACACGCGGAAUACUCAGGUUAUACUUGACGAGCCAAGUAUAUACAGAUAUGGCCUCGGAACACGGAGACCGAAAGGUCGAGCGUGAAUCAUAUAGUAGAUAUGAUCAACAUAGUGAUGUUCACCAUUGAAACUACUCCAUCUCACGUGAUGAUCGGACAUGGUUUAGUUGAUUUGGAUCACGUGAUCACUUAGAAGAUUAGAGGGAUGUCUUUCUAAGUGGGAGUUCUUAAGUAAUAUGAUUAAUUGAACUUUAAAUUUAUCAUGAACUUAGUCCUGGUAGUAUUUUGCAAAUUAUGUUGUAGAUCAAUAGCUCGCGUUGUUGCUUCCCUGUGUUUAUUUUGAUAUGUUCCUAGAGAAAAUUGUGUUGAAAGAUGUUAGUAGCAAUGAUGCGGAUUGGAUCCGUGAUCUGAGGUUUAUCCUCAUUGCUGCACAGAAGAAUUAUGUCCUUGAUGCACCGCUAGGUGACAGACCUAUUGCAGGAGCAGAUGCAAACGUUAUGAACGUUUGGCUAGCUCAAUAUGAUGACUACUUGAUAGUUUAGUGCACCAUGCUUAACAGCUUAGAAUCGGGACUUCAAAGACGUUUUGAAUGUCAUGGACCAUAUGAGAUGUUCCAGGAGUUGAAGUUAAUAUUUCAAGCAAAUACCCGAGUUGAGAGAUAUGAAGUCUCCAACAAGUUCUAUAGCUAAAAGAUGGAGGAGAAUCGCUCAACUAGUGAGCAUGUGCUCAGAUUGUUUGGGUACUACAAUCGCUUGAAUCAAGUGGGAGUUAAUCUUCCAAAUAAGAUAGUGAUUGACAGAAUUCUCUAGUCACCAUCACCAAGUUAGUAGAACUUCGUGAUGAACUAUAGUAUGCAAGGGAUGACGAAAACGACUCCCAAGCUUUUCAUGAUGAUGAAAUCGAUGAAGGUAGAAAUCAAGAAAGAGCAUCAAGUGUUGAUGGUUGACAAGAUCACUAGUUUCAAGAAAAGGGCAAAGGAAAAAAAGGGGAACUUCAAGAAGAAUAGCAAGCAAGUUGCUGCUCAAGUGAAGAAGCCCAAGUCUGGUCCUAAUCCUGAGACUAAGUGCUUCUACUGCAAAGGGAUUGGUGACUGGAAGUGGAACUACCCCAAGUGAUUGGCAGAUAAGAAGGAUGGCAAAGUGAACAUAAGUAUAUUUGAUAUACAUGUUAUUGAUGUGUACUUUACUAGUGUUUAUAACAACCCCUCAGUAUUUGAUACUAGUUCAGUUGCUGAUUAGUAACUCGAAAUGGGAGUUGCAGAAUAAACAGAGACUAGUUAAGGGUGAAGUGAUGAUGUGUGUUGGAAUUGGUUCCAAGAUUGAUAUGAUCAUCAUCGCACACUCCCUAUACUUUCGGGAUUAGUGUUGAAACUAAAUAAGUGUUAUUUGUUGUUUGCGUUGAGCAUAAAUAUGAUUGGAUCAUGUUUAUUGCAAUAUGGUUAUUCAUGUAAGUUAGAGAAUAAUUGUUGUUCUGUUUACAUGAAUAAAACCUUCUAUGGUUACACACCCAAUGAAAAUGGUUCAUUGGAUCUCGAUCGUAGUGAUACACAUAUUCAUAAUAUUGAAGCCAAAAGAUGCAAAGUUAAUAAUGAUAGUGCAACUUAUUUGUGGCACUGCCGUUUAGGUCAUAUUGGUGUAAAGCGCAUGAAGAAACUCCAUGCUGAUGGGAUUUUGGAAUCACUUGAUUAUGAAUUAGUUGACGCUUGCGAACCAUGCCUCAUGGGCAAGAUGACUAAGACUCCGUUCUCCGGAACAAUGGAGCGAGCAACAAACUUGAUUGGAAAUAAUACAUACUGAUGUAUGCAGUCCAAUGAGUGUUGAGGCUCGCUGCGGGUAUCGUUAUUUUCUGACCUUCACAGAUGAUUUGAGCAGAUAUGAGUAUAUCUACUUGAUGAAACAUAAGUCUGUAACAUUUGAAAAGUUCAAAGAAUUUCAGAGUGAAGUGGAAAAUCAUCGUGACAAAAAAUAUAUGGUUUCUACGAUCUGAUCGCGGAGACAAAUAUUUGAGUUACGAGUUUGGUCUCCAGUUAAAACAAUAUGAAAUAGUUUCACUACUCACGCCACCUGGAACACCACAGUGUAAUGGUGUGUCCGAACGUCAUAACCGUACUUUAUUAGAUAUAGUGCGAUCUAUGAUGUCUCUUACCGAUCUACCACUGUCGUUUUGGGGUUAUGCAUUAGAGACAGCUACAUUCACAUUAAAAAGGGCACCAUCUAAAUCCAUUGAGACGGCACCGUAUGAACUGUGGUUUGGCGAGAAACCUAAGCUGUCGUUUCUUAAAGUUUGGGACUGCAAUGCUUAUGUGAAAAAGUUUCAACAUGAUAAGCUCAAACCCAAAUCGGAGAAGUAUGUCUUCAUAGGAUACCCAAAGGAGACUGUUGGGUACACCUUCUAUCACAGAUCCGAAGGCAAGACAUUCGUUGCUAAGAAUGGAUCCUGUCUAGAGAAGGAGUUUCUCUCGAAAGAAGUGAGUGGGAGGAAAGUAGAAAACUUGAUAAGGUAAUUGUACCUUCUCCCUUAUUGGAAUGUAGUUCAUCACAGAAAUCUGUUCUUGUGACUACUACACCAAUUAGUGAGGAAGCUAAUGAUGAUGAUCAUGUAACUUCAGAUCAAGUUACUACCGAAUCUCGUAGGUAAACCAGAGUGAGAUCCGCACUAGAGUGGUACGGUAAUCCUGUUCUGGAAGUCAUGUUACUAGACCAUGACGAACUUGCGAACUAUGAGGAAGCGAUGAUGAGCCCAGAUUCCGCGAAAUGGUUUGAGGCCAUGAAAUCUGAGAUAUGAUCCAUGUAUGAGAACAAAGUAUGGACUUUGAUGGAUUUGCCCGAUGAUCAGCAAGCCAUAGAAAAUAAAUGGAUCUUCAAGAGGAAGACGGACGCUGAUAGUAGUGUUACUAUCUACAAAGCUAGACUUGUCGAAAAAGGUUUUUGACAAAGUUCAAGGUGUUGACUACGAUGAAAUUUUCUCACUCGUAGCGAUGCUUAAGUCUGUCCAAAUCAUGUUAGCAAUUGCCGCAUUUUUAUGAAAUCUGGCAAAUGGAUAAACAAAACUACAUUCCUUAAUGGAUUUAAAGAAGAGUUGUAUAUGAUGCAACCAGAAGGUUUUGUCAAUCCUAAAGGUGCUAACAAAAUAUGCAAGCUCCAGCGAUCCAUCUAUGGACUGGUGCAAGCAUCUCGGAGUUGGAAUAUACGCUUUGAUAAGUUGAUCAAAGCAUAUAGUUUUAUACAGACUUGCGGUGAAGCCUGUAUUUACAAGAAAGUGAGUGGGAGCACUACAUCAUUUCUGAUAAGUAUAUGUGUAUGACAUAUUGUUGAUCGGAAAUAAUGUAGAAUUAUUCUGCAAAGCAUAAAGGAGUCUUUGAAAGGAUUUUGUCAAAGAAAACCUCGGUGAAGCUGCUUACAUAUUGAGCAUCAAGAUUUAUAGAGAUAGAUCAAGACGCUUGGUAAGUUUUUUUUUCAAUGAGUACAUACCUUGACAAGAUUUUGAAGUAGUUCAAAAUGGAACAGUCAAAGAAGGAGUUCUUGCCUAUGUUACAAAGGUGUGAAAUUGAGUAAGACUCAAAGCCCGACCACGGCAAAAGAUAGAAAGAGAAUGCAAGUCAUUCCCUAUGCCUCAGCCAUAGGUUCUAUAAAGUAUGCCAUGCUGUGUACCAGAUCUAUUGUAUACCCUACACUGUGUUAAGCAAGGGAGUACAGUAGUGAUCUAGGAGUAGAUCACUUGACAACGGUCAAAAAUUAUCCUUAGUGGAAUAAGGAUAUGUUUCUUGAUUAUGGAGGUGACAAAAGGUACAUCAUAAAAGGGUUACGUCGAUACAAGUUUUGGCACUAAUCUGGAUGACUCUUAGUCUUCAUCUGGAUACAUAUUGAAAGUGGGAGCAAUUAGCUAAAGUAGCUCCGUGCAAAGCAUUGUAGACAUAGAAAAUUGCAAAAUACUUACGGAUCUGAAUAUGGCAGACCUGUUGACUAAACUUCUCUCACAGGCAAAACAUGAUCACACCUUAGUACUCUUUGGGUGUUAAUCACAUAGCAAUGUGAACUAGAUUACUAACUCUAGUAAACCCUUUGGGUAUAGGUCACAUGACAAUGUGAACUAUGGGUGUUAACCACAUGGUGAUGUGAACUAUUAGUGUUGAAUCACAUGGCGAUGUGAACUAGAUUAUUGACUCUAGUGCAAGUGGGAGACUGAAGGAAAUAUGCCCUAGAGGCAAUAAUAAAGUUAUUAUUCAUUUCCUUAUAUCAUGAUAAAUGUUUAUUAUUCAUGCUAGAAUUGUAUUAACCGGAAACAUAAUACAUGUGUGUGAAUACAUAGACAAACAGAGUGUCACUAGUAUGCCUCUACUUGACUAGAUCGUUAAUCGAAGAUGGUUAUGUUUCCUAACCAUGAACAAAAGAGUUGUUAUUUGAUUAACGGGAUCACAUCAUUAGAAGAAUGAUGUGAUUGACAUGACCCAUUCCAUUAGCUUAGCACCCGAUCGUUUAGUAUGUUGCUAUUGCUUUCUUCAUGACUUAUACAUGUUCCUAUGACUAUGAGAUUAUGCAACUCCCAUUUACCGGAGGAACACUUUGUGUGCUACCAAACGUCACAACAUAACUGGGUGAUUAUAAAGGAGCUCUACAGGUGUCUCCAAAGGUGAAUGUUGGGUUGGCGUAUUUCGAGAUUAGGAUUUGUCACUCCGAUUGUCGGAGAGGUAUCUCUGGGCUCUCUCGGUAAUGCACAUCACAUAAGCCUUGCAAGCAUUACAACUAAUGAGUUAGUUGCAAGAUGAUGUAUUACGAAACGAGUAAAGAGACUUGCCGGUAACGAGAUUGAAAUAGGUAUUGAGAUACCGACGAUCGAAUCUCGGGCAAGUAACAUAUCGAUGACAAAGGGAACAACGUAUGUUGUUAUGCGGUCUGACCGAUAAAGAUCUUCGUAGAAUAUGUAGGAGCCAAUAUGAGCAUCCAGGUUCCGCUAUUGGUUAUUGACCGAAGACGUGUCUCGAUCAUGUCUACAUUGUUCUCGAACCCGUAGGGUCCGCACGCUUAAGGUUUCGAUGACAGUUAUAUGAUGAGUUUAUGCAUUUUGAUGUACCGAAGUUUGUUCGGAGUCCCGGAUGUGAUCACGGACAUGACGAGGAGUCUCGAAAUGGUCGAGAUAUAAAUAUUGAUAUAUUGGAAGCCUAUAUUUGGAUAUCGGAAGUAUUCCGGGUGAAAUCGGGAUUUGACCGGAGUACCGGGAGGUUACCGGAACCCCCCGGGAGGUAUAUGAGCCUUAGUGGGCCUUAGUGGAAGAGAGGAGAGGUGGCCAGGGCUGGGCCGCGCGCCCCUCCCCCCUAGUCCGAAUAGGACAAGUGGAGGAGGGCGACACCCCCCUUCCUUCUCUCUCUCCUCUUUCCCCCUUCCCGAAUCCUAUUCCAACUAGGAAAGGGGGGGGGGGAAUCCUACUCCCGGUGGGAGUAGGACUCCUCCUGGCGCGCCCUCCUCCUGGCCGGCCGCACCUCCCCUUGCUCCUUUAUAUACGGGGGCAGGGGGCACCCCUAGAGACAAAAGUUGAUCCACGUGAUCAUAUUCUUAGCCGUGUGCGGUGCCCCCUUCCACCAUAAUCCUCGAUAAUAUUGUAGCGGUGCUUAGGCGAAGCCCUGCGACGGUAGAACAUCAAGAUCGUCACCAGGCCGUCGUGCUGACGGAACUCUUCCCCGACACUUUGCUAGAUCAGAGUCCGGGGAUCGUCAUCGAGCUGAACGUGUGCUAGAACUCAGAGGUGUCGUAGUUUCGGUGCUUGAUCGGUCGGGCCGUGAAGACGUACGACUACAUCAACCGCGUUGUGCUAACGAUUCCGCUAUCGGUCUACAAGGGUACGUAGAUCACACUCUCCCCUCUUGUUGCUAUGCAUCACCAUGAUCUUGCGUGUGCGUAGGAAAUUUUUUGAAAUUACUACGUUCCCAACAGCCUUGUCAUGCGAAUUAGAAAAUAUUAUUACACUGUACUAUUUUAGGACUCUUGCCAAAUUAGUUAAUAACUUAAUAUUUCUGGUAGUGUUUGGAUGCUUGUGUUUGGGUAUGUACUUUCAGAGUCAAGGCAAUGUUUGAAUGUAGGUUGAAGAAGAAUCCAAGACAAGUUGCAUUCAUAAAGUUGAGCAUUCAGUCUAUAUGUAUCGUGUGGGUACAACAUAAACCUAAGUCUUGUAAUAAUCCUUGGACUUGAAUAAAAGGGUAGAGAAAAAAUUGCCCCAAAUUUGCUCUGUUUCUGAUGUGUGAGUGAGGUUGAUUCUUGGGUGAAAGCCAACAAGUUUCAAUUCCUCUAUCACACGCAUUUUCUGCGACAAAUUCUUUUCUUGCUGGGUUUAAACUUUAAAGAUCAGAAAGUUAAUGUGGAAUGGGAGUAGUCGCACUAUCUGGAGCUCAGGGCAGUGGGAAGGUAAUGAUAAUGAUAAAACUAAGAGCCUGUUUGGGACUGCUCUGCUCCUUAAAAUUCAGCUUCGCUUCAGGAAACACAAGCCAAACGGGGUAGCUCCACGAUAUGCCGCUCCACAAAAAAACUAGAAUCUGAGGCGCAACUCCCAAUUUCUUAUGAAGCUCUUCAGGGGGUGCUCCAAAAAACUAUAGAAGCUGGAGUUGGGUGGAAAUUACCCACCACUGCCACCAGUAAGUGGAUACCCCUUCGUUUCUCCCCCCUCAACCAAUCAAAUAGAUCCUUUCCACCAGAUUUCUCAUUCUUGAAGCUGAAGCUAGAUGGAAGCCAAACAUUCUCUUUGGUAGUGCUACAACUUCUGGAUGAAUCUGCUCCAAAAUGAAUUUAGUGGAGCGAAACUGAUUUUGGUGGAGCAGAAUAGUCCCAAAAUGCCCUAAGUUGUUGGUUUCUUGUAUAUCAUCCCAUGAACUGAGCUGCAUUUUCUAUCUUUUGACUCGAACACAAAAAAAUUGGAUUACAGAAUAUCAUGAGAGAGAACAUUUUUUGAACUAUUGAGAGAGAACAUUUGAAUUGAGCAACACCCUCUGUGUGACUCACAUCAUGUAUGCUACUGCCUUCUCUUAUGAAUUACGAAAUAUUAUUAAACAGUCCUUAGGAGUCUUGCCAAGUUAACAUAUUUGUCUGUUUUCGUGCAGGCACUAGGCAUGUACUCCCUCCGUAAACAAAUAUAAGAGCGUUUAAACGCUCUAGUAUUUAUAAAGUUGCCAGGUUAACAUAUUUGUUUGCUUUAGGAGUCAAGGUUUAGACUCCAAAACAAGUUGUAUUUAUAAAGUUGUCUGCAAAUUUGUCUGAAUAUUAAACACAACACUGAAAGAAUCCACAUGAAUUUUUACUUAAAGAAUCCCUAUGCACUGUUGCUGUUGAAUGUGUGUGGGGAUUUGGGGUGGUGGGAGGGGGAGCUGCAAUACCUAGAGCGAAGGGGCGGCGAUGUCAGUGGCCAGUCGGCGGUGUGAAUGCCGGGCCUGCCGAAGGGGUCUAUGCUGGCAGGGAGUAGGGCCGAGAACGCAAGUGCUAGAUGAUGGUAGGGGGAGGUCGUGCGCCAUGGGUUGGAGGGCAUGCGAGCCGGCUGCCGGCGCCACGCGGGAUUUGUCGCCAGCGGUGACCAAUGAAAUGAGUAGGUAGGUGCUACCUCUUGAGCACUGCGUUGGUUUUCCCUUGAAUAGAAAAGGGUGAUGCAGCAAAGUAGCGUAAGUAUUUUGCUCAGUUUUUGAGAACCAAGGUAUCAAUCCAGUAGGAGGCCACGCACGAGUCCCUCGCGCCUACACAAACAAAUAAAUCUUCGCAACCAACGCGAUAAGGGGUUGUCAAUCCCUACAUGGUCACUUACGAGAGUGAGAUCUGAUAGAUAUGAUAAGAUAAUAUUUUUGGUAUUUUUUAUGAUAAAGAUGCAAAGUAAAAUAAAAGGCAAUAAAAAUAACUAAGUGUUGGAAGAUUAACAUGAUGGAAAAUAGAGCCGGGGGCCAUAGGUUUCACUAGUGGCUUCUCUCAAGAGCAUAAGUAUUUACGGUGGGUGAACAAAUUACGGUUGAGCAAUUGACAGAAUUGAGCAUAGUUAUGAAAAUAUCUAGGUAUGAUCAUGUAUAUAGGCAUCAUGUCCGAGACAAGUAGACCGACUCCUGCCUGCAUCUACCACUAUUACUCCACACAUUGACAGCUAUCCAGCAUGCAUCUAGAUUAUUAAGUUCAUAAGAACAGAGAAACGCUUUAAGCAAGAUGACAUGAUGUAGAGGGAUAAACUCAUGGAAUAUGAUAUAAACACCAUCUUGUUAUCCUCGAUGGCAACAAUACAAUAUGUGCCUUGCUGCCCCUGCUGUCACUGGGAAAGGACACCGCAAGACUGAACCCAAAGCUAAGCACUUCUCCCAUUGCAAGAAAGAUCAAUCUAGCAGGCCAAACCAAACUGAUAAUUCGAAGAGACUUGCAAAGAUAACCAAUCAUACAUAAAAGAAUUCAGAGAAGAUUCAAAUAUUGUUCAUAGAUAAACUUGAUCACAAACCCACAAUUCAUCAGUCUCAACAAACACACCGCAAAAGAAGAUCACAUCGAAUAGAUCUCCACGAGAGAGGGGGAGAACAUUGUAUUGAGAUCCAAAAAGAGAGAAGAAGCCAUCUAGCUAAUAACUAUGGACCUGAAGGUCUGAAGUAAACUACUUAGACAUCAUCGGAGAGGCUAUGGUGUUGAUGUAGAAGCCCUCCGUGAUCGAUGCCCCCUCCGACGGAGCUCCGGAACAUGCCCCGAGAUGGGAUCUCACGGGUACAAAAGGUUGCGGCGGUGGAAUUAGGUUUUUGGAUCCGUAUCUGGUAGUUUGGGGGUAUGUAGGUAUAUAUAGGAGGAAGGAAUACGUCAGUGGAGCAACAGGGGCCCACGAGGGUGGAGGGCGCGCCCAGGGGGUAGGUGCGCCCCCUACCUCGUGGCCUCCUGGUUGAUGUCUUAAUGUAGGGUCCAAGUCCUCUGGAUCAUGUUCGUUCCGAAAAUCACGUUCCCGAAGGUUUCAUUCCGUUUGGACUCCAUUUGAUAUUCUUUUUCUGUGAAACUCUGAAGUAGGGAAAAAGCAGCAAUUCUGGGAUGGGCCUCCGGUUAAUAGGUUUGUCCCAAAAAUAAUAUAAAAGUGUAUAAUAAAGCCCAAUAAUGUCCAAAGCAGAAUAUAAUAUAGCAUGGAACAAUAAAAAACUAUAGAUACGUUGGAGACGUAUCAAGCAUCCCCAAGCUUAAUUCUUGCUCGUCCUCGAGUAGGUAAAUGAUAAAAACAGAAUUUUUGAUGUGGAAUGCUACUUGGCAUAAUUUCAAUGUAAUUCUUCUUAAUUGUGGUAUGAAUAUUCAGAUCCGAAAGAUUCAAGAUAAAAGUUCAAUAUUGACAUAAAAAUAAUAAUACUUCAAGCAUACUGACUAAGCAAUUAUGUCCGCUCAAAAUAACAUGGCCAAAGAAAGUUCAUCCCUACAAAAGUAUAUAGUUUAGUCAUGCUCCAUUUUCGUCACACAAGAAUGCUCUCAUCAUGCACAACCCCGAUGACAAGCCAAGCAAUUGUUUCAUACUUUAGUAAUCUCAAACUUUUUCAAUCUUCACGCAAUACAUGAGCGUGAGCCAUGGAUAUAGCACUAUGGUGGAAUAGAAUAUAAUGAUGGGGGUUAUGUGGAGAAGACAAAAAGGGAGAAAGUCUCACAUCAACAAGGCUAAUAAAUGAGCUAUGGAGAUGCCCAUCAAUUGAUGUUAAUCCAAGGAGUAGGGAUUGCCAUGCAACGGAUGCACUAGAGCUAUAAAUAUAUGAAAGCUCAACAAAAGAAACUAAGUGGGUGUGCAUCCAACUUGCUUGCUCACGAAGACCUAGGGCAUUUGAGGAAGCCCAUUAUUGGAAUAUACAAGCCAAGUUCUAUAAUGAAAAGUUCCCAUUAGUAUAUGAAAGUGACAAAACAAAAGACUCUCUAUCAUGAAGAUUAUGGUGCUACUUUGAAGCACAAGUCUGGUAAAAAGGAUAGUAACAUUGUGCCUUCUCUCUUUUUCUAUCAUUUUUUUGGGCCUUCUCUUUUUUUAUGGCCUUCCUCUUUUUUUCCUCACUUGGUACAAUGCUCUAGAAAAUGAUGAUCAUCACACUUCUAUUUGUUUACAACUCAAUGAUUACAACUCGAUACUAGAACAAAGUAUGACUCUAUAUGAAUGCCUCCGGCGGUGUACCGGGAUAUGCAAUGAACCAAGAGUGACAUGUAUGAAAGGAUUAUGAAUGGUGGCUUUGCCACAAAUACUAUGUCAACUACAUGAUCAUGCAAAGCAAUAUGACAAUGAUGAACAUGUCAUGAUAAAUGGAACGGUGGAAAGUUGCAUGGCAAUAUAUCUCGGAAUGGCUAUGGGAAUGCCAUAAUAGGUAGGUAUGGUGGCUGUUUUGAGGAAGAUCUAAGGAGGUUUAUGUGUGAAAGAGCAUAUCAUAUCACGGGUUUUGGAUGCACCGGCGAGGUUUGCACCAACUCUCAAUGUGAGAAAGGGCAAUGCACGGUACCAAAGAGGCUAGCAAUGAUGGAAAGGUGAGAGUGUGUGUAAUCCAUGGACUCAACAUUAGUCAUAAAGAACUCACAUACUUAUUGCAAAAAUCUACAAGUCAUCAAAAACCAAGCACUACGCGCAUGCUCCUAGGGGGAUAGAUUGGUAGGAAAAGACCAUCGCUCAUCCCCGACCGCCACUCAUAAGGAGGACAAUCAAAGAACACCUCAUGUUUCAAAUUUGUUACAUAACGUUUACCAUACGUGCAUGCUACGGGACUUGCAAACUUCAACACAAGUAUUUUUAAAAUUCACAACUACUCAACUAGCACAACUUUGAUAUCACUACCUCCAUGUCUCAAAGCAAUCGUCAAGCAUCAAACUUCUCUUAGUAUUCAACACACUCAUAAGAAAGUUUUUACUAGUCUUGAAUACCUAGUAUAUUAGGUUUAUUUAAGUAAAUUACCAUGAUAUUUAAGACUCUAAAAAUAAUCUAAGUGAAGCAUGAGAGAAUAAUAGUUUCUAUAAAACAAAACCACCACCGUGCUCUAAAAUAUAUAAGUUAAGUACUAGAGCAAAAACUAUAUAACUCAAAAGAUAUAAGUGAAGCACAUAGAUUAUUCUAAUAUUUUCCGAAUCAUGUGUGUCUCUCUCAAAAGGUGUGUACAGCAAGGAUGAUUAUGGUAAACUAAAAAGCAAAGACUCAAAGCAUACAAGACGCUCCAAGUAAAACACAUAUCAUGUGGUGAAUAAAAAUAUAGCUCCAAGUAAAGUUACCGAUGGAAGUAGACAAAAGAGGGGAUGCCAUCCGGAGCAUCCCCAAGAUUUGGCUUUUAGGUGUCCUUAGAUUAUCUUGGGGUGCCAUGGGAAUCCCCAAGCUUAGGCUCUUGACACUCCUUGUUCCAUAAUCCAUCAAAUCUUUAACCAAAACUUGAAAACUUCACAACACAAAACUUAAAGUAGAAAAUCUCAUGAGCUCCGUUAGCGAAAGAAAACAAAACACCACUUCAAGGUACUGUAAUGAACUCAUUAUUUAUUUAUAUUGAUGUUAAACCUACUGUAUUCCAACUUCUAUAUGGUUUAUAAACUAUUUUACUAGCCAUAGAUUCAUCAAAAUAAGCAAACAACACACGAAAAACAGAAUCUGUAAAAAACAGAACAGUCUGUAGUAAUCUGUAACUAACGCAAGAUCUGGAACCCCCAAAAUUCUAAAAUAAAUUUAUGGACUUGAGGAAUUUAUAUGUUAAUCAUUUUCAAAAAUAAUUAACUAAAUAGCACUUUCCAAAUAAAAAUGGCAGCAAUUCUCGUGAGUGCUAAAGUUUCUGUUUUUACAGCAAGAUUAAAAAGACUUUCCCCAAGUCUUCCCAACAGUUCUACUUGGAACAAACACUAAUUAAACACAAAAACACAACCAAAACAGAGUCUAGAUAAAUUAUUUAUUACUAAACAGGAGCAAAAAGCAAGGAAUAAAAAUAAAAUUGGGUUGCCUCCCAACAAGCGCUAUCGUUUAACGCCCCUAGCUAGGCAUAAAAAGCAAGGAUAGAUCUAAGUAUUGCCAUCUUUGGUAGGCAAUCCAUAAGUGGCUCUCAUAAUAGAUUCAUAAGGUAAUUUAAUUUUAUUUCUAGGGAAGUGUUCCAUGCCUUUCCUUAACGGAAAUUGGAAUCUAAUAUUCCCUUCCUUCAUAUCAAUAAUUGCACCAAUCGUUCUAAGGAAAGGUCUACCAAGAAUAAUAGGACAUGAAGGAUUGCAAUCUAUGUCAAGAACAAUAAAAUCUACAGGAACACAAUUCCUAUUUGCAACAAUAAGAACAUCAUUAAUUCUUCCCAUAGGUUUCUUAAUAGUGGAAUCUGCAAGGUGCAAGUUUAAAGAGAAAUCAUCAAAAUCACAGAAACCUAGCAAAUCACACAAAGUCUUUGGAAUCGUCGAAACACUAGCACCCAAAUCACACAAAGCAUAGCAUUCAUGAUCUUUAAUUUUAAUUUUAAUAGUAGGUUCCCACUCAUCAUAAAUUUUUCUAGGGAUAGAAACUUCAAACUCAAGUUUUUCUUCAUAAGAUUGCAUCAAAGCAUCAACGAUAUGUUUAGUAAAAGCUUUAUUUUGAUUAUAAGUGAUACGUCUCCAACGUAUCUAUAAUUUUUGAUUGCUUCAUGCUAUAUUAUCUAUUGUUGUGGACUAUAUUGGGCUUUAUUUUCCACUUUUAUAUUAUUUUUGGGACUAACCUAUUAACCGGAGGCCCAGCCCAGAAUUGCUAUUUUUUUGCCUAUUUCAGUGUCUCGAAGAAACGGAAUAUCAAACGGAGUCCAAACGGAAUGAAACCUUCGGGAACGUGAUUUUCUCACCGAGCGUGAUCCAGGAGACUUGGACCCUACGCCAAGGCAUCACAGAGGCGGUCACGAGGGUGGGGCCCCCCCCCCUAGGGCGCGCCCCCUGCCUCGUGGGCCCCUCGGAGCUCCACCGACAUACUCCUUCCUCCUAUAUAUACCUACGUACCCCCAAACGAUCAGAACAGGAGCCAAAAACCUAAUUCCACCACCGCAAUUUCUGUAUCCACGAGAUCCCAUCUUGGGGCCUGUUCCAGAGCUCCGCUGGAAGAGGGCCGUCAUCACGGAGGGCUUCUACAUCAUCAUAGCCUCUCCGAUGAAGUGUGAGUAGUUUACCUCAGACCUUCGGGUCCAUAGUUAGUAGCUAGAUGGCUUCUUCUCUCUUUUUGGAUCUCAAUACAAAGUUCUCCCCCUCUCUUGUGGAGAUCUAUUCGAUGUAAUCUUCUUUUUGCGGUGUGUUUGUUGAGACCGAUGAAUUGUGGGUUUAUGAUCAAGUCUAUCUAUGAAUAAUAUUUGAAUCUUCUCUGAAUUCUUUUAUGUAUGAUUGGUUAUCUUUGCAAGUCUCUUCGAAUUAUCCGUUUGGUUUGGCUAACUAGAUUGGUAGUUCUUGCCAUGGGAGAAGUGCGUAGCUUUGGGUUCGAUCUUGCGGUGUCCUUUCCCAGUGACAGAAGGGGCAGCAAGGCACGUAUUGCAUCGUUGCCGUCGAGGAUAACAAGAUGGGGUUUAUUUCAUAUUGCAUGAAUUUAUCUCUCUACAUCAUGUCAUCUUGCUUAAAGUGUUACUUUAUUUUUAACUUAAUACUCUAGAUGCUUGCUGGAUAGCAGUCGAUGAGUGGAGUAAUAGUAGUAGAUGCAGAAUCGUUUCGGUCUACUUGUCACGGACGUGAUGCCUAUAUACAUGAUCAUGCCUAGAUAUUCUCAUAACUAUGCUCAAUUCUGUCAAUUGCUCAACAGUAAUUUAUUCACCCACCGUAGAAUACUUAUGCUCUUGAGAGAAGCCACUAGUGAAACCUAUAGCCCCCGGGUCUAUUCUCAUCAUAUCAAUAUCCAUCACUUUAAUCUUGUUUUGCUUUUUUACUUUGCCUUUUACUUUUCACUUUGCAUCUCUAUACCAAAAAUACCAAAAAUAUUAUAUCUAUCAUAUCCCACUCUCGUAAGUGACCGUGAAGGGAUUGACAACCCCUAAUCGUGUUGGUUGCAAGUAGCUAUCGUUUUGUGCAGGUACGAGGGACUUGAGCGUGGCCUCCUACUGGAUUGAUACCUUGGUUCUCAAAAACUGAGGGAAAUACUUACGCUACUCUGCUGCAUCAUCCCUUCCUCUUCGAGGAAAACCAACGCAAGCUCAAGACGUAGCAAGAACGAUUUCUGGCGCCGUUGCCGGGGAGUCUACGCAAAAAGUCAACAUACCAAGUACCCAUCACAAUCCCUAUCUCUCGCAUUACAUUAUUUGCCAUUUGCCUCUCGUUUUCCUCUCCCCCACUUCACCCUUGCCGUUUUAUUCACCCUCUCUCUCUAUCCUCCCUCUCUAUUUGCCUCUUUUUCCCGUUUGCUCUUGUUUUCUCGUGUGCUAGUUUGCUUGUUUGUCGCGAUGGCUCAACCGAGAUUUGGUAUCUUCACCUUAAAAGGUUAGAGGAGAUCGAAACCAACGUUAGGAAGUUUAUGGUUUUGCAAUUUGAGCAUAAUAAUUUCUUUAGAAACGAGCUUAUGGAACAAAAAAGUUUUAUGGGUUAUAUGAAUAAAGAGCUUGAUGAUAUGUCUAAAGAAUUUGAUGGUAUAAGAUCCCAAAUUGCUCGUCUAGAAAAGAUGACUGCUGAAAUUUUGGAUAUGCAAGCCACCUUAGUCAAUAAGAUGGCCGCUAAAACGAAUUCCUAUGAAAAUCAAGAUGAAGAUCUAAAAGUUAUUGAUGUGUCUCCUAUUAAAUCUUUGUUUUGCAAUAUGAAUCUUGAUGAAACUGAAUAUGAUCUUCCUUUACCUAGAAGGCGUUCUAAAAAUUUGGAGUAUUUAGAUCUUUAUGAUGAAAUUGAUGAAAGUGGGAUUGAAAGAAAUAAAAAUCUAGAUGUUGCUAAACCCACUAUAUUGGAUUUCAAGGAAUUUAAUUAUGAAAGUUGCUCUUUAAUUGAUUGUAUUUCCUUGUUGCAAUCCGUGCUAAACUCUCCACAUGCUUAUAGUCAAAAGAAAGCCUUCACCGAACAUAUUGUUGAUGAUUUGAUGCAAUCUUAUGAAGAAAAACUUGAGUUGAAAGUUUCUAUCCCUAGAAAACUCUAUGAUGAGUGGGAACCAACUAUUAAAAUUAAAAUUAAAGAUCAUGAGUUUUAUGCUUUGUGUGAUUUGGGUGCUAGUGUCUCCACUAUUCCCAAGACUUUGUGUGAUUUGCUAGAUUUCCGUAAUUUUGAUGAUUGCUCUCUAAACUUGCAUCUUGCGGAUUCUACUAUUAAGAAACCUAUGGGGAGGAUUAAUGAUGUUCUUAUUGUUGCAAAUAGGAAUUAUGUGCCCGUAGAUUUCAUUGUUCUUGAUAUAUAUUGCAAUCCUUCUUGCCCUAUUAUUCUUGGUAGACCUUUCCUUAGAACAGUUGGUGCGAUUAUUGAUAUGAAGGAAGGGAAUAUUAGAUUUCAAUUUCCAUUAAAAAGGGCGUGGAACACUUUCCAAGAAAGAAAAUAAAAUUGCCAUAUGAAACUAUCAUAAGAGCCACUUAUGGAUUGCCUACCAAAGAUGGCAAUACCUAGAUCUAUUCUUGCUUGUUAUGCCUAGCUAGGGGCGUUAAACGAUAGCGCUUGUUGGGAGGCAACCCAAUUUUAUUUUUAUUCCUUGCUUUUUGCUCCUGUUUAGUAAUAAAUAAAUUAUUUAUCCUCUGUUUUGUUUGUGUUUUUUGUAUUUAAUUAGUGUUUGUGCCAAGUAGAACCGUUGGGAAGACUUGGGGAAAGUCUUGUUCAACUUGCUGUAAAAAACAGAAACUUUAGCGCUCACGAGAACUGCUGUCAUUUUUAUUUGGAAAGUGAUAUUUAGUUAAUUAUUUUUGAAGAUGAUUAAUAGAUAAAUUCCUCACGUCCAGCAAGUUAUUUUAGAAUUUUUGGGUUCCAGAUCUUGCGCUAGCUACAGAUUACUACAGACUGUUCUGUUUUUGACAGAUUCUGUUUUUCGUGUGUUGUUUGCUUAUUUUGAUGAAUCUAUGGCUAGCAAAAUAGUUUAUAAUCCAUAGAGAAGUUGGAAUACAGUAGGUAUAACACCAAUAUAAAUAAAUAAUGAGUUAAUUACAGUACCUUGAAGUGGUCUUUUGUUUUCUUUCGCUAACGGAGCUCACGAGUUUUCUACUUUAAGUUUUGUGUUGUGAAGUUUUCAAGUUUUGGGUGAAUUCUUUUGAUGGAUUAUGGAACAAGGAGUGGCAAGAGCCUAAGCUUGGGGAUGCCCAUUGCACCCCCAAGAUAAUCCAAGGAUACCAAAAAGUCAAAGCUUGGGGAUGCCCCGGAAGGCAUCCCCUCUUUCGUCCACUUCCAUCGGUAAUUUACUUGGAGCUAUAUUUUUAUUCACCAACAUGAUAUGUGUUUUGCUUGGAGUGUGUUGUAUUAUUUGUGUCUUUGUGUUCUAGUAUGCCACAAUCAUCAUUUCUGUACACACCUUUUGAUAGAGCCAUACAUGAAUUAAAAUUUGAUAGAAUACUCUAUGUGCUUCACUUAUAUUUUUUGAGCUAUGUAGUUUUGCUCUAUGUGCUUCACUUAUAUCUUUUGAGCGUAAUAAUUUUGCUCUAUGUGCUUCACUUAGAUCUUUUAUAGCGCGGUGGUGGAUUUGUUUUAAAGAAACUAUUGAUCUCUCAUGCUUCACUUAAAUUAUUUUGAGAGUCUCUUAAUAGCAUGGUAAUUUGCUUAAUAAUAAUAUGCUUGGUAUUCAAGAUUUGUGAAACUUUCUUUUGAGUGUGUUGAAUAAUAAGAAAAGAUUGAAGCAUGAUAAUUGUUUUGAGAUAUGGAGGUGAUAAUAUUAAAGUCAUGCUAGUUGAGUAGUUGUGAAUUUAAAGAAUACUUGUGUUAAAGUUUGUGAUACCUGUAGCAUGCACGUAUGGUGAACCGUUAUGUGAUGAAGUCGGAGCAUGAUUUAUUUAUUGAUUGUCUUCCUUAUGAGUGGUGGUCGGGGACGAGCGAUGGUCUUUUCCUACUAAUCUAUCCCCCUAGGAGCAUGCGCGUAAUACUUUGCUUUGAUAACUUCUAGAUUUUUGCAAUAAGUAUAUGAGUUCUUUAUGACUAAUGUUGAGUCCAUGGAUUAUACACACUCUCACCCUUCCACCUUUGCCAGCCUCUCUAAUACCGCGCACAUUUCGCCGAUAUUAUACACCCACCAUAUACCUCCCUCAAAACAGACACCAUACCUACCUAUUAUGGCAUUUCCAUAGCCAUUCCGAGAUAUAUCGCCAUGCAACUUUCCACCGUUCCGUUCAUGACACAUUCAUCAUUGUCAUAUUGCAUAUCCCGGUACACCGCCGGAGGCAUUCAUAUAGAGUCAUAUUUUGUUUUAAGUAUCGAGUUGUAAUUUUUGAGUUGUAAGAAAAAUAAAAGUGUGGUGAUCAUCAUUAUUAGAGCAUUGUCCCAAGUGAGGAAAGAAUGAUGGAGACUAUGAUUCCCCCAUAAGUCGGGAUGAGACUCCGGACGGAAAAAAAAGAGGCCAAAGAAGCCCAAAUAAAAAGAGGCCAUAAAAAAGGGAUAAAAGGCCCAAAUAAAAAAUAUAGAUAUAAAAAAAUGAGAGAAAAAGAGAGAAGGGACAAUGUUACUAUCCUCUUACCACACUUGUGCUUCAAAGUAGCACCAUGAUCUUCAUAGUAGAGAGUCUCUCAUGUUAUCACUUUCAUAUACUAGUGGGAAUUUUACAUUAUAGAACUUGGCUUGUAUAUUCCAAUGAUGGGCUUCCUCAAAUUUCCCUAGGUCUUCAUGAGCAAGCAAGUUGGAUGCACACCCACUUAGUUUCUUUUUGAGCUUUCAUAUACUUAUAGCUCUAGUGCAUCCGUUGCAUGGCAAUCCCUACUCACUCACAUUGAUAUCUAUUGAUGGGCAUCUCCAUAGCUCGUUGAUACGCCUAGUUGAUGUGAGACUAUCUUCCCCUUUUUGUCUUCUCCACAACCACCAUUCUAUUCCACCUAUAGUGCUAUAUCCAUGGCUCACGCUCAUGUAUUGCGUGAAGAUUGAAAAAGUUUUGAACAAGUUAGAGUAUGAAACAAUUGCUUGGCUUGUCAUCGGGGUUGUGCAUGAUUUAAAUACUUUGUGUGGUGAAGAUAGAGCAUAGCCAGACUAUAUGAUUUUGUAGGGAUAACUUUCUUUGGCCAUGAUAUUUUGAGAAGACAUAAUUGCUUUAUUAGUAUGCCUGAAGUAUUAUUAUUUUUAUGUCAAUAUAAACUUUUGUCUUGAAUCUUUUGAAUCUGAAUAUUCAUAUCACAAUUAAAAAGAUUUGCAUUGAAAUUAUGCCAAGUAGCACUCUGCAUCAUAAAUUCUCUUUUUAUCAUUUACCUACUCGAGGACGAGAAGGAAUUAAGCUUGGGGAUGCCUUAUACGUCUCCAAUGUAUCUAUAAUUUUUGAUUGCUCCAUGCUAUAUUAUCUACUGUUUUGGACUAUAUUGGGCUUUAUUUUCCACUUUUAUAUUAUUUUUGGGACUAACCUAUUAACCGGAGGCCCAGCCCAGAAUUGCUGUUUUUUUGCCUAUUUCAGUGUUUCGAAGAAACGGAAUGAAACCUUCGGGAACGUGAUUUUCUCACCGAACGUGAUCCAGGAGACUUGGACCCUACGCCAAGGCAUCAGAGAGGCGGUCACGAGGGUGGGGGCUCCCCCUACCUCAUGGGCCCCUCGGAUCUCCACCGACGUACUCCUUCCUCCUAUAUAUACCUACGUACCCCCAAACGAUCAUAACAGGAGCCAAAAACAUAAUUCCACAGCCGCAACUUUCUGUAUCCACGAGAUCCCAUCUUGGGGCCUGUUCCGGAGCUCCGCCGGAAGAGGUCCGUCAUCACGGAGGGCUUCUACAUCAUCAUAGCCUCUUCGAUGAAGUGUGAGUAGUUUACCUCAAACCUUCGGGUCCAUAGUUAGUAGCUAGAUGGCUUCUUCUCUCUUUUUGGAUCUCAAUACAAAGUUCUUCCCCUCUCUUGUGGAGAUCUAUUCGAUGUAAUCUUCUUUUUGCGGUGUGUUUGUUGAGACCGAUGAAUUGUGGGUUUAUGAUCAAGUCUAUCUAUGAAUAAUAUUUGAAUCUUCUCUGAAUUCUUUUAUGUAUGAUUGGUUAUCUUUGCAAGUCUCUUCGAAUUAUCCGUUUGGUUUGGCCAACUAGAUUGGUAGUUCUUGCCAUGGGAGAAGUGCUUAGCUUUGGGUUCGAUCUUGUGGUGUCCUUUCCCAGUAACAGAAGGGGCGGCAAGGCACGUAUUGCAUCGUUGCCAUCGAGGAUAACAAGAUGGGGUUUAUUUCAUAUUGCAUGAAUUUAUCUCUCUACAUCAUGUCAUCUUGCUUAAAGCGUUACUCUGUUUUUAACUUAAUACUCUAGAUGCAUGCUGGAUAGCGGUCGAUGAGUGGAGUAAUAGCAGUAGAUGCAGAAUCGUUUCAGUCUACUUGUCACGGACGUGAUGCCUAUAUACAUGAUCAUGCCUAGAUAUUCUCAUAACUAUGCUCAAUUCUGUCAUUGCUCAACAGUAAUUUAUUCACCCACCAUAGAAUACUUAUGCUCUUGAGAGAAGCCACUAGUGAAACCUAUGGCCCCCGGGUCUAUUCUCAUCAUAUCAAUCUCCAUCACUUUAAUCUUGUUUUGCUUUUUUACUUUGCCUUUUACUUUUCACUUUGCAUCUCUAUACCAAAAAUACCAAAAAUAUUAUAUCUAUCAGAUCUCACUCUCGUAAGUGACCGUGAAGGGAUUGACAACCCCUAAUCGCAUUGGUUGCGAGUAGCUAUCGUUUUGUGCAGGUACGAGGGACUUGAGCGUGGCCCCUACUGGAUUGAUACCUUGGUUCUCAAAAACUGAGGAAAAUACUUACGCUACUCUGCUGCAUCAUCCCUUCCUCUUCAGGGAAAACCAACGCAAGAUCAAGACGUAGCAAUAAGCAUGAGGAGUAUUUAGCACAGAUUGCAACAAGAAAAUACAAUCUAUCAAAGAGCAAUUAUCAUAAUUAAAUUCCUUGAAAUCCAAAAUAGUGGGUUCAUUAAUAUUUAAAGUUUUGAUCUCUUCAAUCCCACUUUUACCAAUUUUUGCAUUAAGAUCUAAAAACUCCGAAUUUUUUGAACGCCUUCUAGGUAAAGGAGGAUCAUAUUCAGUCCCAUCAUUAUCGAGAUUCAUAUUGCAAAACAAAGAUUUAAUAGGGGACACAUCAAUAACUUUUAUAUCUUCAUCUUUAUUUUCAUGGAAACUAGAAGAACACACUUUUAUAAAGCAAUCUCUCUUAGCACACAUCCUAGCGGUUCUUUCUUUGCACUCAUCAAUGGAAAUUCUCAUGGCUUUUAGAGACUCAUUGAUAUCAUGCUUAGGUGAAAUAGAUCUAAGUUUCAAAGAAUCAACAUCAAGAGAAAUUAUAUCAACGUUCCUAGCCAACUCAUCAAUCUUAAGCAAUUUUUCUUCAAUCAAAGCAUUGAAAUUCUUUUGCGAAGUAAUAAAUUAUUUAAUAUUAGAUUCAAAAUCAGAGGGCAUAUUAUUAUAAUUUCCAUAAGAAUUGUUGUAGGAAUUACCAUAAUUAUUAGAGGAAUUACUAGGAUACGGCCUAUGAUUAAAGUUUCCUCUAUACGCGUUGUUACCAAAAUUAUUCCUACCAAGAAAAUUCACAUCCAUAGAUUCAUUAUUAUUCUCAAUCAAAGUAGACAAAGGCAUAUCAUUAGGAUCAGAAGAAACACUUUUAUUAGCAAAUAAUUUCAUAAGUUCAUCCAUCUUUCCACUCAAAACCUUAAUUUCUUCUAUCGCAUGCACUUUCUUAUUAGUAGAUCUUUAAGUGUGCCAUUGAGAAUAAUUAACCAUAAUAUUAUGUAGGAGUUUAGUAGCUUCUCCUAAAGUGAUUUCGAUAAAAGUGCCUCCCACAGCCGAAUCUAAAAGAUUUCUAGAAGCAAAAUUCAGUCUGGCAUAAACAUUUUGUAUAAUCAUCCACAAAUUCAAAUCAUGCGUAGGGAAAUUACGUAUCAUUAAUUUCAUCCUCUCCCAAGCUUGUGCAACAUGUUCACGAUCAAGUUGCUUAAAAUUCAUAAUAUCGUUUCUAAGAGAGAUAAUCUUAGCGGUAGGAAAAUACUUAGAGAUAAAAUCAUCUUUGCACUUAUUCCAAGAAUCAAUACUAUUUUUAGGCAAAGACGAAAACUAAGCUUUAGCAUGAUCUCUAAGCGAAAAAGGAAAUAACUUCAAUUUAACAAUAUCAUUAUCCACAUCUUUCUUAUUUUGCAUAUCACACAAACCAACGAAGCUAUUUAGAUGGGUAGCGGCAUCUUCACUAGGAAGGCCGGCGAAUUGAUCUUUCAGGACAAGAUUCAAUAAAGCAGCAUUGAUUUCACAAGAUUCAGUAUCGGUAAGAGGAGCAAUCAGAGUGCUAAGGAAAUCAUUGUUGUUGGUAUUGGUGAAGUCACAAAUUUAGUAUUAUCUUGAGCCAUCGUGAUAAGCAAGCAAUCCAACACACGAGCAAACAAGAGACGGGCAAACAAGAGAGGGAGGAUGGAGAGAGAGGGCAAAUAAAACGGCAAGGGUGAAGUGGGGGAGAGGAAAACGAGAGGCAAAUGUCAAAUAAUGUAAUGCGGGAGAUAAGGGUUUGUGAUGGGUACUUGGUGUGUUGACUUUUGCGUAGACCUCCCCGGCAACGGCACCAGAAAUCCUUCUUGCUACCUCUUGAGCACUGCGUUGGUUUUCCCUUGAAGAGGAAAGGGUGAUGCAGCAAAGUAGCAUAAGUAUUUCCCUCAGUUUUUGAGAAACAAGGUAUCAAUCCAGUAGGAGGCCACGCACGAGUCCCUCACACCUACACAAACAAAUAAAUCCUCGCAACCAACGCGAUAAGGGGUUGUCAAUCCCUACACUGUCACUUACGAGAGUGAGAUCUGAUAGAUAUGAUAAGAUAAUAUUUUUGGUAUUUUUUAUUAUAAAUAUGCAAAGUAAAAUAAAAGGCAAUAAAAAUAACUAAGUGUUGGAAGAUUAAUAUGACGGAAAAUAGACCCGGGGGGCAUAGGUUUCACUAGUGGCUUCUCUCAAGCGCAUAAGUAUUUACGGUGGGUGAACAAAUUAUUGUUGAGCAAUUGAUAGAAGAGCAUAGUUAUGAGAAUAUCUAGGUAUGAUCAUGUAUAUAGGCAUCACGUCCGAGACAAGUAGACUGACUCAUGCCUGCAUCUACUACUAUUACUCCACACACCGACCGCUAUCCAGCAUGCAUCUAGAGUAUUAAGUUCAUAAGAACAGAGUAACGCUUUAAGCAAGAUGACAUGAUGUAGAGGGAUAAACUCAUGCAAUAUGAUAUAAACCCCAUCUUGUUAUCCUCGAUGGCAACAAUACAAUACGUGCCUUGCUGCCCCUACUGUCACUGGGAGAGGACACCGCAAGAUUGAACCCAAAGCUAAGCACUUCUCCCAUUGCAAGAAAGAUCAAUCUAGUAGGCCAAACCAAACUGAUAAUUCGAAGAGACUUGCAAAGAUAACCAAUCAUACAUAAAAUAAUUCAGAGAAGAUUCAAAUAUUGUUCAUAGAUAAACUUGAUCAUAAACCCACAAUUCAUCGGUCUCAACAAACACACCGCACAAGAAGAUUACAUCGAAUAGAUCUCCACAAGAGAGGGGGAGAACAUUGUAUUGAGAUCCAAAAAGAGAGAAGAAGUGAUGACCCACAAGUAUAGGGGAUCUAUCAUAGUCCUUUCGAUAAGUAAGAGUGUCGAACCCAACGAGGAGCAGAAGGAAAUGAUAAACGGUUUUCAGCAAGGUAUUCUCUGCAAGGACUGAAAUAAGUGGUAACAGAUAGUUUUGUGAUAAGAUAAUUUGUAACGAGCAACAAGUAACAAAAGUAAAUAAAGUGCAACAAGGUGGCCCAAUCCUUUUUGUAGCAAAGGACAAGCCUGGACAAACUCUUAUAUAAGGAAAAGCGCUCCCGAGGACACAUGGGAAUAUCGUCAAGCUAGUUUUCAUCACGUUCAUAUGAUUCGCGUUCGGUACUUUGAUAAUUCGACAUGUGGGUGGACCGGUGCUUGGGUGCUGUUCUUACUUGAGCAAGCAUCCCACUUAUGAUUAACCUCUAUUGAAAGCAUCCGCAACUACAACAAAAGCAUUAAGGUAAACCUAACCAUAGCAUGAAACAUAUGGAUCCAAAUCAGCCCCUUACGAAGCAACACAUAAACUAGGGUUUAAGCUUCUGUCACUCUAGCAACCCAUCAUCUACUUAUUACUUCCCAAUGCCUUCCUCUAGGCCCAAAUAAUGGUGAAGUGUUAUGUAGUCGACGUUCACAUAACACCACUAGAGGCUAGACAACAUACAUCUUAUCAAAAUAUCGAACGAAUACCAAAUUCACAUGACUACUAACAGCAAGACUUCUCCCUUGUCCUCAGGAACAAACGUGACUACUCACAAAGCAUAAACAUGUUCAUAAUCAGAGGGGUAUUAAUAUGCAUAUAGGAUCUGAACAUAUGAUCUUCCACCAAUUAAACCAACUAGCAUCAACUACAAGGAGUAAUUAACACUAUUAGCAGCCUACUAGCACCAAUCCCGGACUUGAAGACAAGAAUCGGAUACAAGAGAUGAACUAGGGUUUUGAGAUGAGAUGGUGCUGAUGAAGAUGUUGAUGGAGAUUGCCCUCUCCCGAUGAGAGGAGCGUUGGUGAUGACGAUGGCGAUGAUUUCCCCCUCCGGGAGGGAAGUUUCCUUGGCAGAACAGCUCUGUCGGAGCUCUAGAUUGGAACCGCCAAGGUUCCGCCUCGUGGCGGCGGAGUUUCGUCCCGAAAGGUUGCUUAUUAUUUUUUUCUCGACGGAAGACUUCAUAUAGGAGAAGAUGGUCAUCGGAGAACCACCAGGGGGCCCACGAGGUAGGGGGGCGCGCCCCCCACCCUCAUGAGCAGGGUGUGGGCCCCCUGGUCUUCAUAUUUGGCGAGGAUUUUUCAUUAUUUAUUAUAAGGUAUUCCUUGGAGUUUCAGGACUUUUGGAGUUGUGCAGAAUAGGUCUCUAAUAUUUGCUCCUUUUCCAACCUAGAAUUCCAGCUGUCGGCAUUCUCCCUCCUUAUGUAAACCUUGUAAAAUAAGAGAGAAUAGCCAUAAGUAUUGUGACAUAAUAUGAAAUAACAGCCCAUAAUGCAAUAAAUAUCGAUAUAAAAGCAUGAUGCAAAAUGGACGUAUCAACUCCCCCAAGCUUAGACCUCGCUUGUCCUUAAGCGAAAGCCGAUAACAAUAAAUAUGUCCCCAUGUUUAGAGGUAGAGGCGUCGAUAAAAAUAAAAUACGGACAUGAGGGCAUCAUGAUUAUUCUCAUAACAACAACAUAUAUAGAUAUUGUCAUAUGAUUACUUAUGUUCAAGUGAUGAUCUAUUCACAAUGCAAAAGUAUGAAUCAGAAACCUUAUUGAGAACCAACAAACUAUAACCUCAGUCAUUGAAGCAAUUGCAAUUUAUCAUAACAUCAGAAAGAGUCUAUGUCAGAGCUAAAAAGUUGUUGGGUAACGUAGUAAUUUCAAAAAAAUUCCUACGCACACGCAAGAUCAUGGUGAUGCAUAGCAACGAGGGGAGAGUGUGAUCUACGUACCCUUGGUAGAUCGACAACGGAAGCGUUUGGUUGAUGUAGUCGUACGUCUUCACGGCCCGACCGAUCAAGCACCGAAACUAUGGCACCUCCGAGUUUUAGCACACGUUCAGCUCGAUGACGAUCCCCGGACUCCGAUCCAGCAAAGUGUCGGGGAAGAGUUCCAUUAGCACGACGGCGUGGUGACGAUCUUGAUGUACUACUGCUGCAGGGCUUCGCCUAAGCACCGCUACAAUAUUAUCGAGGACUAUGGUGGCUGGGGGCGCCGCACACGGCUAAGAAUAAGAUCACCUGGAUCAACUUGUGUGUUUCUUGUGCCCCUGCCUCCGUAUAUAAAGGACUAAAGGGGGGUGCGGCCGGCCUAGGAGAGGCGCGCCAGGAGAGUCCUACUCCCUCUGGGAGUAGGAUCCCCCCCCCCAAUCCUAGUUGGAAUAGGAUUCGCGGAGGGGGGAAAAGAGAGAGAGGGGCCGGCCCCCUCUCCUUGUCCUAUUCGGACCAAGGGAGGGGAGGGGCGCGUGGCCCAUGUUGGGCUGCAUAUUCUCUUUUCCACUAAGGCCCACUAUGGCCCAUAUAGCUCCCGGGGGGUUCCGGUAACCUCCCGGUACUCCGGUAAAAUCCCGAUUUCACCCGGAACACUUCCAAUAUCCAAACAUAGGCUUCCAAUAUAUCAAUCUUUAUGUCUCGACCAUUUCGAGACUCCUCGUCAUGUCCGUGAUCACAUCCGAGACUCCGAACAAACUUCGUUACAUCAAAAUGCAUAAACUCAUAAUAUAACUAUCAUCGUAACCUUAAGCGUGCGGACCCUACGGGUUCGAGAACAAUGUAGACAUGACCGAGACAUGUCUCCGAUCAAUAACCAAUAGCGGGACCUGGAUGCCCAUAUUGGCUCCUACAUAUUCUACGAAGAUCUUUAUCGGUCAGACCGCAUAACAACAUACGUUGUUCCCUUUGUCAUCGGUAUGUUACUUGCCCGAGAUUCGAUCGUCGGUAUUCCAAUACCUAGUUCAAUCUCGUUACCGGCAAGUCUCUUUACUCGUUCUGUAAUACAUCAUCCCGCAACUAACUCAUUAGUUGCAAUGCUUGCAAGGCUUAAGUGAUGUGCAUUACCGAGAGGGCCCAGAGAUACCUCUCCGACAAUCGGAGUGACAAAUCCUAAUCUCGAAAUACGCCAACCCAACAUGUACCUUUGGAGACACCUGUAGAGCUCCUUUAUAAUCACCUAGUUACGUUGUGACGUUUGGUAGAACACAAAGUGUUCCUCCGGCAAACGGGAGUUGCAUAAUCUCAUAGUCAUAGGAACAUGUAUAAGUCAUGAAGAAAGCAAUAGCAACAUACUAAACAAUCGGGUGCUAAGCUAAUGGAAUGGGUCAUGUCAAUCAGAUCAUUCACUUAAUGAUGUGAUCCCGUUAAUCAAAUAACAACUCAUUGUUCAUGGUUAGGAAACAUAACCAUCUUUGAUUAACAAGCUAGUCAAGUAGAGGCAUACUAGUGACACUUUGUUUGUCUAUGUAUUCACACAUGUAUUAUGUUUCCGGUUAAUACAAUUCUAGCAUGAAUAAUAAACAUUUAUCAUGAUAUAAGGAAAUAAAUAAUAACUUUAUUAUUGCCUCUAGGGCAUAUUUCCUUCAGUCUCCCACUUGCACUAGAGUCAAUAAUCUACAUUACAUAGUAAUGAUUCUAACACCCAUGGAGCCUUGGUGCUGAUCAUGUUUUGCUCAUGGAAGAGGCUUAGUCAACGGGUCUGCAACAUUCAAAUCCGUAUGUAUCUUGCAAAUCUCUAUCUCUCCCACCUGGACUAGAUCCCGGAUGGAAUUGAAGCGUCUCUAGAUGUGCUUGGUUCUCUUGUGAAAUCUGGAUUCCUUUGCCAAGGCAAUUGCACCAGUAUUGUCACAAAAGAUUUUCAUUGGACCCGAUGCACUAGGUAUGACACCUAGAUCGGAUAUGAACUCCUUCAUCCAGACUCCUUCAUUUGCUGCUUCCGAAGCAGCUAUGUACUCCGCAUCACAUGUAGAUCCUGCUACAACGCUUUGUUUAGAACUGCACCAACUGACAGCUCCACCGUUUAAUGUAAACACGUAUCCGUUUGCGAUUUAGAAUCGUCCGGAUCAGUGUCAAAGCUUGCAUCAACGUAACCUUUUACGAUGAGCUCUUUGUCACCUCCAUAUACGAGAAACAUAUCCUUAGUCCUUUUCAGGUACUUCAGGAUGUUCUUGACCGCUGUCCAGUGAUCCACUCCUGGAUUACUUUGGUACCUCCCUGCUAGACUUAUAGCAAGGCACACAUUAGGUCUGGUACACAUCAUUGUAUACAUGAUAGAGCCUAUGGCUGAAGCAUAGGGAACAUCUUUCAUAUUCUCUCUAUCUUCUGCAGUGGUUGGGCAUUGAGUCUUACUCAACUUUACACCUUGUAACACAGGCAAGAACUCUUUCUUUGCUUGAUCCAUUUUGAACUUCUUCAAAACUUUGUCAAGGUAUGUGCUUUGUGAAAGUCCAAUUAAGCGUCUUGAUCUAUCACUAUAGAUUUUAAUGCCUAAUAUGUAAGCAGCUUCACCGAGGUCUUUCAUUGCAAAACUCUUAUUCAAGUAUCCCUUUAUGCUAUCCAGAAAUUCUACAUCAUUUCCAUUUAGUAAUAUGUCAUCCACAUAUAAUAUCAGAAAUGCUAUAGAGCUCCCACUCACUUUCUUGUAAAUAUAGGCUUCUCCAAAAGUCUAUAAAAAACCAAAUGCUUUGAUCACACUAUCAAAACGUUUAUUCCAACUCCGAGAGGCUUGCACCAGUCCAUAAAUGGAUCGCUGGAGCUUGCACACUUUGUUAGCUCCCUUUGGAUCGACAAAACCUUCUGGUUGCAUCAUAUAUAACUCUCCUUCCAGAAAUCCAUUCAGGAAUGCAGUUUUGACAUCCAUCUGCCAAAUUUCAUAAUCAUAAAAUGCGGCAAUUGCUAACAUGAUUCGUACAGACUUAAGCAUCGCUACGGGUUAGAAGGUCUCAUCGUAGUCAAUCCCUUGAACUUGCCGAAAACCUUUUUGCGACAAGUCGAGCUUUGUAGAUAGUAAUAUUACCGUCAGUGUCAGUCUUCUUCUUGAAGAUCCAUUUAUUCUCAAUUGCUUGCCGAUCAUCGGGCAAGUCAACCAAAGUCCAUACUUUGUUCUCAUACAUGGAUCCCAUCUCAGAUUUCAUGGCUUCAAGCCAUUUUGUGGAAUCUGGGCUCACCAUCGCUUCUCCAUAGUUCGUAGGUUCAUCAUGAUCUAGUAGCAUGACUUCCAGAACAGGAUUACCGUACCACUCUGGCGUGGAUCUCAGUCUGGUUGAUCUAUGAGGUUCAGUAGUAUCUUGUUCUGAAGUUUCAUGAUCAUUAUCAUUAGCUUCCUCACUAACUAGUGUAGGUGUCACUGAAACAGUUUUCUGUGAUGUACUACUUUGCAAUAAGGGAGCAGACACAGUUACCUUGUCAAGUUCUACUUUCCUCCCACUCACUUCUUUCGAGAGAAACUCCUUCUCCAAAAAGUUUCCGAAUUUAGCAACAAAAGUCUUGCCUUCGGAUUUGUGAUAGAAGGUGUAUCCAAUAGUCUCCUUUGGAUAUCCUAUGAAGACACAUUUCUCCGAUUUGGGUUCGAGCUUAUCAGGUUGAAGGUUUUUCACAUAAGCAUCGCAGCCCCAAACUUUCAGAAACGACAACUUUGGUUUCUUGCCAAACCAUAGUUCAUAAGGCGUCGUCUCAACGGAUUUUGAUGGUGCCCUAUUUAACGUGAAUGCGGCUGUCUCUAGAGCGUAUCCCCAAAACGAUAGCGGUAAAUCAGUAAGAGACAUCAUAGAUCGCACCAUAUCUAGUAAAGUACGAUUACGACGUUCGGACACACCAUUACGCUGUGGUGUUCUGGGUGGCAUGAGUUGCGAAACUAUUCCGCAUUGUUUCAAAUGUACACCAAACUCGUAAAUCAAAUAUUCUCCUCCAUGAUCAGAUCGUAGAAAUUUUAUUUUCUUGUUACGAUGAUUUUCAACUUCACUCUGAAAUUCUUUGAACGUUUCAAACGUUUCAGACUUAUGUUUCAUUAAGUAGAUAUACCCAUAUCUGCUUAAGUCAUCUGUGAAGGUGAGAAAAUAACGAUAUCCGCCACGAGCCUCAAUAUUCAUCGGGCCACAUACAUCUGUAUGUAUGAUUUCCAACAAAUCUGUUGCUCUCUCCAUAGUACCAGAGAACGGUGUUUUAGUCAUCUUGCCCAUGAGGCAUGGUUCGCAAGUACUAAGUGAUUCAUAAUCAAGUGGUUCCAAAAGUCCAUCAGUAUGGAGUUUCUUCAUGCUCUUUACACCGAUAUGACCUAAACGGCAGUGCCACAAAUAAGUUGCACUAUCAUUAUCAACUCUGCAUCUUUUGGCUUCAACACUAUGAAUAUGUGUGUUACUACUAUCGAGAUUUAAUAAAAAUAGACCACUCUUUAAGGGUGCAUGACCAUAAAAGAUAUUACUCAUAUAAAUAGAACAACCAUUAUUCUCAGAUUUAAAUGAAUAACCGUCUCGCAUCAAACAAGAUCCAGAUAUAAUGUUCAUGCUUAACGCUGGCACCAAAUAACAAUUAUUUAGGUCUAAUAUUAAUCCCGAAGGUAGAUGUAGAGGUAGCGUGCCGACUGCGAUCACAUCAACUUUGGAACCGUUUCCCACGCGCAUCGUCACCUCGUCCUUAGCCAAUCUUCGCUUAAUCCAUAGUCCCUGUUUCGAGCUGCAAAUAUUAGCAACAGAACCAGUAUCAAAUACCCAGGUGCUACUGCGAGCAUUAGUAAGGUACACAUCAAUAACAUGUAUAUCACAUAUACCUUUGUUCACCUUUCCAUCCUUCUUAUCCGCCAAAUACUUGGGGCAGUUCCGCUUCCAGUGACCAGUCUGCUUGCAGUAGAAGCACUCAGUUUCAGGCUUAGGUCCAGGUUUGGGUUUCUUCUCUUGAGUAGCAACUUGCUUGCUGUUCUUUUUGAAGUUUCCCUUCUUCUUCCCUUUGCCCUUUUUCUUGAAACUAGUGGUCUUCUUGACCAUCAACACUUGAUGCUCCUUCUUGAUUUCUACCUCCGCAGCUUUCAGCAUCGCGAAGAGCUCGGGAAUAGUCUUAUUCAUCCCUUGCAUAUUAUAGUUCAUCACGAAGCUCUUGUAGCUUGGUGGCAGUGAUUGGAGAAUUCUGUCAAUGACGCAAUCAUCUGGAAGAUUAACUCCCAAUUGAAUCAAGUGAUUAUUAUACCCAGACAUUUUGAGUAUAUGCUCACUAACAGAACUGUUCUCCUCCAUCUUACAACUAUAGAACUUAUUGGAGACUUCAUAUCUCUCAAUCCGGGCAUUUUCUUGAAAUAUUAACUUUAACUCCUAGAACAUCCCAUAUGCUCCAUGACGUUCAAAACGCCGUUGAAGUCCCGAUUCUAAGCCAUAAAGCAUGGCACACUGAACUAUUGAGUAGUCAUUAGCUUUGCUCUGCCAGACGUUCAUAACAUCCGGCGUUGCUCCAGCAGCAGGCCUGGCACCCAGCGGUGCUUCCAGGAUGUAAUUCUUCUAUGCAGCAAUGAGGAUAAUCCUCAAGUUACGGACCCAGUCCGUGUAAUUGCUACCAUCAUCUUUCAACUUUGCUUUCUCAAGGAACGCGUUAAAAUUCAAUGGAACAACAGCACGAGCCAUCUAUCUACAAUCAAGCAUAAACAAGCAAGAUACUUAUCAGGUACUAAGUUUCAUGAUAAAUUUAAGUUCAGUUAAUUUACUUAAAGAACUCCCACUUAGAUAGACAUCCCUCUAAUCCUCUAAGUGAUUACGUGAUCCAAAUCAACUAAACCAUGUCCGAUCAUCACGUGAGAUGGAGUAGUUUCAUUGGUGAACAUCACUAUGUUGAUCAUAUCUACUAUAUGAUUCACGCUCGACCUUUCGGUCUCCGUGUUCCGAGGCCAUAUCUGUAUAUGCUUGGCUCGUCAAGUAUAACCUGAGUAUUCCGCGUGUGCAACUGUUUUGCACCCGUUGUAUUUGAACGUAGAGCCUAUCACCCCCGAUCAUCACGUGGUGUCUCAGCACGAAGAACUUUCACAACGGUGCAUACUCAGGGAGAACACUUCUUGAUAAUUAGUGAGAGAUCAUCUUAUAAUGCUACCGUCAAUCAAAGCAAGAUAAGAUGCAUAAAAGAUAAACAUCACAUGCAAUCAAUAUAAGUGAUAUGAUAUGGCCAUCAUCAUCUUGUGCUUGUGAUCUCCAUCUCCGAAGCACUGUCGUGAUCACCAUCGUCACCGGCGUGACACCUUGAUCUCCAUCGUAGCAUCGUUGUCGUCUCGCCAAGCUUGUGCUUCCACGACUAUCGCUACCGCUUAGUGAUAAAGUAAAGCAUUACAUCGCGAUUGCAUUGCAUACAAUAAAGCGACAACCAUAUGGCUCCUGCCAGUUGCCGAUAACUCGGUUACAAAACAUGAUCAUCUCAUAAAACAAAAAUCAGCGUCAUGUCUUGACCAUAUCACAUCACAACAUGCCCUGCAAAAACAAGUUAGACGUCCUCUACUUUGUUGUUGCAAGUUUUACGUGGCUGCUACGGGCUUAAGCAAGAACUAAUCUUACCUACGCAUCAAAACCACAACGAUAGUUUGUCAAGUUGGUGCUGUUUUAACCUUCGCAAGGACCGGGCGUAGCCACACUUGGUUCAACUAAAGUUGGAGAAACUGUCACCCGCAAGCCACCUCUGUGCAAAGCACGUCGGGAGAACCGGUCUCGCGUAAGCGUACGCGUAAUGUCGGUCUGGGCCGCUUUGUCCAACAAUACCGCCGAACCAAAGUAUGACAUGCUGGUAAGCAGUAUGACUUAUAUCGCCCACAACUCAUUUGUGUUCUACUCAUGCAUAUAACAUCAACAAAUAAAACCUAGGCUCGGAUGCCACUGUUGGGUAACGUAGUAAUUUCAAAAAAAUUCCUACGCACACGCAAGAUCAUGGUGAUGCAUAGCAACGAGGGGAGAGUGUGAUCUACGUACCCUUGGUAGAUCGACAAUGGAAGCGUUUGGUUGAUGUAGUCGUACGUCUUCACGGCCCGACCGAUCAAGCACCGAAACUACGGCACCUCCGAGUUUUAGCACACGUUCAGCUCGAUGACGAUCCCCGGACUCCGAUCCAGCAAAGUGUCGGGGAAGAGUUCCGUCAGCACGACGGCGUGGUGAUGAUCUUGAUGUACUACUGCUGCAGGGCUUCGCCUAAGCACCGCUACAAUAUUAUCGAGGACUAUGGUGGCUGGGGGCGCCGCACACGGCUAAGAAUAAGAUCACCUGGAUCAACUUGUGUGUUUCUGGGGUGCCCUUGCCUCCGUAUAUAAAGGACUAAAGGGGGGGUGCGGCCGACCUAGGAGAGGCGCGCCAAGAGAGUCCUACUCCCUCUGGGAGUAGGAUUCCCCCCCCCCCAAUCCUAGUUAGAAUAGGAUUUGCGGAGGGGGGAAAAGAGAGAGAGGGGCCGGCCCCCUCUCCUUGUCCUAUUCGGACCAAGGGAGGGGAGGGGCGCGCGGCCCAUGUUGGGCUGCCUCUUCUCUUUUCCACUAAGGCCCACUAUGGCCCAUAUAGCUCCCGGGGGGUUCCGGUAACCUCCCGGUACUCCGGUAAAAUCCCGAUUUCACCCGGAACACUUCCGAUAUCCAAACAUAGGCUUCCAAUAUAUCAAUCUUUAUGUCUUGACCAUUUUGAGACUCCUCGUCAUGUCCGUGAUCACAUCCGGGACUCCGAACAAACUUAGGUACAUCAAAAUGCAUAAACUCAUAAUAUAACUGUCAUCGUAACCUUAAGCGUGCGGACCCUACGGGUUCGAGAACAAUGUAGACAUGACCGAGACAUGUCUCCGGUCAAUAACCAAUAGUGGGACCUGGAUGCCCAUAUUGGCUCCUACAUAUUCUAUGAAGAUCUUUAUCGGUCAGACCGCAUAACAACAUACGUUGUUCCCUUUGUCAUCGGUAUGUUACUUGCCCGAGAUUCGAUCGUCGGUAUUCCAAUACCUAGUUCAAUCUCGUUACCGGCAAGUCUCUUUACUCGUUCUGUAAUACAUCAUCCUGCAACUAACUCAUUAGUUGCAAUGCUUGCAAGGCUUAAGUGAUGUGCAUUACCGAGAGGGCCCAGAGAUACCUCUCCGACAAUCGGAGUGACAAAUCCUAAUCUCAAAAUACGCCAACCCAACAUGUACCUUUGGAGACACCUGUAGAGAUCCUUUAUAAUCACCCAGUUACGUUGUGACGUUUGGUAGCACACAAAGUGUUCCUCUGGCAAACGGGAGUUGUAUAAUCUCAUAGUCAUAGGAACAUGUAUAAGUCAUGAAGAAAGCAAUAGCAACAUACUAAACGAUCGGGUGCUAAGCUAAUGGAAUGGGUCAUGUCAAUCAGAUCACUCACUUAAUGAUGUGAUCCCGUUAAUCAAAUAACAACUCAUUGUUCAUGGUUAGGAAACAUGACCAUCUUUGAUUAACGAGCUAGUCAAGUAGAGGCAUACUAGUGACACUUUGUUUGUCUAUGUAUUCACACAUGUAUUAUGUUUCCGGUUAAUACAAUUCUAGCAUGAAUAAUAAACAUUUAUCAUGAUAUAAGGAAAUAAAUAAUAACUUUAUUAUUGCCUCUAGGGCAUAUUUCCUUCAAAAGCAAGUCCACAUACUCAACUAUCAUCUAGUCCUUCAUAAUUGCUAACACUCGCGCAAUACUUGUGGUUACGGAGUUUUAAUCGGACACAGAGAAAGAUAGGGGCUUAUAGUUUCGCACCAUAACCUUUUACCUCAAGGGUAGUGUCAACAAUAAUAACUCAUGCCCCCCUACAUCCAAUUUGAUAUAUCUAUCACGAUCUUUCCAACACACUGUGCUUGCCAAAGGAUAAAAUGUAAACAGGAAAGGUGAAGAUCACCAUGACUCUUGCAUAAGGUAGAAGAUAAUAAUAAAAGAUAGGCCCUUCGCAGAGGGAAGAAGAGGUUGCCAUGCGCUUUUAUGGUUGGAUGCACAAAAUCUUAAUGCGAAAGAGCGUCACUUUAUUUUGCCCCUUGUGAUAUGAACCUUUAUUAUGCACUCCGUCGCUUUUAUUACUUCCACAUCACAAGAUCAUAUAAAGCUUAUUUCUCCCACACCAAUCAAUCAUACAUAUUUAGAGAGCAAUUUUUAUUGCUUUGCACCGAUGACAACUUACUUGAAGGAUCUUAUUCAAUCCAUAGGUAGAUAUGGUGGGCUCUCAUGGCAAAACUGGUUUAAGGGUAUUUGGAAGCACAAGUAGUAUCUCUACUUGGUGCUGAGAAUUUGGCUAGCAUGAGGGGGAAAGGAAAGCUCAACAUGUUGGAUGAUCCAUGACAACAUACUUUAUCUCAGAUAUAAGAAAACAUAACCCAUUACGUUGUCUUCCUUGUCCAACAUCAACUCUUUAGCAUGUCAUAUUUUGAUGAGUGUUCCCAAUCAUAAAAAAUGUCAAUGAUAGUAUAUUUAUAUGUGAAACCUCUCUUCCCUUAUUACUUCCUAUUAAUUGCAAUGACGACCAAAGCUAUGUCUGCCAACUCCCAACAACUUUUAAUCAUCACACUCUUUCUAUGUGAAGUCAUUGCUAUCAAUAAGAUCAAUAUGAACUUUUGUUUCUUUUUAUUCUUUUUCUCUCUUUUAUUCACCCAAGAUCAUAGCAAGAAAAUCAAGCCCUUGACUCAACACUAAUCUCUAUUAUAUAGCUCACGAACUCGAUUACAUAGAAGGAUAAUAAAGCAAAACUCACAACUAGAUCAUGCCAUAAAAUUUAUUCUACUAGAUCAGAAUAUUACCAAAAGGAUCGAACUAAGAAAAACUCUAAUGAUAAAAGUGAUGGUGAUACGAUACCGGGGCACCUCCCCCAAGCUUGGCAGUUGCCAAGGGGAGUGCCCAUACCCAGGUGAUUAUGUCUCUCUUUUCGGGGAUGGUGAUGUGAUGUUCUUGGCGAUGAUGCCCCUCAAGAUACGAUUCUCCUCCUCAAGCUUGUUGACUUGCUGCUUGAGAUCCAUUAUUUCCUUUCGGAGUUUUCCUGCAACAGCCAAAGCUCCCUGCACCCAAGGGUCCUGCAUAGCUGCGGGAGAACCAGUGACACUCUUUUUCAUAUUCUCACAAGAAAGAAAUCUAACAUUGGAAGGGAUAACCGAGUUUGGAAUAGCUGAGCUCUGCAGUUCCCCCAUCGUGAACCUAGCUCGGAAGCGAGAGGUGACUUCUUGAUCCUCCAUCACAUCUACCCUCAUUAAGUCGGCCUCCAUCUCUUCCUCCAUUGCUGGCCCAAAGUGGUCAGGGUUGCUGUUUGCCCUUGGUUCCGGUGCCGGAUUAGAUACCCGGCUCUCCCCGACUGACUCUUGAGAAGACAUCUUGCUCUAAUCUGCAGAAGCAACAGCUCGAAACAAAAACAGAGGAUAUUCGCGUGAUACAGGAGUCAAAACCGUUGGGAGAUUAUAUAAUGAAUAUUUACCGACCAAAGUGCGUAUUGUGCAAGAAAACGGAGUCCGGAGGGCACACGAGGAGCUCAUGAGGUAGGGGCGCGCCCUAGGGGGGCGCCCUCCACCCUCGUGGGGCCCUCGUGUCCUUCUCGGACUGCUACUUAAUUUUCUAAUUUUUCUAAAUAUUCCAAAACGGAGAAAUAUUGCCUUAAAAAUUGUUUUCGAGUCGGUUUACUUACCGUACCACAUACUUAUUCCUUUUCGGAGUCUGAAAUGUUCUAGAAAGUGUCCCUUAUGUAUUCCUCCGGGGUUACGGUUUCAAUAAUAUUGGUUUCAACAUUUAUGGGAUUACCUGAGAUAUAAAGUUUAAUUCUCUGGCCGUUUACCACCUUCGGAUUUGUGCCUUCGAAGUUGUUGAUUUUUAUGGCACUGGAACGAUAGACCUCCUCGAUAACAUAGGGGCCUUCCCAUUUAGAGAGAAGUUUUCCUGCAAAAAAUCUUAAACGAGAGUUGUAUAGCAAUACAUAAUCACCUACAUUAAACUCACGCUUUUGUAUCCUUUUGUCAUGCCAUCUUUUAACUUUUUAUUUAAACAACAUGGCAUUUUCAUAGGCUUGGGUUCUCCAUUCAUCAAGUGAGCUAAUAUCAAAUAACCUCUUUUCACCGGCAAGUUUGAAAUCAUAGUUGAGCUCCUUAAUAGCCCAAUAUGCCUUAUGUUCUAGUUCGCGAGGUAAGUGACAUGCUUUUCCAUAUACCAUUUUAUACGGAGACAUACCCAUAGGAUUUUUAUAUGCAGUUCUAUAGGCCCAUAAUGCAUCAUCAAGUUUCUUGGACCAAUUCUUUCUAGACCUAUUGACAGUCUUUUGCAAAAUUAAUUUGAGUUCUCUAUUACUCAAUUCUACUUGACCACUAUAUUGUGGGUGAUAUGGAGAUGCAAUUCUAUGAUUGACGUCAUAUUUAGCAAGCAUUUUACGGAAAGCACCAUGAAUAAAAUUUGAACCACCAUCAGUCAUUAAAUAUCUAGGGACUCUGAACCUCGGAAAAAUAACUUCUUUAAGCAUUUUAAUUGAAGUGUUAUGAUCAGCACUACUAGUUGAAAUGGCUUCUACCCACUUAGUAACAUAAUCAACAACAACUAAAAUAUGUGUAUAUCCAUUAGAGGCAGGAAAAGGUCCCAUAUAAUCAAAACCCCAAACAUCAAAUGGUUCAAUAACAAGUGAAUAAUUCAUAGGCAUUUAUUGACGUCUACUAAUAUUACCAAUUCUUUGACAUUCAUCACAAGAUAGGACAUACUUACGGGCAUCCUUGAAGAGAGUAGGCCAAUAAAAACCGGAUUGCAAUACCUUAUGUGCAGUUCUAUCUCCCGCGUGGUUUCCUCCAUAAGUUUCGGAGUGGCACUUGUGUAGGAUCUGUUCCUGUUCAUGCUCAGGUACACAACAUCUAAUAACACCAUCUACUCCUUCUUUAUAAAGAUGUGGGUCAUCCCAAAAGUAAUGUCUCAAAUCAUAGAAUAACUUUUUCUUUUGUUGGUAUGUGAAGCUAGGUGGUAUAAAUUUAGCAACUAUGUAAUUAGCAUAAUCAGCAUACCAAGGAGUACUACGGGAAGUACUUAUGACAUUUAAUUGUUCAUCAGGAAAGCUAUCGUCAAUAGGUAGUGGGUCAUCAAGAACAUUCUCUAACCUAGAUAAAUUGUCUGCAAUGGGGUUCUCAGCUCCUUUUCUACCAACAAUAUGCAAAUCAAAUUCUUGUAACAAGAGAACCCGUCUAAUAAGUCUAGGUUUAGCAUCUUUCUUCUCCAUAAGAUAUUUAAUAGCAGCAUGAUUAGUGUGGAUAGUUACUUUAGAAUCAACAAUAUAAGGUCUGAACUUAUCACAAGCAAAUACAACUGCUAAAAGUUCUUUUUCAGUAGUAGCAUAAUUUCUUUGAGCAUUGUCUAGAGUCUUACUAGCAUAAUGGAUAAUAUUUAGUUUCUUAUCAACUCUUUGCCCUAGAACAGCACCUACAGCAUAAUCGCUAGCAUCACACAUAAUUUCAAAGGGUAAAUUCCAAUCAGGUGGUUGAACAAUAGGUGCAUAGACUAAUGCUUUCUUAAGUAUUUCAAAUGCUUCUACACAAUCAUCAUCAAAGACAAAUGGUAUAUAUUUUUGUAAUAAAUUAGUCAAAGGCCAAGAAAUUUUUGAGAAGUCCUUAAUGAACCUCCUAUAAAAUCCAGCAUGACCAAGGAAACUUCUUAUACCUUUGAUGUCCUUGGGACAUGGCAUCCUUUCAAUAGCAUCAACCUUGGCUUAAUCAACUUCAAUACCUCUUUCAGAAACUUUAUGCCCCAAGACAAUACCCUCAUUAACCAUAAAGUGGCACUUUUCCCAAUUCAAGACAAGAUUAGUUUCUUCACAUCUCUACAAAACUCGAUCAAGAUUGCUCAAGCAAUCAUCAAAAGAAGAUCCAUAGACGGAAAAGUCGUCCAUGAAAACCUCACAAAUCUUUUCACAAAAGUCAGAGAAUAUAGCCAUCAUGCAUCUUUGAAAUUUAGCAGGUGCAUUACAUAAACCAAAAGGCAUACGUCUAUAAGCAAAAGUACCAAAAGGGCAUGUAAAAGUAGUCUUUAGUUGAUCUUUAGCCGACACAGGUAUUUGAGAGAAACCAGAAUAACCAUCUAGAAAGCAAUAAUGUGUAUGUUUGCAUAAUCUUUCUAGCAUUUGAUCGAUAAAAGUUAAGGGGUAAUGAUCUUUCUUAGUAGCCUUAUUUAAUUUGCGGAAAUUAAUUACCAUCCUAUAACCUGUAAUAAUUCUUUGUGGAAUCAAUUCAUCUUUAUCAUUAGGAACAACAGUAAUACCUCCCUUCUUAAGGACACAAUGAACAAGACUUACCCACUGACUAUCAGCAACGGGAUAAAUUGUACCUGCCUCCAGAAGCUUUAGUAUUUCUUUUCUUACCACUUCUUUUAUUUUAGGAUUCAGACGCCGUUGAGGAUCACGAACUGGUUUGGCAUCUGCUUCCAAAUUUAUUUUAUGUUGACAUAGAGUGGGACUAAUGCCCUUAAGAUCAUCAAGAGUAUAUCCAAUAGCAGCACGGUGCUUCUUCAGAGUUUUCAAUAAUCUUUCUUCUUCAUGCUCUGAAAGGUUAGCACUAAUAAUAACAUGAUAUAUCUUCUUUUCAUCAAGAUAUGCAUAUUGAAGAUUAUCAGGCAAUGGUUUAAGCUCAAACACGGGAUCACCCUUAGGUGGAGGGGGAUGCCCUAGGAUUUCAACAGGCAAAUUGUGUGUCAGCAUAGGUUCUUGUUUAAAGAACACUUCAUCUAUUUCCCUUCUUUCAUUCAUAAACAUAUCAUUCUCAUGGUCUAGCAAAUAUUGUUCUAAAGGAUUACUAGGAGGUACGGCAAUAGAAGCAAGACCAAUAAUUUCAUCCUUACUAGGCAAUUCUUCUUCACGGUGUUGUUUACUAAAUUUAGAGAAAUUAAACUCAUAAGUCAUAUCAUCUAAGCCAAUAGUAACAACAUUCUUUUCGCAGUCUAUCCUAGCAUUAACUGUAUUCAAGAAAGGUCUACCAAAUAUAACGGGACAAAAGCUAUCUUGUGGGGAACUAAGAACAAGAAAAUCAGUAGGAUAUUUAGUUUUCCUGCACAAGACUUCAACAUCUCUAACAAUUCCCAUUGCUGAAAUAGUAUCUCUAUUAGCAAGUUUAGUUGUGACAUCAAUAUCUUCUAACUCAGCAGGUGCAAUUUCAUGCUUGAUUUCUUUAUACAAGUCAUAAGGUAUAACACUAGCACUAGCACCCAUAUCACAUAAGCCAUGAUAACAAUGAUCUCCUAUUUUAACAGAAAUAACAGGCACGCCUACCACAGGUCUAUGUUUAUCUUUAGCACAAGGUUUAGCAAUUCUAGCAGUUUCACCGCAGAACUGAAUAACAUGCCCAUCAAUAUUAUCAGACAAGAGCUCUUUAACAAUAGCAACAUUAGGUUCAACUUUAACUUGCUUAGGAGGUGUAUAUGUUUUAAUAUUGCUUUUUUGAACAACAGUUGAAGCUUUAGCAUGAUCCUUUAUUCUAACAGGGAAAGGUGGUUUCUCAACAUAAGAAGUAGAAACAAUAGGAUCAUUAUAAGUGAUAGUCUUUUCUUCAACUUUAAUAGGUGCAGCUACUUUUACUUCUAUGGGAGGAUGAUAUUUAAACAACUUCUCCUUAGGGAGAUCAACAUAAGUAGCAAAAUAUUCACAGAAAGAAGCUACUAUCUCAGAAUCAAGUCCAUAUUUAGUACUAAACUUACGGAAAAUAUCGGUAUCCAUAAAAGAGUUAACACAAUCAAACUUAGGUGUCAUACCUGACUCCUUACUAUUGUCGAGGUCCCAAUCUUCAGAGUUGCGUUUAAUUCUAUUCAAUAAAUCCCAUUUGAAUUCAAUAGUCUUCAUCAUAAAAGAGGCAGCACAAGAAGUAUCAAGCAUGGUGCGAUUGUUAUCAGAAAGCCGAGCAUAAAUUUUUUGAAGAAUUGUUUCUCUUGGAAGCUCAUGGUUGGGGCAUGAAUAUAACAUUGAUUUAAGCCUCCCCCAAGCUUGAGCGAUGCUUUCUCCUUCACGGGGCCAAAAAUUAUAUAUAUAACUGCGAUCACGAUGAAAAAGAUGCAUAGGGUAAUACUUUUGAUGAAAUUCCAAUUUCAAUCUUCUAUAGUUCCAUGAUCCCGUAUCAUCACAUAGCCUAUACCAUACCAAUGCGUCUCCCUUCAAAGAUAAAGGGAAGACCUUCUUAGCAACAUCAUCGGGUAUACCUGGAAGCUUAAAUAAUCCACAAACUUCAUCCACAUAUAUUAGGUGUUCAUCAGGAUGCUUUGUUCCAUCUCCUGUAAAAGGAUUAGCUAGCAGUUUUUCUAUCAUACUCGAAGGAUACUCAUAAGGAAUUUCAUUUUCAUAUUCAUUUUCAAUAGGUUCAGUAGGUUGAGGAGCAACUGUUUGCUCUACUGGUCGGGGUGAAGAUACCCCGAACAAGCCCCUUAGAGGAUUACUUUACAUAGUAACAAGUGACAGUAAAUUUCCGCACACUAUAUAAAUCUUUCCUUACCAAAUUCCACCUACCAAAGGCGCUUCACUCCCUGGCAACGGUGCCAGAAAAGAGUCUUGAUGACCCACAAGUAUAGGGGAUCUAUCGUAGUCCUUUCGAUAAGUAAGAGUGUCGAACCCAACGAGGAGCAGAAGGAAAUGAUAAACGGUUUUCAGCAAGGUAUUCUCUGCAAGUACUGAAAUAAGUGGUAACAGAUAGUUUUGUGAUAAGAUAAUUUGUAACGAGCAACAAGUAACAAAAAGUAAAUAAAGUGCAGCAAGGUGGCCCAAUCCUUUUUGUUGCAAAGGACAAGCCUGGACAAACUCUUAUAUAAGGAAAAGCGCUCCCGAGGACACAUGGGAAUAUCGUCAAGCUAGUUUUCAUCACGUUCAUAUGAUUCACGUUCCGUACUUUGAUAAUUUGACAUGUGGGUGGACCGGUGCUUGGGUGUUGUUCUUACUUGAACAAGCAUCCCACUUAUGAUUAACCUCUAUUGCAAGCAUCCGCAACUACAACAAAAUCAUUAAGGUAAACCUAACCAUAGCAUGAAACAUAUGGAUCCAAAUCAGCCCCUUACGAAGCAAUGCAUAAACUAGGGUUUAAGCUUCUGUCGCUCUAGAAACCCAUCAUCUACUUAUUACUUCCCAAUGCCUUCCUCUAGGCCCAAAUAAUGGUGAAGUGUUAUGUAGUCGACGUUCACAUAACACCACUAGAGGCUAGACAACAUACAUCUUAUCAAAAUAUCGAACACAUACCAAAUUCACAUGACUACUAAUAGCAAGACUUCUCCCUUGUCCUCAGGAACAAACAUAACUACUCACAAAGCAUAAACAUGUUCAUAAUCAGAGGGGUAUUAAUAUGCAUAUAGGAUCUGAACAUAUGAUCUUCCACCAAUUAAACCAACUAGCAUCAACUACAAGGAGUAAUUAACACUACUAGCAACCUACUAGCACCAAUCCCGGACUUGAAGACAAGAAUCAAAUACAAGUGAUGAACUAGGGUUUUGAGAUGAGAUGGUGCUGAUGAAGAUGUUGAUGGAGAUUGCCCUCUCCCGAUGAGAGGAGCGUUGGUGAUGACGAUGGUGAUGAUUUCCCCCUCCGGGAGGGAAGUUUCCCCGGCAGAACAGCUCUGCCGGAGCUCUAGAUUGGAUCCGCCAAGGUUCCGCCUCAUGGCGGCGGAGUUUCGUCCCGAAAGGUUGCUUCUUUUUUUUCUCGACGAAAGACUUCAUAUAGGAGAAGAUGGUCAUCGGAGAGCCACCAGGGGGCCCACGAGGUAGGGGCGCGCCCUAGGGUGGGCGCCCCCCACCCUCAUGAGCAGGGUGUGGGGCCCCUGGUCUUCAUCUUUGGCGAGGAUUUUUCAUUAUGUAUUAUAAGGUAUUCCGUGGAGUUUCAGGACUUUUGCAGUUGUGCAGAAUAGGUCUCUAAUAUUUGCUCCUUUUCCAGCCCAGAAUUCCAGCUGCCGGCGUUCUCCCUCCUUAUGUAAACCUUGUAAAAUAAGAGAGAAUAGCCAUAAGUAUUGUGACAUAAUGUGAAAUAACAGCCCAUAAUGCAAUAAAUAUCGAUAUACAAGCAUGAUGCAAAAUGGACGUAUCAAGAAGCCAUCUAGCUAAUAACUAUGGACCCGAAGGUCUGAAGUAAACUACUCACACAUCAUCGGAGAGGCUAUGGUGUUGAGGUAGAAGCCCUCCGUGAUUGAUGCCCCCUUCAGUAGAGCUCCGAAACAGGCCCCAAGAUGGGAUCUCACGGGUACAGAAGGUUGCGGCGGUGGAAUUAGGUUUUUGGCUCCGUAUCUGGUAGUUUGGGGGUACGUAGGUAUAUAUAGAAGGAAGGAGUAUGUCGGUCGAGCAACAGGGGGCCCACGAGGGUGGAGGGCGCGCCCCCCACCUCGUGGCCUCGUGGUUGAUGUCUUGACGUAUGGCCCAAGUCCUCAUGAUCACGUUCGUUCCAAAAAUCACGUUCCCGAAGGUUUCAUUCCGUUUGGACUCCGUUUGAUAUUCUUUUUCUGCGAAACCCUGAAAUAGGCAAAAAAACAACAAUUCUGGGUUGGGCCUCCGGUAAAUAGGUUAGUCCCAAAAAUAAUAUAAAAGUGUAUAAUAAAGUCCAAUAAUGUCCAAAACAGAAUAUAAUAUAGCAUGGAACAAUAAAAAAUUAUAGAUACGUUGGAGACGUAUCAGUAGGCAGCCAGAGUCAGCAGGAAAUUUGACCUUUUUCCCUUGCUUUUGGCUGGGCUUUAGGUGGGCCUUGCUUAAUCAUACGCCGGGCCGGGCUGAACAAUGUAUGUUUGAAAAUCCCCAAGUUGAGCCAGGACCGGCCCAGCCCAAAUGUUAUUUCCUACUAGUAUUUAACUUAUGGAAAAAAUUGCAACUCUAGAUUUUGCCAAUUUUCCUUAUGCCACUCUAGAUUUUGACAUUUCACUUUUGUCACUCUUAGUUUUCGACAAUUAUCACAAUUGCCAUUCCCAUGGCAAAAGCAAAAUUUUCAAUGGAAUGGCAAUUGUGAUAAUUGUCAAAAACUAAGAGUGGGCAAAAUAAAAUAAAAUUAUUUUGCUUUUGCCACAGAAUGGCAAUUGUGAUAAUUGUGCAAAACUAAGAGUGGUAAAGGUGAAAUGUCAAAAUCUAGAGUGGCAUAAGGAAAAUUGGCAAAAUCUAGAGUGGCAAAAACAUAAUUUUCCCUUUAACUUAAGACUGAAAAAACUAGUAUUUAACUUAAUCAUUUUCAGGGUAUUAAAAAUAAAUAUAUUACCAUACCUCAUAUAUGAAUAAAAUGCCAAGUAUGACCUUGUUUGGGCUUUUUUUGAGCUUUUGGACGAGAAAGCUGAGCUUGAGCCUAGCCCAAAUGUCUGGGGCCCCGGGCAGUUGGGCCGGGCUUCCAAGCUCAUGUUUAGGUGGACCCUAGUUCAUAUUGGACAUAUUUUUUGCUUCCUUUUGAGUGUUGAACGAUCAAGUCAAAUUUGUGCGUUCAGCGAUGUGAUAUGGCGUAUAGCGAUGUAGACGAAAAUUAAUCAUAUAACCAACAUUCAUAAUUAGCAAGUACUCGUUUUCACCAGGUUUUAAAAUAACUAAUAGCGGGUUCAUAGUUGUUCAGCCUUCAACAUGGUUAGGACUAAAUAUUGAUUGAUAUGAUCGUAGAAUAAAUCGACACUUGGUAUCAGUGAGAAUGUGUAACCGAUAAUUUGAACAUGACUGAAAGAGCAUGGUGCCCCAUGUUUGGUUUUGGUAAUUGAUGACAAUCCCUAUGGACUAAUUGUUGCCUUGAGUUAUAUUUGAAGGGUUUGUCCACAGGUAUUGCUUGAAGACCAUUUGUUGGCUUCAAGGUUAUAAGAAGAAGAUUAUGUAUUAGCAAGGUGUUAUUCAAGGAGUUAUCCAGAGAUUGGUCAUGUGAGAAUUGAGCCUAUUGCAAGCAUGUCUUGAGGUGGGGGGAGGUCGUGCGCCAUGGGUUGGAGGGCGUGCGAGCCGGGCACUAGCGCCGUGUGGGAUUUGUCACUAGCGGUGAGCAAUAAGAUGAGUGUUUUUUAGGGGAAAUAAAAUGAGCUGGCAGGAAGUUGGACCUUUUUCCUUCAUUUGGGUUGAGCUUUAGGUGGACCUUGACCUGAUCAUACCCCGGGCUGGGCUCAACAAUGUACGUCUGAAAAUCCCAAGUUGAGCCAGGACCGGCCCAACCCAAAUAUAAUUUCCUAGUAUUUAACUUAAUUGUUUUCAGGGUAUUUGAAAUAAAUAUAUUACCAUACCUAAUAUUCAGAUAAAAUGCCAAUUAUGACCUAGUUUGGGUUUUUUCGUGCUUUGGACGGGAAAGAUUGUGGUGUUAUCAAGGUUGAUAUCGAAAAGGAAGAUAUCAUCUAACCCAUGGAAGAUGACAUCAAAGUGGUGAUCGUCAUCAAGGUUGCAGUGUGCAAGUUCAAGUGGAGCAUCACGAAGAGAUUGGACUUGAAGCUUGCCAUCCAUUCUCGUGAUAAUGGAUAUGUGAAGAUGUGUCUAAGAGAGGCUCACCCAUAGUAGAGUAUGAGGGAGCAAUCUAGUAGUCUUCAUCGAGUGUACGCUAUCAAGAAAGGUGGUCCAACUUGAGGAAGUCAAGAUCGUCAUCAUCUAGCUCAAGUGGACUAUGCGCAAGGCAAAGGUUUGACCGUGAUAGGUUUUCUAUUUUACCAGUCUCAUGGUGCUAGUUGGGAGACCGGGUUAUNNNNNNNNNNNNNNNNNNNNNNNNNNNNNNNNNNNNNNNNNNNNNNNNNNNNNNNNNNNNNNNNNNNNNNNNNNNNNNNNNNNNNNNNNNNNNNNNNNNNNNNNNNNNNNNNNNNNNNNNNNNNNNNNNNNNNNNNNNNNNNNNNNNNNNNNNNNNNNNNNNNNNNNNNNNNNNNNNNNNNNNNNNNNNNNNNNNNNNNNNNNNNNNNNNNNNNNNNNNNNNNNNNNNNNNNNNNNNNNNNNNNNNNNNNNNNNNNNNNNNNNNNNNNNNNNNNNNNNNNNNNNNNNNNNNNNNNNNNNNNNNNNNNNNNNNNNNNNNNNNGGGAGCUCAAACCAUUGCAUAAUUGGCAUCAUCUUUCUUGGUUCUUGUUUGGAUUUUCUCUAUGUGAGUUUUGGAGCUUGUGGUCAUUUUCAUGACAAGCUCAAGUUCAUCGAAAACGGAUUUUCUAUGCAUCAUCUAUUAUGUUUUUCAUGUUGGAGUUUAUUGUCGAUUCUUCGCUGAUGGUGGUUUCACACCUCUAUAUCAUUGGCAUAUUUCUAUUUGUGAUUUGACAUCUCUUUUUGUUAGCUUUCUAUCAAUCUUAAGUUCGUCGAAAUCAGAGUUCAUUUGCAGAAGUUAUGACAGUUUCUGUCUUACUUGUUUCAUCUGUUGUGCAUUGGUCUUUUGGCAGAGACUAGGCAGUAGUACUGCUGGUGCCCACGGUAGUGCCGCUUCGGCGGUACUUCCGCUGGCUUGUACCGCGCUACUUUCGCUUGGCUGGAGUCUUGUGUUCCCCUCAAUUGCUCGCGGUAGUACCACUUAGGCGGUACUUCUACUGGGCAGUACCGCAGCUACUUCCACUUGAGUUGAGUCUUUUGUAUGCUCUCCGCCAAUUCAUGGUAGUAUUGCUAGCACUAUACGGUAGUACCGCUUCAUGUGGUACUUCGGCUCUGGUGAUGUGUUGGCUACCGAUGGUUCCUCUGUAACCCUUCGACAAUUAGCGGCAGUACCGCUAGUCGGCGGCAGUAGUACCACUCCGGUGAAACUAUCGUUCUAGUACUUCAGUACUCAUUGGGUUGCAUUGACUGGGCUAAGCGGUGGUAUCGCUCCCCGAGCGAUAUUACUGCUCCCUUGAGCGAUACUACCGUUGGUGCACGACAUGUGCACAUAACGGUUGGAUCUGAGCCCCAUCUAUAAAAGGGGGUCUUCUUCCCCAAUUCCCCAACAUUUAUUUGCAAGCUUUCUCUGCAAUUGUUGACCUCCAAAAGCUUUUUUUCUCUAUUCCUCCCAUGAAUAUUGCAUCUUUUUGAGGGAAAAGAGAUAGGAGAUCUAGAUCUACAUUUCCGCCAAUUCAUAUCUCCUCUAAGUGAGGGGAACCUUGUGGAUAUACAUCUUGGAGUUUCUUUUGUGUUCUCCUUGGUCUUCCUCUCAUAUUCCUCCAUAGCUGUCGUUGCAUUGGUGGGAUUUGAGAGUGCGGGACUUGAGCAAUUCGUGUGUUCUUGUCAUUGCAUUAGUUGCACUAGGUUGAGUUCUCCACGGUGAUACGUGGAAGUGAAAGUUGAGAAGCUUAUUACUCUUGGGUGUUUUAGCACCCUAGCUAGAGCUUGUGCCUCUUGGGUGCUUGGGCGCCCUAGACAGUUGGUUGUGUUGCGGAGCUUAAUCAUUGUGGUGUAAAGCUCCAGGCAAGCUUCGGGGUCUCCAAUUAAGUUGUGGAGAUUGCCCCAACCAAAUUGUAUGGGUUCGGUGAUCGCUCCAAGGGUCGCCAGUUGUACGGGUUCGGUGACCGUCCUCAAGGGUCCCAUAGCGGGAUCAUGGUAUCUUGCAUUAUGCGAGGGCGUGAGGCGAAUAUAGUGGCCCCUAGGCAUUUUGGGGAGCAUUGUGCCUCCACACCACUCUAAUGAAGAUUAGCAUUCUCAAGGGUGUGAACUUCGGCAUACAUUGUUGUCUACGCGUGCCUCGGUUAUAUCUUACCCGAGCCUCUUUACUUAUACACUUUACUUUGUGAUAGCCUUCGUGUUUCAAGUAUAUAUCUUACUAUCACAUAGUUGUUUAUCUUGUUUAGCAUAAGUUGUUGGUGCACAUAGUUGAGCCUGGUAUACUUAGGUUUUGUGCUAGACAAAUUAAAUGCUAGUUUUGUUCCGCACGUGUUCAAGCCUAACCAUAAUCUCUACUGCUAAUGGGGGAGUACGUUGUCAUUUCGUUUGGUUAGACUUCCCCAUCGAACAAUAAAAACAACCCCACCGAUGUUUUUCCUUCUGCUUCGUUCCUGAUCCAUUCCUGAUUAUGCUUUUCUUUCCAAACCCGCCCCCACCCGGAUUGCUUCAUGUCCAUCCCCUCUCGUCCCUUGAGAUGGAAAGUAAUCUGCUCCCGGUAAUCAACCAAAUCAUAUCCCAUAUAUGGAAGAGAUGGAGAGAUAAGCAUGGCAUGGAGAGAGGAGAGACACGGAGGUGCAUGCAUGCAAAGCCCACCCCUGUAUAAGCUUGAAGAGUAGGCUAUGCAGUUACAACAGAGACGUACAACACCUUGCGCCAGCCAUGGAAGAUAGACACAUAGUAGAGGGGAGCGUGGUGGCCUCUGGCUGUCGCGCUGGAGUACAGAUGGGACAUGAUUUGUGUGGAAUCACUAGAAUAUGUGUGCCAUCUAAUGAGUUGAUUGGGUGGGAAGUGCGAUUCGGUAUGAUCCUAGAUCUCUCUCUCUCUCUCUCUCUCCUCGCACUUUAAAUGGCUUCCUGCCCAGUAGAUGGAAAGAGGGGUUUGGGUUGGGAGGAAGAAGCUGUACAGAUCGAAGGAAAAGUAGAACAAAGGGACGGGUACGAAUCACAUUUGUUCGAAUGUCUUCUCUCUUUUGGUAGUUUUAGAGUCAUCGGCACAUCAAGAAUGGCGCUAACGUUUUCAUUUUGGUCAAAUCAGGGAUUUAAAGCAUCCACACGAUCUCAGUCGUCAAUGUCCUGAAGCCAAAUUUUAUUUAUGUUAUCUCACAAAUGGUCGUGCGCUGAACCAAUAAAUAAAUAAACAUGUUUUAUCUAUUUUCACACAUUGAAUCUACUUAUUUUCUCAGAUUCUUCUCUUGACUUCGGUUCCAAUUGCAUUUCAAUAUAUCUAUUUUCACUUUACAUUAGUACAAAUAUAUCAUGCCUAUUAGAAUUAGUCAUCACAUAGUAUUGAUCGACAUGCAUGAUUAUCUUACCAAUGUUUUAUUCCAAAUGUUGUGUUGUAAUUCAUAUAUUGAUUUAAUAUUUCUUAGGUUUUUGUUGCAAGUAACUAUAUAAUUCCUUGUUACACUUCUACUACAAUUGCCAUUGACAUCACUGGCUGGUUGGCGAUACUUCAUGUGAGGUUGAUGAGGCAGCACCAGAAGUUUGAUACUCUACUGGAUGGUUGAUAAUUGUCUUAUUGGAAAGGCAAGUGCUAAACAAAAUUGUUCUAUUGGAAAUGGAUUGUGCUAUCAAGAGACUACAAUAUAUGGGUGGUUUUAUGUAUCGACAGUGCAACUCUCACCGAAUUUAAUUUGUAUUCUCUUGCUCUAACAAGGUUUCAUGAAGAUGUGCAGUAGAUACGGUAUUUUUCUAAUCGAGGCACACUUGUUCUUCCCCAAGAGAUCCCUAAGUGGUACUUAAUUUCCAGAUACUUCAAGUACAUUGACUUUUUUUGAGGAAAAGGUAAAAAAUUUCCAUGGGAUUAUUUUCACCGUCAAUUUUAGUUCAGACGAUGAUAGUUCAUAGAAUGUUAGAUUGUCCAUUGGGAAAGUUACUGAACUACGAUGGACCAGACUAUAAACUAAUCGAGUUUUACACAAUCAAAAAAGAUGGAAACAAACAAUUGUUCUUCUUCUGUAUAGAUAUGUUGCACAUGAUAAUUCAAAAGAUGAAUUUCUAUAUAUGUUUAUGUUUGCAUAUUAUGAAAAGAUGGAGAUGGAUUAUGUGGAUGUUCAGAAAUAAUCCAUUUGUGAGGGUCCUAAAGCGAUGUCAUUGGAAGGGGCCAAAAAUUCAUUGUGACGCCCGGAUAAUUAGGCUAGAGUAAUCACGUGUUAAUGAUGCCAAGCCAUCAAAGUUACUGUCGUUAAUCUCGCGUUAGUUCAGAACCGAUCCAAAUUCAAAUUUGAAAGAAAGGCAAACAACAAAACUUUUGAAACAUUAAAACCAAAAUGUUCGGUUUGUGGCAAAUAAUCCUUACUAACUAUUUGUGAAGGAACCACACUUUUAUUAUGUGUUUUAAUGCACUAAAAUGAUUUAAAUAUUAGCAAACCUGAUUAUUUAAAUGCCUUUGCAGAUUGAUAAAAUAUCAAACCAAAUUAAUUGGGGUCUAGACUUUUGUGGCGGUAGACUAAAUCGAAAUGUUCAAUUAGAUGCAAAGUAUAUAUUUUUACAGAACCUAAAAUAAUAGGAAACAAAAAUAAAACAGAAAAGAAAAGAGAAAAAUAAAGAAAACAAAAAAAAAUCAAAAACAAAGGGGACACCCCCCGGCCAACUGGGCCAACAGGCCCAGCUAGCCACCCACGCGACCCAGCCGGCCCAACCCGGUGGUAUAACCCCCACGCACCUGAAACCCUAGCCCGAUCCCUUCCCCACUUCCCCCCUCUCGGUCCACUCCCCCCCCACGACCUCCUCUGCCCUCGAUCUGGAUCGAGGAAAGNNNNNNNNNNNNNNNNNNNNNNNNNNNNNNNNNNNNNNNNNNNNNNNNNNNNNNNNNNNNNNNNNNNNNNNNNNNNNNNNNNNNNNNNNNNNNNNNNNNNNNNNNNNNNNNNNNNNNNNNNNNNNNNNNNNNNNNNNNNNNNNNNNNNNNNNNNNNNNNNNNNNNNNNNNNNNNNNNNNNNNNNNNNNNNNNNNNNNNNNNNNNNNNNNNNNNNNNNNNNNNNNNNNNNNNNNNNNNNNNNNNNNNNNNNNNNNNNNNNNNNNNNNNNNNNNNNNNNNNNNNCCCGACGUCGGCGCCGCUCCCCCCCUGUCGCCCGCCUCGCUGGACGCCCCCGCCGCCUCGACGCCACGCCCCUGCCUCGACAUGGACGACCCCGUCGUCGUCCACCCGUCGCCUCGCCGGUGCCACCCGACCCACGCCACCUCGAGCCGCUGCCUCCCCGUCCGGCUCACUGUGAGCCCCAUCCUCCCUCCUCUCUCCCCCCCGCGCAUCGACCGCGCCCGAAGGCCGCGCGCCCCGCAACCCGCACCGUGCGCCGCCCCCGUGCCAUGCGCGUUGUGGCCACGCACACAGCCCCACACCCCCGCCACGUCCUUGGUCACCUGCAGCCGCGCCCGUCACUGCCUGCCUCGCCCAGGUCGGACGCUGACCGCGCCCGGCGCGCNNNNNNNNNNNNNNGACCCCGUCGUCGUCCACCCGUCGCCUCGCCGGCGCCACCCGACCCGCGCCACCUCGAGUCGCUGCCUCCCCGUCCGGCUCACUGUGAGCCCCAUCCUCCCUCCUCUCUCCCCCCCGCACAUCGACCGCGCCCGAAGGUCGCGCGCCCCGCAACCCGCACCGUGCGCCGCCCCCGUGCCAUGCGCGUUGUGGCCACGCACACAGCCCCACACCCCCGCCACGUCCUUGGUCACCUGCAGCCGCGCCCGUCAAUGCCUGCCUCGCCCAGGCCGGACGCUGACCGCGCCCGGCGCGCGCCUAACCUCGCCGGCCUUCCCCGUCGUCUGUGCCCCGGCGGCCCCGUCCUGCUUUGCGGGCGAGUGCCCGCUCGGGUGCGCCUGCACUCUACGCCCGGGACCCGUGGCCGUUCGCCCGUUAGGGCUCCCCCUGAGCCACUGACCUUGGGGCCCCACACCCCAGAACAAAAAAAAAGAGGGAUUAAAAAAAUAUAAUAAUAAUAAAAAAUUUAAAAAAAAUGUUAAAUGAAUAAAUAGAUAAUAAUUAAAUAAUUAAAAUGUUAAUUAAUUAAUUAAUUAAGUAAUUAAUUAAGUUAAUUAAUCCUGGUUAAUUAACCUAAUAACUAAUUAACCUAAUUAACUACUGUUAAUUAAACUUAAUUAGGUUAAUUAGUUAAUAGUGUAUGACGAACGGGACCCACCUGUCAGGGUUGACUCAGUCAACCCCUGUUGACUGCUGACGUCAGCAUGACAUCAUGCUGACGUCAUAAAUACAUUUUUUCGAAUUAAUUAAAUAAAUAAUUAAAUUCCAAAAUUGUUAAAAUCUUUUAAAAAUCAUAUCUUUUAAUCCGUAACUCGGAUUAAAAUAUUUUCAACAUGAAAGUUGCUCAGAACGACGAGACGAAUCCGGAUACGCAGUCCGUUCGUCCGCCACACCCCCCUAACCUAUCGAACCCGCAACUUUCCCCCUCCGGUUCAUCUGUUAGAAAACACGAAACACCGGGAAUACUUUCCCGGAUGUUUUCCCCCCUUCACCGGUAUCACCUACUACCGCGUUAGGGCACACCGAACACCGCGUAUUGCCUUGUUAUAUUUUGUGAUGCUUUGUUUGCUCUGUAUUCAUUAUUUCUUCCCCCUCUUCUNNNNNNNNNNNNNNNNNNNNNNNNNNNNNNNNNNNNNNNNNNNNNNNNNNNNNNNNNNNNNNNNNNNNNNNNNNNNNNNNNNNNNNNNNNNNNNNNNNNNNNNNNNNNNNNNNNNNNNNNNNNNNNNNNNNNNNNNNNNNNNNNNNNNNNNNNNNNNNNNNNNNNNNNNNNNNNNNNNNNNNNNNNNNNNNNNNNNNNNNNNNNNNNNNNNNNNNNNNNNNNNNNNNNNNNNNNNNNNNNNNNNNNNNNNNNNNNNNNNNNNNNNNNNNNNNNNNNNNNNNNNNNNNNNNNNNNNNNNNNNNNNNNNNNNNNNNNNNNNNNNNNNNNNNNNNNNNNNNNNNNNNNNNNNNNNNNNNNNNNNNNNNNNNNNNNNNNNNNNNNNNNNNNNNNNNNNNNNNNNNNNNNNNNNNNNNNNNNNNNNNNNNNNNNNNNNNNNNNNNNNNNNNNNNNNNNNNNNNNNNNNNNNNNNNNNNNNNNNNNNNNNNNNNNNNNNNNNNNNNNNNNNNNNNNNNNNNNNNNNNNNNNNNNNNNNNNNNNNNNNNNNNNNNNNNNNNNNNNNNNNNNNNNNNNNNNNNNNNNNNNNNNNNNNNNNNNNNNNNNNNNNNNNNNNNNNNNNNNNNNNNNNNNNNNNNNNNNNNNNNNNNNNNNNNNNNNNNNNNNNNNNNNNNNNNNNNNNNNNNNNNNNNNNNNNNNNNNNNNNNNNNNNNNNNNNNNNNNNNNNNNNNNNNNNNNNNNNNNNNNNNNNNNNNNNNNNNNNNNNNNNNNNNNNNNNNNNNNNNNNNNNNNNNNNNNNNNNNNNNNNNNNNNNNNNNNNNNNNNNNNNNNNNNNNNNNNNNNNNNNNNNNNNNNNNNNNNNNNNNNNNNNNNNNNNNNNNNNNNNNNNNNNNNNNNNNNNNNNNNNNNNNNNNNNNNNNNNNNNNNNNNNNNNNNNNNNNNNNNNNNNNNNNNNNNNNNNNNNNNNNNNNNNNNNNNNNNNNNNNNNNNNNNNNNNNNNNNNNNNNNNNNNNNNNNNNNNNNNNNNNNNNNNNNNNNNNNNNNNNNNNNNNNNNNNNNNNNNNNNNGUGGCUCCAUCCCGGUAGAGGUGGGCCUGGGUUCCCGACGGCCCUCGACUGUUACUUUGUGGCGGAGCGACAGGGCAGGUUGAGACCACCUAGGAGACAGGUGGGCCUGGCCCUGUUCGGCGUUCGCGGAUACUUAACACGCUUAACGAGAUCUUGGUAUUUGAUCUGAGUCGGCUACGAGCCUAUACGCACUAACCAUCUACGUGGGAGUAGUUAUGGGUAUCCCGACGUCGUGGUAUCAGCCGAAGCACUUCAGACGUCAGCGACGGAGCGGCGCGCGCCGGAUUGGAACGUAAGCCUGCUCUUGUAUUAAGGGGGCUAGUUCUGCUUCCGGCCGCCCACGCAACGUGCAGGUGUGCUAUGGGCGAUGGGCCCAGACCCCUGUGCGCUUAGGUUUAGACCGGCGUGCUGGCCUCUCUGUUUUGCCUAGGUGGGGCUGCGACGUGUUGAUCUUCUGAGGCCGGGCAUGACCCAGGAAAGUGUGUCCGGCCAAAUGGGAUCGAGCGUGUUGGGUUAUGUGGUGCACCCCUGCAGGGAAGUUAAUCUAUUCGAAUAGCCGUGAUCUUCGGUUACAGGACGACUUGGAGUUGUACCUUGACCUUAUGACAACUAGAACCGGAUACUUAAUAAAACACACCCUUCCAAGUGCCAGAUACAACCGGUGGUCGCUCUCCCUCAGGGAUACGAGGGGAGGAUCGCCGGGUAGGAUUAUGCUAUGAGAUGCUAUUUGGAGAUGCUACUUGGAGAUGCUAUUUGGAGGACUUCAGUCUACUCUCUUCUACAUGCUGUAAGACGGAGGCUGCCAGAAGCGUAGUCUUCGACAGGAUUAGUUAUCCCCCUCUUAUUCUGGCAUUCUGCAGUUCAGUCCACUGAUAUGGCCUCCUUACACAUAUACACAUGCAUAUGUAGUGUAGAUCCUUGCUUGCGAGUACUUUGGAUGAGUACUCACGGUUGCUUUCUUCCCCCCUUUUCCCCCUUUCCUUUCUUUCUGGUUGUCGCAACCAGAUGCUGGAGUCCAGGAGCCAGACGCCACCGUCGACGACGACCCCUACUACACUGGAGGUGCCUACUACUACGUGUUGCCCGCUGACGACGACCAGGAGUAGUUUAGGAGGAUCCCAGGCAGGAGGCCUGCGCCUCUUUCGAUCUGUAUCCCAGUUUGUGCUAGCCUUCUUAAGGCAAACUUGUUUAACUUAUGUAUGUACUCAGAUAUUGUUGCUUCCGCUGACUCGUCUAUGAUCGAGCACUUGUAUUCGAGCCCUCGAGGCCCCUGGCUUGUAUUAUGAUGCUUGUAUGACUUAUUUAUGUUUUAGAGUUGUGUUGUGAUAUCUUCCCGUGAGUCCCUGAUCUUGAUCGUACACAUUUGCGUGCAUGAUUAGUGUACGAUUGAAUCGGGGGCGUCACAAGUUGGUAUCAGAGCCGACUGCCUGUAGGAAUCCCCCUUUCCAAUUCCUUGGCCGAAGUUGAGUCUAGUCAUUGCAAAACUUUUACUAACUUGGCUGUGUGCCUUACGGGCCCACGUCGCCAUCGGGUGGUAUUAGGAUCUUUUAUUCCUCGACCUAUACUCUGGGACUCUUAUUUCUCUUCUAUUCGGGUUAAAUGAUUUUUGCUAAAACUAACUAUAGGUUCUCGCAAGUACUUUCUCCCGGAGAGCCAUUUGUUACCGAUGACCGCCUGCUGCACCAGUAGAUUUCGAAGAUACUCUCCGAUUUUCUCUCGAGACCUUGUGCCCGUUGCUUUUGCAAUUCUCGACCACCGAUAAACCCUUAUGGAUAACUACUUACACUUGCCAUUCAUACGAUCCUCCCCCAUUGAUCUUGUUAUUACAAGAUACCCCGAAGUUUUCUCUAUUGUUCCGAGAAUACGUUGUGCCUACUGCCUAGCAGUUCUUUGCCACACGAAUACCCCUUCAAAUAAAUCCUCGCACUUGUCGAGUAUCCGCUCACCCCCAGUUGUUCAUGUGUUUCACAAAAGUCUUCAAAAUACUAUUCGAUCUUCCGAAAAUCCUCUGGAGCCUUUGGCUCUUGAAAUUCUUGCUUGCUUGCAUUAUGGUUAAUCCCAUAAGUCUCGUAGUCUUCUUGACAUUCCUUGUCAUUAUCAUUUUCAGUCUGUUGACUCAAUAUGAUUGCGAAUACACGCAAUCAUCAUUGAUCCUUAUAAAUUACAUUUCCGGCUGAGCUGCAAUUCUUUUAACUGGAAUUGGUUCUCGACCAAUCCAAUUGUCGUUGAUUGUACCCUAAGGCUAUUCAACUUAUCCAUUCCUAAUCAGAGCAUUGCUUCUGAUCCCUUGACAUGGAAUUCAUAAUUCCUUUGCAAUUAAGCUUUGAAUUAGUCAGUUGUUUCUAUCUUCUGAUCUCCUUGCAUUCUUCUUCUUCUGGUUGAGUACCGAUACUCACAUCAGCCCCGUUGUGGAUCGCCAUAUCCACUGUUGGAUUAUUAUCCGAUAGUGUCCUUCAUAAUUAAUCACCUUGUGAGUUCUUUCUCUGAUACAUAAUGCCUUUGGUAAAUUGUAUCCUCUCCUUUUUUUAACCUUGCUCUGCUUUCGAGCUUGUGUUAUUUACCUUGGAAGUUUGUAGCAUAUGUUCCUUAAAUGCCCCAAUGGGUUGAACCGAUGCCUUCCUUACUAUGUGUGAACUCGGAAGUUUUCACGGGUCAUACUCAUCUAGUAUUUCACCAGGUAUAACUUUCAACACUAAUGCCAUUAUCGAAACGAGAAGUGAAUGUAAGGUUAUGCUUUGGAGAAGUGGGAGUCGACCUCGAACCUUGUGUUCAUGCCCAUGGACGCGAUGUAUAUCCUAUCAUGGAAGCUUCUUGUAAUAAUAACUAUUUCCUUGAUAACUAACAUAUGGUAUCUGUGAAUUGAUCCCUUGAAACCGUGGUUCCGACCAUGAUUGUUCUUCCUUGAUUCCAUUUCUCGGACAAGUUAAAACAAUUGUCUUCUAUGGAUAGAUACACCCGUCCAAUCUUUACUUUGAUCUUGUGUCGAGUAUUACCCCCUGGUAUCUCAAGAUUAUCUUGGAACUGCAUAACUUCUUAUGAGUUCUUCAUCAAGUGCUACCUUUCCACUGAUUCCAAUUUUUCACGGGCUCUGAGUUAUUAUACACUCAAAGACACCGAUAACUGAAUCGAGUUCGCAUUGCGAUUCAACAAGUAUUUGAACCCAUCACUGCUUACAAAUUUAUUAAUCCUUCAAGUCAUUCCUAGCCUGAUCGGCUAUAUCAUUAUCGAGCUAAUUUUAACUGUGCUACCCGGUCCUUCUUCCCGGAGCACAAUUUUCGACGAUGAACUAACCUUACGUCGAUCAUCAUCGUCAUAUCAUUUCGCCUUGAACAACAAGCUUGGUUUCGAGUUUGUGUCGUACCCUUGGUUCCAAUAACCUUUCACUUUAUCAUUACUUUGACUUGAUGUCAUCACCGAUCGAUUACAUCUUCAUGAACUCUCGCGACAAAUGUGUCGUGAAUAUCAUCAACAUUCUGAACUCUUCCAAGAGAUCUAUUGAAAUCAUGAUGAGAAAUACCAUCCUUGCCCUCGAUGAUUGGUGUUAUCAGCGACAACAUUAUUGCAUUCCCUCCAACACAAAACUUGUUCCUGUAUUGUGUUGUACCUUGAGUUCCUUGCUAUCCAACUUAUGUUAUAUUCUACCGCGGAGUAUUACCAUCUUUGAUGUUAAGAAUGUUGUGAGGAUUGCUCCACCUCUUAAGAAUUCUUGCUAUAAUGAUACUUCUCACCAUCACCAUUCUUUCUUGGUCCUCGUGUUGAUUCCAACCGGGGUACCCACAAGUGAACGGUGUUGUUUGGAUUAUGCACUUCUAGCAACCAUAUUGCUUUGAAGUUAAUGAUCGAUAGUUCAUUCUAAGUCCUUCGCUAAUUGAAUCACCAUUCUAACAUUGGUCGUGCAACCCAACCCGUACUUCGGGCGCACCCUUCAACCAAUGUUUAAUUGUGUAUGUUUUCCUCGAGCAUACUUCCUUAUAUCAUUUGAUCUGACAAAUGUUAUCUCCUUGUUCACUUAAUGGUGGAAAUCCAUCUUUUGGGAAUCUCGGUGAAUUGCCGUUGAGUUCACCAGACACCUCCUUGUCCUCUCCUUGGUUUAAUGGUGAACUAUUGCUUCAAAAACCCGCUCUCAUAGUUCAUUUCCCGAGAAUCUUACAGUGUCAUCCCGUCAAUUGGUGUUGCACCUUUCUUCUCAGGCAUCCUGAGCCUGAGGUAUCCUGACACCAAUCAUACCUGAAUCUCCGUCAGAUAUGAUGGUUAGGACAACUUUCCAAGAGUUAUGAUAUUGAUCCUUUGAUGACCCGGUAACAUGAUGUCAUGCCUAGCACCCCCCCCCCCCGGCUGGAGGACCUAUCAUUAUAAUUUCUUUUGCAAGAUAACCAUUCUUCCUAGAGGAAAUUGUAAGACUUAUCCUACAAGUUGUUCCUAAUGGAUCUUUCCUAUAUCCAAAGUUUGGCCUUGAUUGAAACAAACACCAUGUCAAUGCUAUCUCGAAGCAUGUCUGUGGUACUCCGAUUUUCAACAAGAACAUUUGAAGCCCAAUGCUAAAUGUUUCUUGCUCAAUUAUCCAAACACCGAUGUAUGGGUAAUGUCAUGAAAAUUCUCUCCCCUACCUAAAGAGUUUUCUACAUUAUAUCCUGUCAUGGAUAUCAUGCUCUGCUUAUCCUUGGGAAGGAUAUACCCCUGAAAUAUGUGUUUAAACACAUUUUCCUUUCCAUUGUUCUGUUUAACCUGAUGAUCACAUUUUCCUUUCCAUUGGUUUGUUUGACCUUUCUUGUGAUCUAUAUAACCUAAGCAGUAAUAAUUUACUUCUUAUGUAAACACCUCGGUGUACAACUCUGCCAGUGAGACCCUGUUACUUUUGUUGAUGACAUUUUGGUAACCACCGAUGGACGAGAACUUUGCCUAAUGGUCCGCCUCGUUCAACGAGCAGGAAAAUGGUUCUCUUCGUCCCUCGCCCUUGGUACCGAUGUUGUUGCCGACAUAACCGACAGACUAUCCUCUGGCAUGCCUUGCUUACAUGAUCGUGCAAGAUGUCACUGUCCUUCCUACUUUUAAUCCACAUGGUGGGCCCAUAACCCACAGUUCCACAGGAUCGAAACCUGACUCUCCUGUACACCCCCUGUUCCCAAAGUUAUUCCUCCCGCGUGGACUCGUAUGUAAUUCAUGAGCCACCUUCCGAUGAGAUCAUCAAUUCUGGCAUCGGAAACAAUAAUUAUUCCGUUGCUUGAAACCCCUUUCACCUUCUGACUAGGCAUUGAACGAUCGCCUGGCUGCCAAAAUCUUCUUAUUGUACCUUCGUACCUUACUCUUGAUGUAUUCGAUAUGUUCAGCUCGAGAGAUAAUCUUACGCUCAUUCAUGGGUUAACCCCAGAUUGUUUCCCUCAUAAACAUUCUGUCGUAGCCGAGCUGCCCCUUACCUAUUUGCAAGUACGUUGGAGUUCCCGAGAAAAGGACGACAUCACCAUGAUGGCCUGAAGCAGAGAAAUGAAGACGUCAAUCUAAUGGAUCGACCUCUUCAAGAAGAGCAACCAAGACUGAGAAGAUUCGUUAGCAUUUCGUAACCAGACCUUUCCCCCUUAGUCCCCCUCUUAAAUCUCGGGACGAGAUUUCUUGUAGUGGAGGAGAAUUGUGACGCCCGGAUAAUUAGGCUAUAGUAAUCACGUGUUAAUGAUGCCAAGCCAUCAAAGUUACUGUCGUUAAUCUCGCGUUAGUUCAGAAACGAUCCAAAUUCAAAUUUGAAAGAAAGGCAAACAACAAAACUUUUGAAACAUUAAAACCAAAAUGUUCGGUUUGUGGCAAAUAAUCCUUACUAACUAUUUGUGAAGGAACCACACUUUUAUUAUGUGUUUUAAUGCACUAAAAUGAUUUAAAUAUUAGCAAACCUGAUUAUUUAAAUGCCUUUGCAGAUUGAUAAAAUAUCAAACCAAAUUAAUUGGGGUCUAGACUUUUGUGGCGGUAGACUAAAUCGAAAUGUUCAAUUAGAUGCAAAGUAUAUAUUUUUACAGAACCUAAAAUAAUAGGAAACAAAAAUAAAACAGAAAAGAAAAGAGGAAAAUAAAGAAAACAAAAAAAAAUCAAAAACAAAGGGGACACCCCCCGGCCAACUGGGCCAACAGGCCCAGCUAGCCACCCACGCGACCCAGCCGGCCGAACCCGGUGGUAUAACCCCCACGCACCUGAAACCCUAGCCCGAUCCCUUCCCCACUUCCCCCCUCUCGGUCCACUCCCCCCCACGACCUCCUCUGCCCUCGAUCUGGAUCGAGGAAAGCAGAGGCCCGACCACGCCACCGUCCCGGAUCGCCGUNNNNNNNNNNNNNNNNNNNNNNNNNNNNNNNNNNNNNNNNNNNNNNNNNNNNNNNNNNNNNNNNNNNNNNNNNNNNNNNNNNNNNNNNNNNNNNNNNNNNNNNNNNNNNNNNNNNNNNNNNNNNNNNNNNNNNNNNNNNNNNNNNNNNNNNNNNNNNNNNNNNNNNNNNNNNNNNNNNNNNNNNNNNNNNNNNNNNNNNNNNNNNNNNNNNNNNNNNNNNNNNNNNNNNNNNNNNNNNNNNNNNNNNNNNNNNNNNNNNNNNNNNNNNNNNNNNNNNNNNNNNNNNNNNNNNNNNNNNNNNNNNNNNNNNNNNNNNNNNNNNNNNNNNNNNNNNNNNNNNNNNNNNNNNNNNNNNNNNNNNNNNNNNNNNNNNNNNNNNNNNNNNNNNNNNNNNNNNNNNNNNNNNNNNNNNNNNNNNNNNNNNNNNNNNNNNNNNNNNNNNNNNNNNNNNNNNNNNNNNNNNNNNNNNNNNNNNNNNNNNNNNNNNNNNNNNNNNNNNNNNNNNNNNNNNNNNNNNNNNNNNNNNNNNNNNNNNNNNNNNNNNNNNNNNNNNNNNNNNNNNNNNNNNNNNNNNNNNNNNNNNNNNNNNNNNNNNNNNNNNNNNNNNNNNNNNNNNNNNNNNNNNNNNNNNNNNNNNNNNNNNNNNNNNNNNNNNNNNNNNNNNNNNNNNNNNNNNNNNNNNNNNNNNNNNNNNNNNNNNNNNNNNNNNNNNNNNNNNNNNNNNNNNNNNNNNNNNNNNNNNNNNNNNNNNNNNNNNNNNNNNNNNNNNNNNNNNNNNNNNNNNNNNNNNNNNNNNNNNNNNNNNNNNNNNNNNNNNNNNNNNNNNNNNNNNNNNNNNNNNNNNNNNNNNNNNNNNNNNNNNNNNNNNNNNNNNNNNNNNNNNNNNNNNNNNNNNNNNNNNNNNNNNNNNNNNNNNNNNNNNNNNNNNNNNNNNNNNNNNNNNNNNNNNNNNNNNNNNNNNNNNNNNNNNNNNNNNNNNNNNNNNNNNNNNNNNNNNNNNNNNNNNNNNNNNNNNNNNNNNNNNNNNNNNNNNNNNNNNNNNNNNNNNNNNNNNNNNNNNNNNNNNNNNNNNNNNNNNNNNNNNNNNNNNNNNNNNNNNNNNNNNNNNNNNNNNNNNNNNNNNNNNNNNNNNNNNNNNNNNNNNNNNNNNNNNNNNNNNNNNNNNNNNNNNNNNNNNNNNNNNNNNNNNNNNNNNNNNNNNNNNNNNNNNNNNNNNNNNNNNNNNNNNNNNNNNNNNNNNNNNNNNNNNNNNNNNNNNNNNNNNNNNNNNNNNNNNNNUUAAAAAAAAUGUUAAAUGAAUAAAUAGAUAAUAAUUAAAUAAUUAAAAUGUUAAUUAAUUAAUUAAUUAAGUAAUUAAUUAAGUUAAUUAAUCCUGGUUAAUUAACCUAAUAACUAAUUAACCUAAUUAACUACUGUUAAUUAAACUUAAUUAGGUUAAUUAGUUAACAGUGUAUGACGAACGGGACCCACCUGUCAGGGUUGACUCAGUCAACCCCUGUUGACUGCUGACGUCAGCAUGACAUCAUGCUGACGUCAUAAAUACAUUUUUUCGAAUUAAUUAAAUAAAUAAAUAAAUUCCAAAAUUGUUAAAAUCUUUUAAAAAUCAUAUCUUUUAAUCCGUAACUCGGAUUAAAAUAUUUUCAACAUGAAAGUUGCUCAGAACGACGAGACGAAUCCGGAUACGCAGUCCGUUCGUCCGCCACACCCCCCUAACCUAUCGAACCCGCAACUUUCCCCCUCCGAUUCAUCUGUUAGAAAACACGAAACACCGGGAAUACUUUCCCGGAUGUUUUCCCCCCUUCACCGGUAUCACCUACUACCGCGUUAGGGCACACCGAACACCGCGUAUUGCCUUGUUAUAUUUUGUGAUGCUUUGUUUGCUCUAUAUUCAUUAUUUCUUCCCCCUCUUCUCUCCGGUAGACUACGAGACCGACGCUGCUGCUGACCAGUUCGACUACGGAGUUGACGACCCCUCUCUCUUGCCAGAGCAACCAGGCAAGCCCCCCCCCCCUUGAUCACCAGAUAUCGCCUAUUCUCCUCUAUACUGCUUGCAUUAGAGUAGUGUAGCAUGUUACUGCUUUCGUUAAUCCUAUUCUGAUGCAUAGCCUGACAUUGUCGCUACAUCUAUUGAUACCUUACCUGCAAUCCUAAAUGCUUAGUAUAGGAUGCUAGUUUAUCAUCAUUGGCCCUACAUUCUUGUCUGUCUGCCUUGCUAUACUAUUGGGUCGUGAUCACUUGGGAGGUGAUCACGGGUAUAUACUAUACAUACAUACAUACUAUACAGAUGGUGACUAAAGUCGGGUCAGCUCAUUGAGUACCCGCAAGUGAUUCUGACGAGGGGGCUGAAAGGACAGGUGGCUCCAUCCCGGUAGAGGUGGGCCUGGGUUCCCGACGGCCCUCGACUGUUACUUUGUGGCGGAGCGACAGGGCAGGUUGAGACCACCUAGGAGACAGGUGGGCCUGGCCCUGUUCGGCGUUCGCGGAUACUUAACACGCUUAACGAGAUCUUGGUAUUUGAUCUGAGUCGGCUACGAGCCUAUAUGCACUAACCAUCUACGUGGGAGUAGUUAUGGGUAUCCCGACGUCGUGGUAUCAGCCGAAGCACUUCAGACGUCAGCGACGGAGCGGCGCGCGCCGGAUUGGAACGUAAGCCUGCUCUUGUAUUAAGGGGGCUAGUUCUGCUUCCGGCCGCCCACGCAACAUGCAGGUGUGCUAUGGGCGAUGGGCCCAGACCCCUGUGCGCUUAGGUUUAGACCGGCGUGCUGGCCUCUCUGUUUUGCCUAGGUGGGGUUGCGACGUGUUGAUCUUCCGAGGCCGGGCAUGACCCAGGAAAGUGUGUCCGGCCAAAUGGGAUCGAGCGUGUUGGGUUAUGUGGUGCACCCCUGCAGGGAAGUUAAUCUAUUCGAAUAGUCGUGAUCUUCGGUUACAGGACGACUUGGAGUUGUACCUUGACCUUAUGACAACUAGAACCGGAUACUUAAUAAAACACACCCUUCCAAGUGCCAAAUACAACCGGUGGUCGCUCUCCCUCAGGGAUACGAGGGGAGGAUCGCCGGGUAGGAUUAUGCUAUGAGAUGCUAUUUGGAGAUGCUACUUGGAGAUGCUAUUUGGAGGACUUCAAUCUACUCUCUUCUACAUGCUGUAAGACGGAGGCUGCCAGAAGCGUAGUCUUCGACAGGAUUAGUUAUCCCCUUCUUAUUCUGGCAUUCUGCAGUUCAGUCCACUGAUAUGGCCUCCUUACACAUAUACACAUGCAUAUGUAGUGUAGAUCCUUGCUUGCGAGUACUUUGGAUGAGUACUCACGGUUGCUUUCUUCCCCCCUUUUCCCCCUUUCCUUUCUUUCUGGUUGUCGCAACCAGAUGCUGGAGUCCAGGAGCCAGACGCCACCGUCGACGACGACCCCUACUACACUGGAGGUGCCUACUACUACGUGCUGCCCGCUGACGACGACCAGGAGUAGUUUAGGAGGAUCCCAGGCAGGAGGCCUGCGCCUCUUUCGAUCUGUAUCCCAGUUUAUGCUAGCCUUCUUAAGGCAAACUUGUUUAACUUAUGUCUGUACUCAGAUAUUGUUGCUCCCGCUGACUCGUCUAUGAUCGAGCACUUGUAUUCGAGCCCUCGAGGCCCCUGGCUUGUAUUAUGAUGCUUGUAUGACUUAUUUAUGUUUUAGAGUUGUGUCGUGAUAUCUUCCCGUGAGUCCCUGAUCUUGAUCGUACACAUUUGCGUGCAUGAUUAGUGUACGAUUGAAUCGGGGGCGUCACAUUCAUGGAGUUUUAUAUAACAAAUACAAAAGUAAAAAUUUAGAAGGCCCGUGGCAACGCACGGGCACUCUACUAGUUGUUUUAAAGCGCCUAUUCACCCCCCCCCUCUAUGCGACAUCCACGUCCUUUCAAUGAUGAAAACAUAUUGAGAGACAUCCAUACCCAUAAAUUAAGAGAAUUUCAUGUAAAAUGUUCUGAAAGUUAUGUAUGUUAUUUAUGAAAUUUAAGUGAUUACUUGACAAAGAUUCAAGUGAAUAUGUCUUAUUUAGCUUGUAGGGGCAAGUCAAUUAAAGUUCGUGUUGUUAUUAAAUAGUUUGCAAGAACUAAAGAGAGCGAGUGUGUUAUGGUUGUGAAGGAGUUAAUGAUAUCCAAUGGGAGCAAGUGUUCUAGGCAAUUGAUAAUUUUGUGAUAAAGUAGUUGUCAUUAUUAGAGAUUACUUUAAUGGAAAUGCAAAAGACAAUGUUAUACCUAUGUGUUUUCUAUCCAAUGUCCCCACAAUGCAAAAAAUGGUGAGGCAUGGACUAGGUCGUAGAGUAGUAUAAUAGAAUAGGGUAGACAAGGCAUUAUGUAAGAUGUAAUAUGUGUUUCCCCUCACAAGUGAAUCUCGUUUCUAUUUCUUGGGUGGAACCUAAGGUUACAUGUUGCAAAACCAAUGACUCACAUGUACUUAUGACUAAACUCCCAAAGGGCAACACGCCUAGAAACUGGAAAUUAUUAAGGUAAAAACCGAUCAUAGCUUAAAGACCAGGGGUCCCCAUAAUUCCAUAUGCUAUAACUCCGUACUAGUGGGAUAUGAUUUCUAUCACUCGCCCAUCCCCUUCACCCUUCAUCAUAACGCAUUAGAAAACAUAUGGGUUCCCAUAUUACACGUGCGCACUCAUACAAAAGCCACAAAGGAUAUCAUAGAAAUUAAUACUUCCACUUUUUUAUAUAAGGACACUUCAUAUUUUUAUGUCUAACUUUAACCAUUAAUUGUACCAACAAAAUUGAGUUAUGCCACAAAAAGUAUGCCACUGCAUGCACAUUCCAAAGAACUUUAUGAUGAUAUGUUUUUAUGGCAUAUAACCUAUAUUUCGUUGACCAAAACUAUAAGUCAAAGUUUGACAAGAAAAACAAACUGACCUUGUAUACAAAAAUAGAACGAGUAAUGUACAUAUGUGCAACCAACCUUCAUACUAUGUCACCAAUGCCAUCAAACAAAUAACUAAUCAAACAUAGAGGUAAAGAUGAAAUAAAUACUAGGGAAAUAAUUCCUAACAUAAUCAUGUUUGCCUAAGUAUUGAGAAGCUUUGUGAUGGAGAAGCCCCAAUACAAAGAAAGAAGAUUGUCGUGGAGAUGGAUGAAUGCAAUGGCGAUGAUGGCAGUGCCCCAAGAGGAAUUCUGACAUAGCCGUAGGAAAGGAGGAAGAUGCCCCUCCUCCUCCUCCUCCUUUCUGAUGUUGAAAUAUGGCCCCUUGACUCAAUUUAAUUGAUUCCCAAAGACCUGUAACUCCCAAAAAUCUGAAUAGAAUUUGAUGGUAUCAUCUCUUUCAUAGAGUCCUUUGUCUAAUCUUUCUAUUCUAUCUACUUUAUCUUCUAGUGUGAUAAUCUCUCGUAGAUUUUUUGUGCUUAGAUUAUUUUCCGUUGUGUUGUACCGAGAGCUUUCAAGUUUCAAAACAAUUUUUAGAUCUCCCAUUCACCCCCCCCCCCCUCUGGUUGAUAACUAUUGGUCCUAUAGGACCUACCGCCAACACAUUGAAGCCUCGCACAUCAUUCUUUGAAGUGGUGGAACUUCCUAGGAGCCCACCCAUGGCAACCUAGACGCGACACUACGUGUACUAGACUUGCACAAACUGGCAGCCCACACCCUAACAUCAACGCCACAUAUCAAUAGAUGAGUACUGUGGGUGGUACUAGGACAAGAGCGGAACUUAGACCGACAUUUUUCUAUAUUACUUAUUAAAGUAGUGCUCCGUCUAUCUAUGCGCCGAAAGUGUGUCAGAAAAUGGAUAUGUAUAUCUUCAACUCUAUCUUUCUUAGGCUCUUACGUCUCCCAUGCACCGAAAGUGUGUCGGGAAAAGGAUGUGCAUAUGUUCAACUCUAUCUUUGUUAUGAUCUUAUGCAUCCUACAACUCGUGAGGUCAUGCCCUAUCAUUCAGAAAAGGCGGUCGACAGGAUUUGACCCACAGCUUCCUAUUAUUCCAAAUAACGCAGUCCCUAUCUAUCUAAAUAUCUAUCUAUAGUGCGACAUACAUCUUUAGGCACCAAUCCUACUUAAAUAUUGGGCAUGGAAGUUGUACUGGCCAGAAAUUGAUAUUGCUCUGUGUGAUCAUCCUAUAAAGCACCCCUUUGUUGCUCGCACAAAGAAAGAAUCAUUGACCCCUAUGAUCUAGGAGGACUAACAGAGCAACAAGGCUAUCUGGUAUGCUUUUCAUAGUUAUAAAGGGCAUUCUUCCAUUGAAAUUUUGUAGGCAUACUAUGCAUAACUUGAAAUUACGAGUUCUUAUAUUUUGUAUUAUCAAAAAUCAUAGCUUGUUUUUUGGUACAUGCUCGCACCAAAGAAAGGAUUGUCGUUUGUGUUUGUUGGCAUGGUUCCUGGACUUAUUUUCUUUCCCUGCAUACUAUAUAUGUUUGACCAUUUUUUCUUGGUUUUGCACAUCAUAGUGUCCUUUAUGGUAGAUAAGCAAUUAUGUUUGAGAAGUACUCAAACUAGGUUAUUUACUUUAUGUUUUCAAGUAUACAUCAGUGGAUAAUUGUGUUCUAUUUGUUCAGUUUUAUUAUGUUCGAAUAUUGAAUGAAAAAUAGUUGAUUUGAAGAAAAAGGACGACUAAAAUUUCAUCUUUUAUAUCAGACAUGUGUCACUUUCUUUGUCGUCAGAAUUUUUUUCACAUGAAAGUUCGGAACAAGAACUUGAACAAGUUUUAGAAUUUUCUAUUAGAUUAUAGAAAAAUUAUCUUAAAAUGGCUCAGUUAAUCAAAACUUUCCCUCUUCUAAAGUGGAAGAUCUUUUUUAACUUGAUUGACUAAAAGUAGAAGAUCUUUUCUUGGUCAAUAGAUAAAAUGCUCACAUGUUCACUAAAGGAUCAGAACAACAAAACACUAAAGUCGUCAUUUAUCUAUGUGAAACAUAUAAACUAAUCCAUCCAUGUUAUUUCUGUGAAACAUACUCUCUUUCUUGUCAUUGCUUUUUCCUAGUUAGUUUAGUUUUCACUUUUGGAAAACUAGGAAUACUUUGGAAUAUAUAACAUGUUUGUUCCCAGAUUUGUGUCAUGGUUGAUAAUAGAUUAUUAUUAUUGUUAAAAAUAAAUAUUUAAUAUUUUUUAUAAUAAUCACACCACUCUGAAAACAAAAGAAACUUCUAUUUAGAUGCUAUAAAUUUGUUGUAGUAGUUGGAAGUCUGAAGUUCACAUAUAGACUUAUGAAUAUGCAUAUAUGUAUAGUCAUCCGAGGCUUAAAAUAUCCGUGUAUACACUGAUAGUUAUUCAUGUAUAUAUUUAUAUAGGAGGCAAUUUGUUUCUUUUCACAUAAUAAAACAUCAUAUUAUUCCAGAGGUGUUAAUUGUUUUGAUACAUACACUUUAUUGGUUCUACAGUCAUAUUGGAAACUCAAGAUCUUCAUCAAAACGAGCCAAGUUGUUGGUCAUGAAGAUGAGUCCUUAGAUUAAGGUCGCAAAGUGACAACACAAAACCAUAUAAAUUUAUUUUUGUGCGUCUUAAUCUUUUAGGCACCAACAAACAUUUAUGUGCUUUUUUAUCAUGCAAAAUUCUUUAAUCUUAUCAAGUGUAUAAUAUUUUUUUGACAUGCCACAAUGUUAUUGUUGUUAUGUAGUCUUGAUUGCAAUAAUAAAUAUUUUAAUUAGCACGCUAUCAUAGUUAAAUAUAAUAGUACCAAUAUACUAAACUAGUUAAUGAUAUUCAUCACAGAAGCUCUCCAUCAAGCAACAGAAUGAGCGUUUGGAGAUUGAGAACAAAAUAUUGGCGAUUGAGAACCAAAAAAUGCGCGAGGAGUUGAGGACAUACCGCUGUGCUGCUUGCUUGAAGAUUGAAAAUGCCUGCCUGAAAGUUGAGGUUUGCCAAAGUAGAUCCAAGACAUACAACGAUAUACUAUAACACUUCCAUCGUGCAUUAUUUCUAAAUCAAGACUAGAAAAUAUAAAACUGAAUAAUAUAUUUCUACUAUACUGAAUAGACAAACGCCCAAUGGCUAAAAUUCUUGCAUUAUAAUAACACAAAAACAUUACAAAAAUGUGUGAAAGAAAAUCUGCCAACAUGACACAUGGGACAUGAGAAUAUAUUUCUUAUGGUUAAAUAUGAUGACAAUAGAUACAUGGAAUUUGAAAUAUAAUGCAGAAGUGAGUGUUAUUUACAGGUUCAAGUCAAACUAAUUGCACCCAUGUCAGCAUAUAGAUGGUUUAUGAAGUAGUCUCACUCAUUUUAAUGUGUAUCUAAAGAAAUUUUUAUAUUCCACGAAACAGUUAAAUUAGGAAAUUUAUUUCGCUUCCUAGUUGACCCAAUAAUGUGACCAUGUAGCACAUUCAACAUCUCUUGGCUAGGAGUAAAAUUUAAGGUCUGGAUUAAUCAUUAGCCUCCUACCAUCACAUGGAUCAGUAGUAUUUCCGAAAAUACCUAAAAAUAGUCAACACUUACUAAAAGUAGCACCCUACAUAAUGGGAAAGCGACUUUCAACACCCAAUGAGAUAUUGAGAUAUAUCAUCCAAAAUUCUUUCCCGCGCAUACCGGGAGGGGGCGGGGAGUAUGUUCGAAAUUGUUUUUUAGAAUGAAUCAAGUUUGCGACUAUGCAACUUCUCACUACUCAUCACAGGAUAAAUAAGAAGUUUAUAUUUAGUUGCACCGGAUAUGCCUAAGUGCAAACAAUAUAACCAGAAUCUUGAUAAUAUAGGAUCUAAAAACUACACCAACAUAGAUGGAAAGUAUGAUUCCAGAGAUAUAAAUUAUUACGUAUGUGUGUGGAGACUACUGUUCAAGUGUUUAUACAAAAGUUAACACAUUUACUUUGUGAGAAGUUCAUUUUGGUUGAUUGUUGCAGUUUGAUAUACUUAGAUGUUGCCUCUGAUUGAAUACUUUCCCAAUCAAUAAACAUAAAAUAUUUGAAUAUUCAUUAUUAUUGACAUAAGAUUUACAUACUUACAUGUUUAACUUAGAAUUCAGCACAUAAGAAAUCCAUAAAUGAAGAAAAAAAUGAGAAACUGAAGCUUGAGAACACAAUGUUUUUAGCACAAAACCAUCAUACCAGUUUAGAAUUUUAUUAUUAUAUACUUUCUACUUCAAAACUCAACAAACAUAUAAUUCAAUGUAAAAUGUUUUUAGAGGAGAUAUAUGAAAACAUGUAGUCCAACCAAACAAUGAAGAGGGAAGAUGCUUUAUAUAGAUUAUGAAAGUAAGUUUUCAAUUAGAUAGGUAUAAAUUAACUUACUAUAUUUCAAAAACAACGAAAACAUAUUGAGAAACAUCCAUACCAAUAAAUGAAGAGCACAACAUGCAAAAUGCUCUUUUAUUCCCUUGAAGCAAUGAAGUUAUGUAUUAAUUACCAAAUUGUCCAAAACAAAGAUACAUCACUUUAUAGUUCCUCUAGUAUGUUAGUGUUGUGUUCUUGUUUCUAGCAUACUACUUACGAUUGAAAGCCAUAACUUUAUUGUUUUUGAAAUAGUUGUCGGCAAUAAACUGAGCACACAAAGAAAACAUAAUAAGUACCUUCCUUGGUAAAUACUUAUUAUUGAAACCAGAGGCAAAAUUUUGGUCUUGGUUCACCAAACGAGAACAACAUAUUCUAUUUUUUUAAAAUGAGAGGAAACUAAAGAUAGAACAUGUUGAGUCAUCGACAAGCUAGCAUCACCAUCAUUUAUAAAUAUGACAAUGCAAACAGGAUAAAUUUGACACACUGGAUAUGCAUCCAUCAAUUCUCAUCGUCUAUUAAUGUCAUUCAGUCAUUGUCAUAGGUAUUGUGUCAACAAGAAAAGUGAAAUCCUAGCUUUCCCUAGAACCAGCUUCUUACUAUCCUACCCCGUGGAGUUUUUCGGGGAAGUCAAAUCAAAGAUGAAACUACCUAAUGGUGUAGGUUUACCAUAAAACACUAGACUAGAGAAUCAAUAUGUGGUUGAAUGAUUAUGCGGGUGGUCCUACCCCUGGUUCACCAGAGACUAAACCCUAGGUUUAACGUCAAGUGUAUCGUUAAAGAGGGAAUAUUCUUUCGGUGGGAGACGACAUUCUCAUAGAUAGUGAAUCAUAAAAUUUCGUCAAUCUUAAAAUUUUGCACUAUGGUAUUUAGUAGGCCCUUUGUGGUGACGAUGUGGGUGAUGGUGUGCAUGUGUAUGUCUGUGCAUGUUGUAUUUGUGUGUUUUCAAAAACUAGACUAUUGCCUACUCAACAGUUGUAGGUGCGCAUGGACACAUGCUAGGAUGGCCAUAGUUGUACACUCAGUCACUCACAUUGGUAGCAUGUGUUGGUUUGGCUUCUCUAGCUACCGAAACAUAUUGGAUUGGCUGUCACAUUUUGAUAUCAACAAAAAAGAUUUGGAGAUAACGUCUUAUGUAUCCAGGUGGGCUUUGUAAGCCCACUAGUGUGUGCCCCGAACUACAAUGUUGGCUUGUUUUGAUAAUUUUACCCAAACUAGUCCUUUUGUAUCUAGCGUGAGACACAUCUCCAUUUGCCAACAUGCUGCUAAACAUGGUUUUCUUCAAAUUAAUUAACAUGAUCAGUCCAAGCUACAUUCAGUUCUUUAUUUCCUGCUAAGAUGCACUCUAUCUAAUGGCUUGUUCUAUUGGCUACAAAACUUGGCCGCAUCUUCAAACUUUCACGUCCUAAUGAAGUGCAUAGCAUAAAUAGCAAAUACGUAUUUUUCUUACAAUCCAAAAUAUUUGAGAUAGAAAAAACGACUAUAAAGAAUUCAUUGGGGUCUGUGCACCAAAGCUGAUUCGUGUUUCAAGAAUCAAUAUAUAGUUGUAUGUGGUCUGCUUUGUUAAUUAUUUUUGCCUUGAUUUCUUCACAUUGCACACCACAAUUUUGCAAACAUCAAGGCUUUACUUCAUGGCGUAUUGAUCAUUCUUGCUAGAUGUCUGGUCAAGCUAUCAGACUUACAUGUAUUGUUUUUUGCAGCUUGCACGCUCGUUUCGUAAUGCUGCUACAAUUCUAGAAGCUGAAGCACAAUCUGAACUGGAGGUUGGGUUUUCCUCUACAGCACCCCAGAUUCCAGUUGAUACUAGCGCAACUGCACCACUCCAGCCGAGUGCAGCAGGGAGUCAAGAUGAACCAUGCGAGUAAUCAACUGGCAGCAAUUUAUUAGCUAUAGUUACAAAUACCUAUAUACAUACAGAAUAAAAGUUCCAAAGACUCGGUGUGUUAGUCAUUUCAAUUACAAUAAGUGACACUAAAAGUCCAUUGUGUCUUGUAGUUAAGCACCAAAACCUUUUUAUGUGUUACUGGUACUUGAGAAGGUUGUAUGCCUUCUCAUCUCUACCUUAUACAUUUGAAACAUGGGAUAUUAUAUUGUGUUUGUACAAUCUCCUGUCCUAUAAAUAUGUUACUUAUUUAUCUAUUUUUGUGAGGGAAUUUGUUAUUUAUUAG